RNAcentral lists this long non-coding RNA (94965 nucleotides) under Oryza sativa (Asian cultivated rice). RNAcentral's name for it is "long non-coding RNA (OSAT_LNC000801)". The record is from RNAcentral. Lineage: Eukaryota; Viridiplantae; Streptophyta; Magnoliopsida; Poales; Poaceae.
CCCCACCUCCCGCUUCCUCCUCCUCCGGCUUCUGGGGUUUCUACGGGCUUAGGGCUACCGCGAACCCUAGGACGAAGGGGAAGGACCAGGCCGGCCUCGUGCGUUUCCUCCUCCUCCGCGAGAGAAGCCGACGAGGAAUGGGGAAGAGAGAGAGAGAGAGAGAGAGAGAGAAGCCGGUGGCGAGUUUGGAAUGGUGGUGGUGGCGGUGGAGGAGGAGGAGGAGGAGGAGACGGGGGCUUUGGGUUGUUUUGGAGGGCGAACGCCUCGGGGCUCACGUGCUUUUAUAAAGGCGAACGGGGGAAAGGUGGCUGGGCGAGGCCGCGAGGGGAGGGGAAGUGGGUGGGCUGGAUUCUUCUGGGCUCCCUUUCCCGCAAAUGCUACAUGCACGGGUAAAGCUGUACCCCACAUUGUGUUGAUCCCGGUAUGUAAGUUUUUCUUCUUUUUCAUUUAUUUCCUUUUGAGACGAUCCCUCCAUGAAAAGUUGGCAUUUUCGCCAAAACGCCAAUAAGAAUGCCUUUUCUGUGGUGGUGGUAGUUGAUUUUUGUUAAAAAUGUCUAGCGACAGCUGGAAAUUGAUUUUUGUUUUUUUUUCCUGGGGGUGGUUUUUUUUUAUCAUGUCUCGAAGGAAAUUGAGGUUGAUGGCUUAUCAAUGUCAUUGCAAUUGCCGUGAUGGUAUCCUAGUGGUAAUUUUUGUGGUAUCUUUUGUAUUCUAAAGAAUUAUGGGGUGCUUUGAUAUGUCCCUAUACUCGCCGGUAGCUAUCAAGGGAAAUAAUGCAGAAUUGUGAUAACUUUUUUUCAUAAUCACCAAGUGCUACUUAUGGAUUUGUGUUAUUUUAUAAACAUGUCAGCUUUGGAUACUUUAGUGAUGUGAUUGAAAUUAUUCCUUUAUGAGAUACUAGAAGAGAUCAUUCGAUCAUUCCGGAUCCUAUGCAAUUGCUAGAUAGUGUGAGAAGUGAUGAGCCUGAGGUCGCAUGAAACGCUCUAUCAACAUCGUACAAUAAAAUCGGGUAGUACAAAUGGUGGAAUCAUUUGAAACUAUUGGAUAGAAAAUAAAUGGUCAUAACUAUAUGGAAUUGCUAUUAUAUACUCCCUACACCGGAUCUCCAUUUCAAAAAAGAUUACCGUGUACUUUGACAAUAUUUACUAUGGUUGUUGAAGUGUAUAUUGUGGCUGCGCAUCCACAAGUUAGAGGAUAUGAGGAUCAUCAAACUUUUCUAUAGCCCUUAAUCAUUUGUCAUCUUCAUUGCCAUUGCCGUGAUAGCAUGUUAAUGUUGUGUAUCACAUAAGUUAUUGAAAAAACUAUUUCGACGAUAAUACCAUAAAGACGACUCGAUUGUUUUUUUAGAAUAAAGUACUCCUAUUAAGCGAAAGUAUUUCUAUGAACUACUUCCGCUCAAUAAGUACUCCUACAGAGUACUCCUUACAACUAUUUUAGCGACAUGGCAUAAAGUACUCCUACAAAGUAUCAUUUCAAAAUGUAUUAAAGGACUAUCUCAAUUUUAGGUUAUAAGACUUUCUAGCAUUGCACACAUUUAUAUAGAUGUUAAUGCAUUUAGUCACACAUAUAUGUCUAGAUUCAUUAACAUAUAUAUAUGAAUGUGGACGAUGUUAGAAAGUCUUAUAAUAUGAAACGGAGGAAGUAGGAUUUAUCACCUUUAGGAAGAUAUUUGGGGAUUUGCCGCCUAUAUAUCUGUGGUAUAUUAAUAUGUGAUCUCAAAACAUUGCAGAUCUUGAAUAAAUAAUAGAACCUUACCUUUUUGAAACAGCUCAUAAAAAUCACAAGAGAGCGUGACAAUAAAUAAUGAGUGAAAAUACUUAAUUGGUCUCUCAAAUUAAUUAAAAAAACCGGCAACUAGGUAGAACUGGUCAUAUUCAUGCGCCAGAAAGCACUUUUGUCUGCGCUGCUUGUCAUGUAUCCCAAGAGGAAUAUUGCAGCAUGGCGAACGCAGACACCGCAACCUAAUCCUAACCCGUUAAAGUGCUGAGUGCUUUUGCUUCACGAGAUUACUGCAUCGAUCGAUCCCGUUAAUUACAUACUCCUUGUAUACUAAAUUAAAAAGGUUAAUUGGGUGUGCACCUGACAGGGUACGUGUGAGUACGUGAGCCGUGAGGCGCGAGAGCACAAGCAUGCGCACCGAGCUCCGAUGACAAGGACGGGAGAUGAAGGCGUUCUUAUCAUCUGAGCCGGAAGCAAAACGAAUCAGGAUGCUCGAGCCCUUCUCACGUUGGCAUGCAUUACUCAGCGUAGUACUCCAGCUAGGUGCCGAGCGGAUAUUUUGUAAUGCGGGCUGAUUAGGAUCGACUAGCAAAAAUUACUACGUCGACAUUACUUCACGACGAAAAUUUUUGUGAUUAAUUUAUCAGGUGCCAGCACCGUAUCAAUCAAAGACUGAAUCCCAGGGGAGAAGUAUGCUGUGGUACGGGUGAGAAUUACCAAGUAUCCACAUGCCAACCAGCGGCGGAUCUAAAAAUUUUCUUGAGCCUCGGCAAACCUAUCAACGGGUGAAGCAUGCACAUAAAACCUUGACCAUUAAUCACAAACACAAGUAGAUUUGGCAUGUAAAAUCUUGCUUUGUGCUGGUUGAUCAUGCGUGUUGGGCUCUAUUAGAUUGAACGAAGCAAGGUAAUAGCCAAUUAGGUAUGUACUUAACGAGCAAUAUGUUGUAGGCCAUGGAGUAAUACGCUGUCGCAGGUCUAGGAGCCUGGGCACCCGCCCAUGCUGGCCGGGCCCUGGCUCCACCACUGAUGCCAACUACUAUAGUUGAUACGGAGUAUGAUAAUUUAGUGGGACUAUCAAUAUGGUAUUUGACAGAACACACAUCCAUUAAAUGUAAAUUAUGGAUCGUUGAAUUGCUUUUAGAUUUAUGCAGCAAUGCCUAACCCUAAUACUUUAUUCUCAUUCCCUCAGUCCCAACUCACACCAUUGUCGCUUCUCCUUUUCCUCGUGUGCACACUCCACUCGCCACCGCACCAAGCCACUGCCUUGCCUAGUUGACUGGGCGGAAGGCUUCAAUGGUGUCGGUGAGGCCCCUCCUUUCCCCCUCCCUCUUCUUUCUGGCGUGAGCUGUUCGCAUGUCAUCGUCUUCCAUGUCUCUGGCAGCUCCCCACCAAUACCAUUGGAUCCACCACCACCGGUCAUCACCACUUAACCAAUCUUUCUGCUUUGUCCCCACCGUCAACACCAGGUCCCCACUCUGCUUCUAACCUCGCGGCUUCGGUAGCACCAUUACCAUCUCAUCGCUCGCCCAAUCCACCGCCCACCGUGGGGCUAUCACCUCCCAUUGCCAUCUCCCUAGAGCUAACGAACUCCUUCAUCUUUUCUCGUUCCCCUUCCUCCACCCCUGAUCCCAACAUGGGACCUAAAAGUGUAGGUCCCCUACUGAAGUUUGGAGUACCACCGAUGCCGAAAAAGAUCAGGAGAUUGUCGGACCCGAAGGAGAAGGGCAAGAGCAUGAAUCACGAAGAUGGACUUUAUGACGAAUGAUAUAUUAGCAAUUUUGUGAUUUAAUUUAGCAAUUUAUUUUUCUUAUAACAAUCUUGUUUGUAUAGGUGGACCAAAGCCCGAGCAUCAUGGAGCCACAUGUAAUGGCUCACUGUUGCGGGUAAGAGGACACUAGCAUGUCUAAUGCACCUUUCAGUCGAUUGAUGCUGACAGCUAGUAGUUGUAGCGAGGUUUGUUUGUACUCCUAUUCAUAAAUAUAUUCCAAACGUACUAGAUACAUUUUGUUACCAAACGUUGAAAAUGGUUUAUAAGAAGGCAAUAUCAUUUUGUAUUGUACUUCCUCCAUUUCACAAUUUAAGAUUUUCUAGCAUUGCCCAUAUUCAUAUAGGUGCUUACAUUAUGAAACGGAGGAAGUAGCAUAUGUGAUGUGAAUAGAUGCUUGCACAUUGGAAUAUAUGAAAAGAAAAAAAGAGACCGCCCACCAACCGAUUACACUAUCCCAACUUAAAAUGAGUGUGCUAACUUAACUCGUAGCGCAAUUGAAAGAGUUUAUUUCAAAAUGUUUACUAGAUAUUUUUUUGAAAAUAUAAAAUUAUAUUUUGUCCGCUUAAAUUCCUGCAGUAAUUAUGCGGGAGGGAUGGCGAGGUUUGAUGGCUACGCGUCUAUGAAUUUUGAAACCAUAUGGUGUAUUGUCAACAGGGGUGAGAUGAACACCAUGGGUUGGAAUUUUGGAUAACGAUAAGAGAGCUGUCUGAUAGGAGUGGGUGUGUAUGAUAGGAGCACGCACUACUCGAUCACCUGCUACAACCUCUCAACAGCUCAGUGUUACUGGAGCACUCAGCUUGAGGAGACUGCCACCUCCAUCGUUUGUUUAUUUUUUAUUAUCAGCCAUAACCAUAAAAUUAAUUCAAAAGUUAAAUUCUGGUUAAGUAGUAUAGUAGAUAACAAUACAUAUAUAAAAAUUUUACUUAUAAACUAUUAUUUUUCUCAACUUACAAUCAGCUAUAGACAAAAUGAUGUGCUCACCCACAACAACUAUUUUUCACAGCUGCCGUAAAUAUUUUGGUGACUGGAUGGCUCCACGUCACCAUGGGCCCACAUGUCUGCUGCCUUUUCCGCUCACGGGCCACAUCACCAGGGUCCACCAGGGCUUUUGAGAAAAGCGUGGGCUCCAGCCUCCAUGUCGGUCGCUUUUAGCAGCAGCAGCGCGCCAGCGCACUCCGGUGGCUUUGGCUUCGCGCGAGCGAGGAGAGGUGCAGCGGUGUACACUGUACAGUGCGCUACAGGUUAACGCAGCAGAAGUGCAGGCGAGGCAGGGCAGGUGCGGCCGCCGUGGUGGUGGUAUCCAGCGGUGGAGCAACCGGCGGCGGCGGCCGAUUAUUGGUUCCUCGGUUCACGGGAGUGGUGAAGCGCAGCGUGGCCACCGGCCACGUACUCGCGUACGUACUCACGCCCGCACGCACGCACGCCUGCGUGCGCUUGUGCCACUUUGGCGACGAGUUGACAACUGUGAGUCCGCGACAGCGAUCACCCUUCGAGUGUGUUGGGUGGUGCACCGACGUUGCUGUCCAUUAUAUCGGCCACCAUUUGCCAAUUUGCUGAUUGCCGAUUGCUACGGAUACGGCACUGGCUUUUCGGCUGGUUAAUCGAGAUGCUCUCCUUUAAUUUGUGAUUCGCUAAAAAAGAUGAAGAAAAAGAUAUGCUUAUUCUGAUCCAUGAUUAGGAUGCACGAACGCUUAACAAAUGCUACUGAUCACUUGUGUGUAGUGCGGUACAGCGGUAACACCCUUGCCGUGAUGAGGAGGAGUUCAGGGAGGAUCUACGGCUCAUACGUACGGUCGUGGUACAUCGUGAGGUGAAGUCAUCCGCUCAGGCCAAAUCUGCGUGCCCGGGCAGCUGCAACUGCAAUAUAUGAUCACUCAAAAAACUUUCCAACAAUGUCAGCUCGUGGAAGCUGACGUGUCCAGGCGUCAAAUUGAUGGAAUUCCAUUUCCGGAGAGACCAAAGCGAGAUCCCCAUAAAAAACGUCUCAUCAUGCGUCCACGCUUGCAUCGACGUACAGUACUACGAUCGUAAAAUAUUAUGCUUCUUUUUCGAAAGGGCCCGGCUAAUGUCACCAGUUCAAGUAUCCUAUCCAACUCCAAGUCAUCCAACCUUGCUAGGAUGAGAACGACACGGAUUAGUGCACUCAGCAUGGCAUGAUUAUGUAGGAAUCCAAUGCUAACUAUACUCGUCUGUUUUAUGAUGCCAUCGAGCCUAGCUUGCUUGAUUGAUUUCGAUCAGGAUGAUAUGCCCCUUCAACCACUCUAUCCUGCAUGCUUAGUUUGCCCACACUCCACCCUCCACAGUGGCAAAGAAAGCUGCGUGAGCGUGACGGCCUGAAUAUUCCUUUUUAAUUUGGCCAAAUGAAAGCUCAGAUUCGCGAUAUACGUAGACACGUAGUGCGCCUCAUCAUGCACGAUUAAGAAAAGGAAAACGCCGAGGGCUGGUGGUCUCAAACAAAACGGUGUGCGUGAUGGAACACGCAUACGUACGUACUACUACAUUAUACUCGCUUGCUCCAGCUUUAGGGCCUCUUUAAAUCACAGAAUAAACAAACAGAGAAAUAGAAAAAACAUAGGAUUUUGACAGGAAUAAAAGUGUAAAAUAGAGGAUUGCAAAACACAGGAAAAACAUAGGAAUGACCGUUUGAUUGAACCAUAGAAAAAACACAGGAAUUUAGGGAGAGAUAAAGACUCAAAAGAUUUCUUCCAUGAGGUUCUAGCUCUUGUUAAAAUUCCUCCAAAACUUAUAUGGGAAGAGGCAUUCCAUAGGAAUUUUAUGGGAUUCCAUAGGGUUCAUUCCUUUGAGUCAAAAGGCUUUAUAGGAAAAAUUCCUAUAGAAAUAAAAUCCUCUAAAAUUUCUAUAAAUUUCCAUUGAAUCAAAUUGCCUUAAUUUAGUCCCAUCGAUAUCCAAAACCAUGCGUACGUGUGCAUCCUGCCAUCAGCCCAUUCUGAUGCACGGCGCACCGUCGUCCGUCGUCGCGACAAGCCAAUAUGCACAUAUAAACGAAUCCACCGAGCAAGCCGGAGCACGACGUCGUGCUGCAUAGCUGGAUGCAUCAUGCCUGAGUGCGUUUGAUACGUACGUACGCUCAUCCACCAACGGGCCCACGACAAAACGACUCGAUCGAUCGGUGAACAUUGCUCGCGUUGCCGUACGUGCUUCGUCGGUAGUCGUGGGUGGGGUCUUGGUCACCCCGCAUGGGUAGGAGCUGACGCGUCACGCGUACCGCCGUACGUGUCGUAUCGUGUAGACGAGAAUUUUUUUUAAUGUUUUGAACUUUUAAAAACAUUAAACCAUUCCAAAACUUAUUAUUAGAAUUUGAACCUUUUUUAUCACGUCAACCUGCUAGAUACAACGAGCGUGAUAAUUUUGUUAUGCCACGCAGGAUGGCGUGGCCAGAUAAUGCUGUCACGCCAAACAGACCGACAUGACAGUGUUCCAAAAGGUUUAGAGUUUUUGAAAAUGUUUAUUUUUAAAAUUUAAAAUUUGAAAAGUUUAAAAAUAAAAAAAAAUUGUGUAGACGAUAACGACGGUCGCGCAGGCUUGGCCGAUCCCGACCCGACCAACCGGGGGCGCUGUCGCAUGUGAAGUGGGCUGCGCGCGUGGGAUUCUCAGUGGCCUUUUCUGGAGUAGCUUCUUUCGGCCCGCUUUGCUGCCAUGGGCCGAUAUGUUUAUUUCCGUCUUACUCAGAGCCCAAUUCGGGAUAUGUGGUUUCGUUUCCGCGGGCGGAAGCGGAGAGAAACGGCGCGGGCCCCGGGGAGAGAACCGGCAUUUCCCGCUGCGCGCAUUGCCGGCGAGGCGCCAAAACCCUACCGCGCGAUAAUCCUCUUCCUCUCCGCUGCGCUCCCUUCCCAGCCGGCGGCGCCAACUUUAGUAGCCGCAGGCCGCAGCCGCCCACGAACCGCCGGCGACGAGAUCCGAGAGGAGGCUGGCCGGGGCUGUCGAUGGCGUCGUGGUGCGGCGACCUGGCUGCGCCGCCCCGCCUCCUCGUCGCCCCUCGUGAGUGCCCCUCCUCCGCCCCCGGCCAUCGUUGUGCUGUCUGGUCUGUUUAGGCUCGCAUGUUUCAGGGCGGUAGUGCGAUUAGUGAUUCUAAUUCCAAAUCCCCAAUUGGAAGCAUCUGGUAGCAGUAGUUUGUUUUCGUCUUCAAUUUUCAAGAUUCCUUUGAGCUCGGUGGAUUUAUGUGGCUUGGUCGAAAUGCCAGCGGACUUAAAAAUUGUGCGAACUGAAGAUUACCGCCUGAGUUUUUUGGUUGGGCCUUGGGGGUCUUUUAAACACUGGAUUACGGAGCAAUAAGUGUAUCACAUGGAGGAGCAUCACAUGCAUAAAUGUAUAAUCAGUUAAUCACAUCCCAUUUUGUGUUUUCCUUGCAGGUCCUUCUGAUGGCAAUUGUCAAGGGAAUGUUUUGUCUCUCCGCCACCCGAGAUCAGGUGCUCUUAUUCCUCCUUGCUUCUGUUUUCUUUGUCGGUUAUUAAAUCUGCACUAGUAAUGUAGACUAAUUUGGUAGCCUGUUAGCAUCUGAAGAAUAGCCAUGCAGAAGUAGAUUAUCAGCAUUCAACAGUUUUGCAUUAACUCUUGCCUCAUCAUCAAACAGAUGAAGAAACAGGGUAUCUGUUCAUCGACGGUCAACUUCACGAGUUCAAUUGGUUUAAGGAGCGAUUUGGAUCUUGGUUCUUGGGUGAUUAUGUUUGUGAAGGUAUGGCAGACACAUAGCUAUGCAGUUGUCAUUUCUAAGAAAAACUUUGUAUUUUGCCUUUAUGGUAAGGUUUGUCUAUUAUUAUCUUGUGUGGGCUAUAGGAAGACAUUUUGAUAGGAAUUAUUGCCCUGCCUCUGAAAUCACCCAUUUAGAUUUUGUUAGCAAGUAAUUAAAAUAUGGAAUCAGACAGACAUGUUGUUAAAGGAGUGGUGCUAUUCUUGUUCUAACACAGCAACAUAAAUAACUUCCAAAUGGCACAAUCUAUUCCAGAUAAAGUUUUUGAAAAAUAUCGUACUGCGGAGAAAUUCAAUACCUGAGUUUAUUGACCUGCUGUCCUUCCUGACUUCUUGUAGAUGGCAGCCUCUACUACUGCACAGUUGUUGAUCCCAUUUUUAUUCUUCUACCAAUUUUGAAAGCUGCACGUAUGUCGGUAUGCCAAAUCAAAUCAGAAAUAUUUCUAAUAUGAGGUUCACAUUCAACAUAUUUGCCUGUUGAAAAUUUGAAAAGCUAGUCCCUCAACAGCUUUACUGUGCUGCAGAAUGGUAAAGAUCCAGGAAAAUUUAGGCAACUGGAUGAAAUAUUGUAUGUUGAAGGAUAUCCUGGAUAUCAACACCUCAUGGGUAUAGCAGGAAACCAUAUUGAUCUGGUCUGUGAAGUUAAAGGUAGAUGUUUGACUUGUAUGUUUGUUCUGAAGUUAAAUGUUAUAUGUAGUUAAAUAUUAUAGCAAACUGCUGUCAGAAUGCUGCCUACUUGUAUUUGUAGUCCGGUGAUUGUGCGGUGCAUUUUUACCGCUUCAUUACCUUGCUGAACUGAAACACUUAUUGGAUAUGGAUGUUUAUGUUUCAUCCGUGCUUUCCUGUGUGUUUUCAUGGAAGAGAAGUUUUACUUAACCAUCUCGCAUGGAUGUUUUCUUUCCUGCAGAAGUUGCUAAUGUGAAGUUCUUUAGGCUGGACGAUUCCAAGGUCUUAUCUUGGUUGUGCUGUAAGGUUAGCUUGUGUCAGUAAUUACAUCUACUAACUCGAUUUGCACUAUGCUAUUCCGCUGAUACUUAUUCUUAUCAGAAGCUAACCCACCUUUUAUCUUUACUUGUCCUUUUCAUAUUACAAAAGCAAGGAUCUAACAUGAAGUUAGGGUGGAAUGUUGCUUAUGUGGGUUAGGAAAAGAGGCAUCUUAUUGUUUUUAGACUGUUUGCCUUGAAUAAGGAUGCAACAAUCCAACAAACUGAGCACAACAUUGAGAAUGUUGAUGGGCUAAAACUUAAUUCUUCCACACCAUGUUUUAAUUUAUAUUUGUAUAUAAACUAUGUGCACCAAACAUUAGUCUUUAAGUUCACUUUGGUUUUGAAGAUGAUAAAUAAAGCAUGAAUUGGGACCCUAGUGAAUUUCCUAUAUAUUUAAGAACAUGAAUGCACAUGGUCAUUCUUGUAAACGUCCCUAAAUAGGUGUCAGAGGGUAGUGGCUGCUAUUCCUUGACUGCUGUUUGUAGCAUUCUGCCUACCUUAUGUUACAACCUUCUACAACCAUUAUAAUGUACGGUGUGUUCCAGUACUGUUUAUUUGUUGCAUAUUUCCUGCCAUUUUCCAGUUGAACAAUUUUACUUCAUAAAUUUCAUUUAACUAUGUUCUUGCAAAAAUAUAGCUAGCAUGUGUUGUGCCCACUAUAACACCACUGCUAUCUGCUGUACCAACACUUUGCCACAUGCUACAUGCAACUCAAAACAUCAUACAAUAUUUUUGCAUGAUUAACCUAGUAAUGGCUAUUGUUAUCUGCAAGAAACAAAUGCCACUUUGGGAUAUCACUUAGAUUUUUUAAAAAAUUAUGCUGCCUUGCAAAUUCAAAAUAACAGUUUGUCUUGGUAGCAUCAUGAGAACAUACCAGUUCAUGUGCCCUCAUAAUUUAUGUUUUGAUACGUCCUUUAGCUGUACUUAAUAUUCAUGCCUGUGAAUUUCGAAUCAUAUUGAUCUCACUUCACUUGUUACUCUGUAGUUUCGAAAAUACUCUUAUGAAUCUCAUAUACAGGUUCACAAUCUAAAAGAGGUUUUCCCCAAGCUAGGCAAAAAUUAUGCUGCCCAAGGAGAAAAAGAAUUAUGUAUGUUGCUGCAACUCUUUUUGUUAAGUCUAAUACAACUGUAUUAGUCUAUUAUAAGAAGGAUAUAGCUCCUUGUAAACUUAUGUUUCUGUUUAUUUUUAUGAGUGUUUUAUCAACCGAUAUCCAAAUGUACAUAAACAUUUUACCAUUGCUAACUUUCACAAUUAUAUGGUAAUAAAAACUGUUUGAAAAUGGAUCGUCAGUGUGAUUUACAUCCUAUUGGAUCACUUUUGUCCCAACCUUAAUUAGUGAAUCCACUUUGCAUUACAAAAUUGUCUGAGUAAACUUAAAGGAGAUUUUGCUUGUGGAGGUGGAUCUCCUCUAAAGAAAAGGAUAUAUCAAAUUAUUUUUAAACAUUUUAACUAAAGUUAUGUAACUUCAAUUCAAGAUAUUGCACAGGGAUUAAAUUCCUGAGUUACUUUUGAAGCACAACUCAAGAAUUUUAUGAAAAUGUAAAUCAUUGUUCUAAUGGAGCGGUUUCCAUUGUUUUGGUUACAGUGAAGGAUGCCGUCCAAAUAAUUCGCGAAUACCUGAACGACGAACCAUGGUUAACGUUACUCUGCAAGAAGUUGCAGUAAGACUUCUCCUUGCAUUAUGUUGAAGAUUUUAGUUCAGUACAGACUUUUAAUUGACUAUGCAUUUUUUUUCUGAGCGAAAUCCGAUAGACUAUGCUCACAUUGGUACAAUGCAUUCUCCACAGGUUGGAUAUCAAGGAGAUCAUUGAAGCGAACAAAACUAGCGAAGCUUCCUUCUGUGCAGAGAAUUCUCCUGUACCUUUCCACCCUGCUGAGGUAAACUCCUUGAAGAUGAUCAGGGUGUUCUACACCGGAUAGCUCAUGUGCUAUAAGCUUAUUAAUCGUGUUAACGCAGGAGAAGCUUGGAAGUAGUAGCACUAGGUCAAGCAAAGGGAGGCCAGCAAAGAAACAAAAGGCUGAGGUAGAAUCGAAGAACAUCAAAGACAUGUUCCGGAGGGUCACAAGGAAAGGAACGUGAUCCCAUAUUAUUUAUAGUAUGACUUGGUUCUGAUUUCGCCAUCGAGACCUCGCAAGGCGCUUCAUAUUAUUGAGGGAAAGCUGAGGUUUUCAGAUUAAAGCAUUGUUUAUGCUUCAGAAGCAUUCGUGCAGCUAAUGGAAUUAACUGUUUAACAAAUUUACUCCAAGUCUCAACUUUGUUAGGUUUGAAAUGUAGCAUUGCAGGCGUGUAUUUAAGUAUUUGAGCAAAGAGUCUUGUACUAUCCUACUGAUUUGUAUCGUACCAACCAAUUUCCUUGAACAUCUUGGCCUUGGGUCACUAGAGUAAUCUGAAAUGGUUGUUAAUGUUAUUUGUGAGCUUCAACACUUCCUAUUUGAGAACAUUUCUAAGUUGUUCCGGAGGCCCGGUGUCUGUUAUUAUCUCCAAAUAGUCUGUGUUACUACAGAUAGUCUACAUGUAUGUACGUGCGGAUAGGUGCUACUCCAAAUAGUCUAUACUCUAGGUAUUUUAGACAGGUAAUUCUGUACCCGGUAUUUAGAAAGUACUCGUAUGACGUAUCACGCUAGAUGGCGAAAGGCAAGUCACUACGUCUGAAAACAAAAAGGUAAAAUGACCUAGCUUUUUUGUCAAUCAACUGAUUAUGUGCUAAAUAGAGUAUAAUCACUUUGGAUGCUUAGAUUGCUCUACAUUAGUUUGCCCGUUGCACCCUCCAGAGGAAUAAUUAACUUAUUUGCCACUAUUAUGAGUGGUGAUAAAAGAUUACCAUUGAACUCACGUGUCAUAGAUACAUGAGAACUCACAUGUCAUAGACAAUGAGUGAUAAAUCUCGGAAAUACUUCUCUCCGGACGGCCGAUUCUAUGCGAGAAAUCGGAUGCCCUUUAUAUCCUUAUGUCUCUCCCACGCGCUCUUGUGCUGCCACGUGUCCCCACCACAUAUUUCGUUGCAACAAAUCACUAACAUAUUUUGGAAACCCUCUGUUAAGGGAAUCCGUUUUAUUUUUUGUUCCACUAAAAAUGUUUCACCUAGUGUACUCACAAUGUUUCACUAUGUAUGGAUCUCAUGUUGUAGUGAAUUGAAACAUUCUUUUGCAACAAAUCACCCACAUAUUAUGGAAACUCUCUAUUAAGGGAAUUUGUUUUAUUUUUUUUCUACAAAAAAUGUUUCACCUAGUAUACUUAUAAUGUUUCACUUUGUAUGGAUCAAAUGUUGCAGUGACUUGAAACAUUCUUUCGCUAUUUGCUGAAACAUUGUUUUUAUAUAAGGUGAAAUAACGCCCUAUUUAAAUGAAUGAAACAUUUUUAUCUACCCAGUGAAACAAUUCUGAUAUACUUGGUGGAACAGCGUGCAACAUUUAAAAAUAAUUCAAUAAUAAACUAUUUUUUUCAUUGGAAUAUAUCCAUGUGUGGUCUUGUUUUAAAAAUUUAAUUGUAACGAAUUUAAUAGUGCAAUCGAAUUAUGAUUUGGACAAAUAAUUUAAGAUAAAAAAUAGUUUAAAAUAGUUUUGCAUACAUACAUACUUGAUGACAUCAUACUGACAUGGGCGUCCGAUUCCUAGUCGUCUCUAAUAAAUUCUUAAUUGCCACCUCUUAAAAGUGGAAAAAAAAAAGAAAAGAAAGUUAAAUGUCCCACCAAAGGCUCCGCGCGCCGCGGCCGCACCCUUCCGACGCGGGCUGAGGCGAGCGGACUCCAGUGGAGGCAGAGACGUGGGCUGCUGCUCCGGCCCAUGGGCUUCCACCUCGAGCCUGGGCCGUCGCUGACGUCAUCAACUCCCCCCCGUCUCCCCACACACGCACUCCCCUGUCCCCUCCCCCCGCUGCUGCUAGGCCCGAUCCACUGCUCUCCCCACCGGUGGUGAGUCACCACGCUGCGUGGCAAACCCUAGUUAACCGGCGCGGCGUCCGGCGACCGUACACUCGGCGGAGGCCGCAGAGCGGCAGCGGCAGGCGGCGGUGCCGCCGAGGGCAGUCGGCUCGGCUCCCGCGGCAAAGCGGGAACGGGAGAGAGAGCAGGGCGGCACACGCGCGCGCUGAGGCUGCGCGCGGUGGGCGCGGCGUCCGGCGAUGCCCGGGCAAGAGCUAUAGGAAGGCGAAGUCGUGGGCUACAGCCCCAGUCCCCAGUGCUAAGGCAGUAAGCUGCUGCUCACUCCUAACCAUCUCCCCCUUUUUCCCUUGCUUGAUUUGUUGGGGGUACUGACCCUUACUAGUAGUUUUAGAAAUGAGAAGAUUGCUGAAACGAUUGCGGUUCUCAACCUUGCUCGCGUAGUCUCAUGCUGCUUGAGGGCUUGCCCAGGCUCCAAAAUUUCCUGGCUCCGCACUUUUUAGAGGGAUGAAUCCGAUGAAACCCAACCUGGCAUUGUCUCGUCGAUUCUCUAGUGGUAAAUAGGAGUUUACCAUAAUGACCGAGCUUGUUUGAUGAUUAUAACUUAGUGAUAUAUAGGAGUUUCCCAUAAUACCUAGUUGAUUUGCUGAUUACAAAUUAAUUUUAUGGAUUGGCUGAACAUGGGAAUGAAAAUUGGUGGCAAAUUCUUGCAAAUUCCUUACUUUCUGAUCCGCUCCAUGGUUCGUGCUUCAGUGACCCUUCCCCUCCAUCUCGGACAAGCUCAUGGACCAGGCAGCGGCGAGGAUGAUAAGUUAGGAUUUGGGGUUGGGGCGGGGGCAGUUUCCUGGGUUUGGAGGGAGGUCUGGGCAGUACUGGCACAACCAGAGUCACUGAGUCAGGAGAGGGCAGUGGGAGGGCUCAGCAGCAGGGACGAAGGGGAACGAGAAGUUCCGAGGUGGAUGACAGCACUAGCCGCCGGGUAUGGGGAAGGAGGUGGCGUAGGGGCAGCGGAUGCAAGGAAGAUGGAUCGGUGCAGUGGGAUAUGGAGGAAGGCAAAGUGGAGGGGAGGGGGUGGGGUGCAUCGUCUGUAGAGGUGGCAGCAGUUGGGGAUGGAUUUGCUGUCGGCGACCUGACGCCUCUAAGGUAGAGGGUAUGCAGUGGUGGAGAUUGGUUAGCAGGGGUGGCGUUGAGUGAUGGCUGGGGGAUGGUGUUUACAUUAUUGGAGGAGAAGAUAUGGGCCUUUGGAUCUCAAUCAAACAGUCAAAAAGCGUACCAUUUAGUGUAAAAAAAAAACUUACCAAUUAUAUAUAGUCAGCCCCAUAAUUUUAGGCACAUAUAUUGGUCAUAUAUUCAAGAUGCUGAUACCAAUUAUUUGCAUUUCCCCAUGUCAUAUUUAGUAAUUACAAGUUACGUUUAUGGUCUAUCAAUAACAGUUGUAUCAGCAAAAUUACAUGUUUAUGAUCUGUUGUCAAUUUUGUUUCGUGUACUGUAUUCCAAGAUGCUUACACUCUCGAGGGUGUUCAAUUUCUGUCUCGAUAUAGGUUUCUGAUUACCCAAGUGUAGAUGUGAUGGACACCCAUCACAGCGAUCAAUAUGCAAAGAGCAGCCUGCAGCUGCAAUUCAGGGACACCUCUGUUUCCUUUGAAAACAACAAUUCUGUUUUGGAUAAGCAUGAUAUUACAAGCCCUCAAGUUGGCAUGACUUUUGAGACAGCCGAUUUGGCAUAUCGGUUCUACUUAGAAUAUGGCUACCGUGCAGGGUUCGGGGUCUCAAAGAGGACUUCCCAUAGUGUUGAUGGGGUGAAAUACCGUGCAACAUUUGUUUGUUACAAAGGCGGCAUUGCUAGGAUCAAGCCUGGUCUCAAAGCUCGAAGGAGGCUUGUUGCAAAGACUGGUUGCAAAGCAAUGAUGGUAGUCAAGUAUAACACAACUGAAAACCAGUGGGAGGUAGUUUUUGUUGAGCUGGAGCAUAACCAUCCAUGUAAUCCUGAAAUGGUUAGAUUCAUGAUGUGCUUUAAAGAUCUCCCUGACUGGCAGAGGGAGCACCGCCCAUUCAAUGCCAAGACUAGAUUGAAUCCAAAGAUUCACUCUGGCAGAGGCAGGCCACCCAACCAAAACAAAGACUUCAUGGUGAAAAAAACCUUCUCACAAUCAAAUUAUUCCAUUGAAGCAGCAGGCAAGGCUGGAAAGCUGAGAUUUGCAGAGGGUGAUGUUGAGGCACUCUUGGUCUUCUUUGAUAAGAUGCAAGCUCAAAAUUCAAACUUUUUCUACAACUGGGACAUGGAUGAUGAAGGUCGGCUCAAGAAUGUUUGCUGGGUCGAUGCUAGAUCGAGAGCUGCAUACCAGCACUUCUGUGAUGUUGUUUGCUUUGAUACUGUUUAUUUGACAUACCAAUUUGUCAUUCCAUUGGUUGCUUUUCUUGGAAUCAACCAUCAUGGGCAAUUUGUGUUGUUGGGAUGCGGUUUACUUGGGGACGAAUCUCCAGAGACUUUUUCUUGGUUAUUCAAGAAAUGGCUAAAAUGUAUGAAUGAUAAAUCACCUGAAGCAAUUAUUACCACCCACUCAAGACCAGUGGUCAAAGCUGUUGCUGAGGUAUUUCCAAAUACUCGUCACAGAUACAAUCUUUGGCAUAUCAUGAAAGAGCUUCCUGAAAUGUCUGGAAGAGUUGAGGAUAAGGAGGCAAUUAGCCUAAGAAUGAAAAAGGUAGUCUUCGACACUAUUACAUCAACUGAUUUUGAGAGGGAAUGGGUUGAGAUGGUCAAUCAGUAUAACCUUCAUGAUAAUCAUUGGCUUACAACCUUAUUUGAAGAGAGGGCAAAAUGGGUACCAGCAUAUGUCAAGGAUACUUUCUGGGCUGGUAUAUCCACUGUUCGCCGCAGUGAGCGGUUGGAGGCCUUUUUUGAUGGAUACAUUACACCAGAGACCACAAUUAAGACAUUUAUUGAACAAUUUGAUACUGCUAUGAAGCUUAGGUCUGACCGAGAAGCGUAUGAUGAUUUUCGCUCAUUUCAGCAAAGGCCUCAAGUCUUGUCUGGUCUACUCUUUGAGGAGCAAUUUGCAAAUGUUUAUACAAUAAAUAUGUUUCAGAAGUUCCAAGAUCACUUGAAGCAGCUGAUGAACGUGACUUGCACUGAAGUCAGUAGGAAUGGAUCAAUAGUGACUUACACUGUGACCGUCAUUGGUAAGGAGAGGAAGUAUGACUACAAAGUGAUGUAUAACAGUGCUGAGAAAGAGGUGUGGUGUAUCUGCAGGUCCUUCCAGUUUAAAGGUAUUUUGUGUAGCCAUGCUCUUGCUGUCUUGAGACAGGAACUUGUGAUGCUGAUACCUUAUAAAUAUAUUCUCGAUCGCUGGAGGAAGGACUACAAAUGCCCCGAGGAAUCCAAGGAAACUCCCAUCUCACCAAAAGCGAUCAAAGCUACAGGGAAGGGCACAAAACCGGAAAAUGCCCGUGAAGAUAAAGUGGACAAUCUGUACAAGCAUGGUCACCAGUACUUUGCUGACAUUGUGGAAAUGGGAGCAACGGACCCUGAUGCAAUGGAGUAUGUUUUGUCGGUCAUGAAAGAAGCCAAAGAGAAGGUACGGAAGUUCGAGGAAUCUCGAAAAGAUAGAAGGCCUGGAGACAGUCCAGUUUCUACUGGUAAGAGAAAUGGCAAGUCUUCAAGACCAUCCAAUGAGGAUGGGGGCAAUGGCAUAUCAGAUUCAACACCUGCGACUACAACAGUGGCGACAGUCGCGGUGGCCACAUCUACAACAAUGCAGGCAACGCCUACAAUGGUGGCUAUAGCGCCUACUUCGGCAACUGUGCCCGCCGGAAUGUUUUUGGUACCAAUGCACCCACAUCCGAUGGUUUUCCCACCUUUCACCCCUGCAGUACCACCAGUGGUAGCACCUGCAGUGCCACCUCCAGCACCAGCAGCCAAUGUGGGUGAUGUGGCUUCCAACUCCACAAGGAAGAGAAAGAAAAGAAAGGGGAACAAAUGAUGUUCCUAAUACUGAUUAUGUAAGCGCUUCACUUUGCCGCUUCUCCUUUUGUGCUGUACUUUGCUUUGUGGUGUUGAUUUAUUCAGAUAAUCUCAUCGUGCCCUUACCCCGUAUUUUUUGUUCCAGGCCUAACUCAAAUUUAGUCCUACAAGCUGCACCAGGCCCUCCUGUCCAUGUGUAAUAAUGGUUUAUCAUCGUCUCCUGCUGCAGGAUGAUCUGCCCCUCUGAAUGCUUUCUGUGAAUUAUCCCCCUUGACUUGGAACUGUCCGUGCAGCUUUGGACUGUCUACUGUAAAUUGAUAUGGAAAGUAAUGUAUUAUGUAUGUAGUGCAGCUUAGGAAUGUUAGUCUCUGUUUCUGCUCAUGUGGAUUGCGACCUGGAGCAGCGCAGUACCAAGACUACCAGUAGCGUAGCAGUACCCCUUGCUGGUUGGUAGAGUACCAUUUUCUUUCCUUUCUGGAGUUUGUCACUUUAUGUAAUGAUGUAAUCACACUGAACUUUAUUGCCAACCACUAAUGCUUAGUUUCAUCUUAUGCCGUUGGCUGUUGCACUGAGCCCUGAGCAUUAUUUUCAUCGUAUGCAAGCUCACCAUUUCUUGUCAUACUGAAAAUCGAUCGUGCAUAUGGUAUGAGAAUGGUUUUUCAGUUUUCUGAAAAUUGAUCGUUCACAUGUUAUGAGAAUGGUUUUUCAGCAAGCAUAUGUAGAAUUGUAGAUUACCGAUACAAGGAGUUGACCCAGGAAGGCAGGAAUAGUAUUUCAGCAUCCGUGGUGCGUAGGAUACUUCACUUCACCCUAAGGAGUUGGCCCAGGUGACUCAAUUAUCAAGCCAUGUUUUGACUUGCCCGAUUAUACUCGUAACAGCCACAGAUACGACACUUGACGCGGCUCCAAGAACUCCUGUGUAUAUUAUUCUCCUGCAUCAAUCCUCCAGAUGAAGAAACCAACAGUCACAUACUCCAUCCGUUUUAAAAUAUUGCAAUUUAGUACCGUAUUUGACAUAACCUAACCUAUUAAUCUAGACAUCUCUAUUACAAUCUUGAUCAGAGUCGUAGUAGAUUAUAUCAAAUAAGAUACCACAUUGCUAUAUUAUAGAAAAGAUGAUGUGCUUAUUGUCUUUAAUCCUUGUUAGACUGUCUACGCAGACGUAGAUUUCCUUUUAAAUACGAGGGUAGUUUUUUAAACAAUAAACUACCUUUCAUAGAGUUCUCAUAAAAUUCUAAGCCAAAAUAUAAAUAUUGAACCUUAAUUUUAGAUUAAUCUAAAGCUUCUUUUAAUCAUUUUCUUUUUCAAGCCUUCACCUUGAAACCGCUAGAGUAAAAAUAUAAAAGUUUCAUUCUAAAUUUAUUGUUACCUUUAUUUGAAUUAUUUUAUUUUCUAUGGCAUAUCAGUCACGAAAUAAUAUUUCUAACCUCUGAUGCAUUAUUUACGUAGAAAAACUGCAAAUGUACCAUACUCACUCCGUCUAAAAUAUAAGAGAUUUUGGAUGGAUGAAACACAACAUAAUAUUACAAAUUUGGACAGAGAGCAUGUCCAAAUUCGUAGUAUUAGGAUGUGUGUCCCAUCCACCCAAAAUCUUUUAUAUUUUUAGGGUGGAGGGAGUAUAAUCCAUGUCUCGAUGACUUCAUAUGCUACCCCUGGACAGGAUGUACCCUCAUUUUUUUUUGCAUGUCACUCAAAUAAUUAUGAAAAACUUUGAGAAGAUGUAUUAAUAUGUGAUAUAUCCACAAACAUUUUCAAAUUCAACUUCUACAUUUCGCAACGAAAAAAAAACAAAUUUGACUAUGAAUAUAUGUUAAUUAGCUGUAGUUUAAUUUGUUUUUUUCGAGAUGUAAAAGUUUAAUCUGAACUUGCAUGUAUAUGGAGUGAUAUACAUUCAUAUUCGUAUCUUUUUCAUAAUUAUUUGAGUAAUAUACAACCAACAAGAGAGAACAUCCUCUCGAGGGAUUAAAAUAGUUUCCAUCCUACCAGCUUGUUAACGGGCCAAACGUCACCAUUAUGAGUCAUGACAUGGGGGAGGAAGAAGGGCCUAUUCACUUAGAUGCUAAAAAAACAUUACCAAAUUUUGGCAUUGCCGAAAUUUUGGCAACUGUGUUUGCCAAAAUUUUUGCAGGAUUUCUUAUAUAACUACCAAAACUUGGCAGCAAACUAAAUAUAACCACUUUUUAGCAAUUUUAUUAAAAUUUGAUAAGGUUAAAAAUUGACAUUGCAGUGAUCAGGCCCGAAAACUUUCGACGACGAAGCCGCACAACCUGCCUCGCCCUCGCGCCCUGCCAUGCCAUGCCAUGCCAUGAACGAGCGGGAAGCUCUAGAAGGGCCGGAAUUCAAAGCCGCGACUCCUCCCCUAAACCUGGCCAAAUGGGCCGUGCCAAGCCGGGCCGGCCCGAGCACGGCAGUACUGUAGCCGGCCCAGGCCCGGCACGGCACGCCAGCCUGUGGGCCGUGCCGGCACGGCCCGUUAUCCCGUGCCGUGUUUGGGCCGAUGCCUCAGCCCGUGGGCUGGCACGGCACGGCACGUUUACUGUAGCGUACCGGCACGGCACGGCCCAGGCAUGGCACGGCCCACCGGCCCAUUUAUUUUUCCUACGAUUUUCUAAUUUUUCCCAUAUAUUUCUCAUAUUUUUUAUUUUUUUCCACAUUUUAUCCUAUUUGUACCAUAUAUUUUAUGAUAUAUUUCCUAAAUUUUCCUCACAUUUAUCCUAUAUUUAUCAUUUUUUCCUUUAUAUUAUGUUUUUUCUGCCUUUUUCUUUUUUUCCCCUCAAAUUUCAAUUUUUAUGGGCCACAUGUACUAGUGGGCCGGCUACCAGCCCACGUGCCACUACAGUAGCCGUGCCGGCCCGGUACGGCCCAGCACCUUCUUGGGCUGUGCUUGGGCCGUGGCCUUGGCACGUGGGCCGGCACGGCACGGCCCGCUAUAGGAGCCGUGCCUAACGGCCCGUGUCCUAGUGGGCCGUGCCGUCGGCGUGCCGUGUCGUGCUGGGCCGGGCCGCCCGUUUGGCCUGCUAUAUCCUCCCCCCACCCCCACCCCUACCCGCACCCGUAACUCCCCCGCCGCGUCGUCGGCUCUCACUGACACCCUCUGGCCCACGCGAUUUCCCUCGCCCGCCGCGCCCCUAUCCGCCACGUGCCGCGUGUCGCGCCUCCCCCCUCCCGCCGCGUGCCCCCUCCCCCCGCCCACGUCAUCACGCCCACACAGAGUUAAAACUCCACCACCACCCUCGCCACCAACCUUUCCCACUGCCCCACUGCACCGCGCUCGCUCGCUUGAUAUCGAUCGAUCUCACCAUGCGGCUCUACCUGUACGUGAUCGAGGCGCGGGGCCUCCCGGAGCACGGCGGCGAUGGGGGCGGAGGGCCGUACUACGCGAGGGCGAAGGUGGGGAAGCAGAGGGCGCGGACGCGGGAGGUGGAGGCGCGCGGCGGCGGGGCGUCGGCGGCGGCGGCGGAGUGGAACGAGGAGCUGGUGCUCGAGGUGGACGGGGGCGAGGCGGUGGAGGUCGGGGUGGCGCGGCGGCGGGAGGGCGGCGGGCGCGGCGGGAGGGAGGUGGUGGGCAGGGUGAAGCUGCCGGUGCCCGCCGCCGCCGUCCCCGCGGGGAGGAGGAGAAGGACGACCGUGCCGCCGACGUGGUUCACGCUGCAGCCCAAGCACCACCGCCGCUGGAAGAAGGGCGCGGCGGAGGCGGCGGAUUGCGGUGCGUACACGCAUUCUCUAGCUUUGAUUAUCGAAGUAAAUUACGUGUGAUUCCGUCCGUACUUUGGGUUAAUCCGCUCCCUUCUCGAAUCGGUCGGCGCGCGGCGCGGCGGCCGACUUUUUGGUGAAGCUACCAGUAUCUUUGUUAGCUUUGCCAAAUGCAGCACGCAAGCUCGUAGUAAGAGGGAUUAGCAUGCUGUUAUACGGAAUGAAAACUUAGGGUGCGUUCGUUUCAUGGACAAUGAGUGGAGAUAGCACAUCGUUUUCCGCGCGCACGCUUCCCAAACUACUAAACGGUGUGUUUUUUGCAAAAAUUUUCUAUAGGAAAAUUGCUUUAAAAAACCAUAUUAAUCCAUUUUUGCAAUUUAAAAUAGUUAAUACUCAAUUAAUCACAUACUAAUGGCUCAUCUCGUUUUGCGUAUCUUCCCAAUCUUCUCGAUCCCCUAUCCCUCAAACUCACCCUAGUAGCUUUCGAAGUCAUUCGUAAUUGUUUUUUUUCAUUCCAGCGUAGUUCGACGACGUCUCUUUCACGGCUGUUCUUUUACUGAGACUCGUGCUGACCAGCAACGACAUGCUCUUUUAAUUUGCACUGUUUGCACAAUUAAUCAUGUAGCCAGCUUAGGCCUUGUUUGGUUACACAAGAAUUCAAUCCGGGUCAGGAAUAAUAAGUAUAGUAAGAAAUUUAUGAUAGAUAUAACGAGAGACCGGGAUUUAUUCUGAGUCGGGAACCAAUUUAAUCAUGAUAGAGACAAUAAGAGACCGGGAAUCAAUCCACUAGUCAAGAGGUGUGGAACUAAUCCGGAUAUUUUGUUGUACCUAAUAUGAGUAAAUUGGUUUCCGACCGGGAAUAAAUCACGGUCUCUUGUUGUACCUAUUAUAAAUUUCUUGUUAUACCUACCGUUCCCGGCCUGGAACGAAUGCUUGUGUAACUGAACAAGGGCUUAAGGUCUUCGCAGCAUCUGUCCUAAACUAGGGUGGUGUUUGGAUUCAGGGACUAAAUUUUAGUGUCAUUAGUCUACGUUUAAUACUUCUAAUUAGUGUCCAAACAUCCAAUAUGACAGGGAUUAAAAUUUAGUCCUUGGAUCCAAACAGAGCCUAGAUUUGGAUACAUACUAGUGAUCUAUGAUCAGCAAGGGACUUGAGCAGGCUACUGCGCACAUAAUUCUCGAGAGUUAUUUGAACAAAUAGUCUUAAUACGAUGCAGGAAACCAGGAUCAAAUUCAGUGUUUGCCAGACAAUUAACCAUUGUGUCUCAGUUUAUAGUAGUGCAGUGUGAGGUGUGAUCCACUGAUUCCCUUUCAGCUGGGAACGGCCUAGUUUCGGUUGUAUACACACACAUCCCCGUUUGGUGUACACAUUAACUCCUCUGCUUUUUUAAUAUAUGACACUGAUGACUAUUUGUCUUAAUAAAAAAAUUAUGCAAAAAAAAUGUGCUUAAAGUAUGAUAAAACAAGUCGCAAUAAAAUAAAUGUUAAUUACGUAUUUUUUUAAUAAGAUGAAUUGGCAAACGUAUGUCCAAAAGUUAAUGACAUCAUAUAUUGAAAACGGAGAGGGUGUUCUUCUCCUUCAGGUGAAUGUUCUGCUGAUAUGUUGUUUUUUGUAUGGUUGUGAACCAGGGAAAAUUCUUCUCACCUUUUCACUGCAUGGAGAAAACAGCGACAAUACUGUUAUCCACUCAUCACCUUGUUCGAGCUCUAGGAGCGACACUGACAUUGAAUUUGAGAGAUCAACUUAUUGGGAACAUUCAAGUUCCAACAGUGGGACGGUUGAUUCUCCCAGGAGUUUUGCAAUAGAACGAUCUUCUUUAGAAAAUUCUGACCGUUCAGCCCAAGCAAAUUCCAAUUCCAACUCUGAAGAUGAUGAUCUAACAGAGCCUAGUGCAGCAACAGCAAAGGGCACAAGUGACAUCGAACCAAUGGUUCCAGAUGCAAGCUUUGAAGAAGCUAUGGAAAUCAUGAAGUCUAAAAGCAUCCCUGACAUGCCAGAAGAUCUUAAUGGUGGUGUCAUGUUCGAUCACACUUACCUUGUGGACUCGAAGAAUUUGAACUCUCUUAUCUUUGGGCCUGAUUCUCAGUUCUCCAAAGAGUUGCGCGAGUUGCAAGGAACUAUGGACUAUGAGGAACAGCCAUGGACAUGGAACAAUAAUAAUCCUCCUAGCUUAACCAGGACAUGUCAAUACACCAAAGGUGCAACAAAAUUUAUGAAAGCCGUCAAAACUAUUGAAGAGCAAACAUAUCUUAAAGCAGAUGGCAAGAGUUAUGUAAUUAUGACUCGUGUUCGUACUCCCGAGGUUCCAUUUGGAAAUUGUUUUGAGGUUGUUAUGCUGUACAAAAUAAUUCACUACCCUGAGUUGUCGUCAAGUGAAGGAAUGUCACAUCUGACUGUAUCAUACAAUGUAGAGUUCCUUCAGAGUACCAUGAUGAAAAGUAUGAUUGAGGGAAGUGUUCGGGAUGGACUGAAAGAAAAUUUUGAAAGUUACGCAGAAAUUUUGUCUCGGCAUGUAAAAAUUGCUGAUUCUGCUGGGAUGGAUAAAGAGCGAUUAUUGGCACCGCUCCAGACUGAUCAUCAGUCAGAUAUCAGACUUGCUUACAAGUAUUUUUGCAAUUUCACAGUCAUCUCUACAGUGAUAAUGGCACUGUAUGUUCUUGUACACAUCUUUCUGUCAAGACCAGGCCCUCUUAUGGGUCUUGAGUUCAAAGGUCUUGAUUUACCUGACACGUUUGGAGAGCUGAUCAUAUCUGGCAUACUAGUUCUUCAGCUAGAACGUUUACUGAGUAUGAUAUCUCGUUUUGUAGAGGUAAGGGUACAGCGAGGUAUGUUUGUUUUCUUUGUUGUGCAUUUACUGUAUUUCUCGUGCACUAGACAUGCAAAUUAACAUAAAGUCAUAACUAUGCUAACUAUGUAUCUUCUUUUGUCACAGGAAGUGAUCACGGGAUUAAAGCAAAUGGAGAUGGUUGGUUGUUAACUGUAGCUCUGCUAGAGGCCACAAGCUUGCCGCCUGUCUCUAGCGGUUCCGUAGAUCCUUAUGUUGUGUUCAGCUGUAACGGCAUAACACGAACAAGCUCUGUGCAACUUCAGACUCAUGACCCUCAAUGGAACGGUUAGUAGAUUUCACACGUUAACUCACUAAUCUCCUAUCUUAAUUUAAUUCAUCAUCUAUUACAAACUGACAGAACAUUUCAGAGAUAAUGGAGUUUGAUGCCAUGGAAGAACCACCUGCUACGUUGGAUGUUGAGGUUUUCAAUUUUGAUGGACCAUUUGAUCUGGCAGUUUCUCUGGGACAUGCUGAAAUUAACUUCCUUAAACACACGUCAGCAGAACUAGCAGAUAUAUGGGUGCCACUGGAAGGUAAAUUAGCUCAGACUUGUCAGAGUAGGUUACAUUUGAGAAUAUUUCUGGAGAACACAAAAGGACCUGAGACAUCAAUGAGAGAGUACUUAAGUAAGAUGGAGAAGGAAGUUGGUAAGAAGGUAACUUCCGACUAACUUGUUCCUGGGUACUGACUCUUAACUAAUAAUUAAACCUCUUGAUGAUGCAGUAUUUGUAUUUAUAUUGCAGUUACAUGUUCAGUCACCUCACAGAAAUGCAACGUUCCAGAAGCUUUUUGGUUUACCACACGAAGAAUUCCUUAUAGCAGUUUAUGCGUGCUCCUUGAAACGGAAGUUGCCGUUGCAGGUAUGAUUGUUCCCUUCUCUGUGUUGAGGAUUCAGUUUGAGCACAUUGCGGUUGACAUGAUAUGAAAUCAAUCCUAGAAUUUUACUUUGAAAACAUUGUUUUACUUAAUAAUCCAAUAUCACCUUAUACUACUCUUAUGUCUUCUUUUGGACCAUUACAAUAUGAAAACAUCAGGUCAUUCACAUAUUAUAUCUGUGGAUAUUAAUAUUAGUAGUAACUUGCAGUUGCUUCUGAUGCAGGGAAGACUGUUUCUGUCAGCCAGAAUAGUUGGUUUCUAUGCCAAUCUGUUUGGACAUAAAACGAAAUUCUUCUUUCUGUGGGAAGAUGUCGAGGAAAUCGAAGAGUUAACUCCAUCUUUCACAACAGUAGGUACUCCAUCUUUGUUGUUUGUCUUGAAGAGCGGCCGGGGACUCGAUGCCAAGAAUGGUGCAAAGUCCCAAGAUAAGGAAGGCAGGUUGAAGUUUCAGUUCCAUUCGUUUGCUUCAUUUAGCAAGGCUAGCAGGUUGUUUUAUCUCUUCCUAGCUUUAUUACCAGUAUUUUUUUUUUGAUAAAGGAAGCUUUUAUUAAUCUCAGACGAUUACAUCAAGUUGAUAGAACCAUACUAAGAAAAAUAAGAUAAGGAGAAUCUAUUUGACGAGAAAACUAUCUGUUCUUCAUUGUUAGGACAAUAAUUGGACUAUGGAAAACCAAAUCAUCAGCUAUUGAACAGAGGGCUAAACUAGAAGAAGAUCAAGAAGAUGAAAACUAUGUCGAUCUUAAUGAUGUUCAAUCUGUAUUGAGCAUUGGAGAUGUGCCACUGUCAAAGGAGUAUACUUUGGAACUGCCUAUCGAUGUGAGUUUUCUGCUUCAUUAGUUCUUCUGCUGAUAGAAUUGCGUUUGUUUCUCCCCCUUUUUAGUGGAAGAGGCUAGAUAAGUUAUACAGUACUUGUGUAAACAUGGAUGUGAAUUUUCAUCCCUCGAGGGUAUGUCCUUUCAUUGCUUGCAUGUCAUAUAAAUAGUUAUAAAAAAUUGAAAAAAAAAAAACAAGAUAGAUUAACUAGUGGCGUUCUUGCAUUUAACGAUCACUUGUCAGUGUACUUCACUCCUGGGAUUCGUUUUUCUGUACAGCUGCACUGCUUGAAUAUUUUCGUUUAUACUCGAAUUUCUCCAACUUUGGUUGAAUUACAUUCAAAUCAGUUCAAAAUUCAAACACAUGUCGGUGGGAUUUUGUCCGACCUCCCAAAAUCUUGUACUUCCACAGAUAAGAUCCUAACCCAUGCUUGUCAACCAACACGCUGUUGUGCCACCACCAUCUGCAGUCUGCAGAAACCCCCGUUUUCCAUCGUCCCUUUGUACUUUGUAGUACUACAUGGUUGUCACUUGUCAGCACGCUGUUGUGCGCCACCGUUCCUUCGAUCGCUUUCUGUACUGUACUCACAAUUGUGUGUGCAUCGCAGGCGGAUCUGCUGAUGGGGGUGUUCGACGGGGGCCCCCUGGAGGCGAAGGCGAUGAGCAGGGCGGGUUGCCUCGACUACGCCGCCACCCCGUGGCAGGACGCCCGGCCCGGCGUCCUGGAGCGGCACGCCAGCUACAAGUUCAACCGCUACAUGUCCAUCUUCGGCGGCGAGGUCGUCAGCACCCAGCUCAGGCUCCCCUCCGACGACGGCGACGGCUGGACCGUCUACGACGUCAUCACGCUGCGCAACGUCCCCUUCGGCGACUUCUUCCGGGUACGCACCCAACAAAUCACAACCACAACCACACCUAUGAACUCUCACGUACUUACUACGAGUCCUCACGUUGGAUGCUAGUGCUUGCUGUAGCUAAGAUGUCGUCAUGCCACUGUUUUUUCCUCUCCUUUUUAUUUUGGUGUGGUUUGAGGAGAGUGGUUAGCUAGGCAAGUGGCCGUGAGUGAAAGGGUGGUUAUGCUGAUAGUGGUUAAUAUUAAGAUAUUUGCAUCUAUCCAGUAAAAAGUACCUCGAGAUACAAAUCGUUUAUGGUUAGAUCUAAUAAUCGGAAACGAUUUAUUACCGUACUAGUAUCUAGAUUUACUUUUUAUUGGACCGGAGAAAAUCUCUAAUAUUAAUGUAUUGUGUGCGCGAUUAAUUUGAUUAUAAUGCAGUUGCAUUUGAGGCACAACAUAUGGAGCGUGGAGGCCGCGUCGUCGGAGGCGGCGGCGAGCAGCGGGAGCCGGUGCGAGAUACUGGUGGGGAUCGAGUGGGUGAAGAGGAGCAAGUUCCAGAAGAGGAUCGCGAGGAACAUCUGCGAGAAGCUGGCGCACAGGGCGAAGGAGGUGCUCGAGGCGGCCGCCAGGGAGAUCGCCCCGGCCUUGUCGGGCUAGCGAGAAGCUGGAGGAGACGGCUGUUUUUUCUUUUUCUUCCAGCAAGGCCGCAACGGAGAAGAUCUCUGCAGAGGAGCAGAGUGCACGACUGAACUGUGUCGGCUUUUGCCUUGGCUGUAGCGUAGUAGUAUCUCCAAAACAGAACGAAACAAAUAGGAAUACGGAGAUGUAUACCAACUACAGUAUAUACGAUAUCUUCAAGAAGUACACAUGAUCCCAAAAAAGUGUACAAGUGUCGAGCCCGAACCGAGCUGUGCGUGCGCGCGCGUGACCAGCCGGCCGAAUUCCGGUGGUUUUUCCUCGUGUCGAGCCGGCACGAUGUGGUGGGAGGUGGCCAACUGUUGGUAGAUCGGGCGAUGCCGUAUUGAACAUGGGCGUGACUUCUCGUUGGAUAGACAAGAUCAUCAUCUGCGGAACGUGGGUGCAUGCGACUUCCUGGUGCUGUUGAUCUGGCCACCGCAGUACCGCACCGCUCAUGGGGAGAGUCAUGGUGGUGGCGCUCGGUUUGUAUGGAUUUCCAAGUGUACAUUCCUGAGGUGUGCAUCCCUCGGUUUCAUCUUAGGUGUACAGGCUUGAAUGCUAAUCGAGUUACUCAUCAUAAAAAUGUCUAAUUCUAUAUAAAAUGUUAUAUUUAUAGGUUUUUAUCAUUGUUAAUCACAUAACCAGUUUCUCGGCAAAAUCUAUAUGAUUAAGGCACGCUUGAAUAGAAGUUUUAUCUGAGAUAAGAAAACGAGCCUUAUAACACUUUCUCGAUCACUUUAAAAGAAUAAAUAAAUGUAUCGGAUCUCUAACACCGUGAAGACCGUAUGGAUCAGUCUGCAAUUGCAAAUGAAUUACAACUAGAAGUGAACUUGCUAACGAAACGAGAAAAUUGGCUUACGACAUUAUAAAGCUUCAAACUGUACUACAAGUCUACAACAACAUUGAAUUGUGCUAAAAAAUCGGAUGAUAUAAAUUUGAACUCUGAUUUUUUUUUCUUUUGGUACGAACAGAGACCAAUUUCCCCUCGAGCUCAGCCUCAGAGCCGGCGCUAGGCAAAGGGGAGGGCACCCAACUACUACAGUACCCAAGUCGUNCGCGCCGCCGCCGCCUCCCCCCAAAAUCGCCCAAAAUACCACCGAGCCAGACGCCACUACGCCAUAAAAGCAGCCUUCACUCUCGUCUCCUCCUCCGGCGCCGAUCCCCUCCCGAAUUCCGCCAUGGAUCCGGCGCCGAAGGCCCACCCCAUCCUCUCCUACGUGCUCUCCCGCCUCCCCACCCUCGCCAAGGCCCGCCCGGCCGGCGGCGGCGGCGACUUCGACAUCGAGCAGCCGCCCGUGCACACGCCGUCGCCGCGGACGCCCUCCACCGCGGGGGAGUUCGAGCUCGUGGAGCGUAUGCCGGGGCUGCGCCACCCGUCCGUGCUCCGCGCCAUGACCCGCGCCGUCGCCGACGUGUCGGCCGCGCGCUCCGCGCUCCAGGUCCUCGGCCCGCGGCCCGACCACGAGCUCGUCGACUCCUCCCGCGCGAUCGUCGCCGCGACCGACGCCGAGGCCGGGGGCUCGCGGCGGGUCCCCGAGGGGGACCUCGAGGCCUGCCGCGCCGUGGUGCGGCUCGAGGAGACGCACGACGCCUACGAGGCGCUGCUGCAGGAGGCCGAGGGGAGGCUCGAGGCGGUGUACCGGUCGGCGAUGGAGGGGAAGGACCUGGAGGAGCCCGACGGGAGGGACGAAUCGGCGGCGGCAGCCGCCGGGGAUGAUGCUGCGGUGCAGGAGGAGGUGAUCGCGGUGCUGAGGCAGGCCGAGGAGGGCAAGCCGGUGGAGAGCGUCCGCCUCGUGGACCGGCAGCUGCGCCACCUGCCGGAGGCGUUCGGGAGGAUCCAGGGGCUCCGCGUGCUCGAUGUCUCGCGCAAUCAGCUCGAGGUGAGAAAUCUGUUAUCUCCGCAUGCUUUAGAUCUGCUUGUUUAGAACCCUGUAACCCAAACAAUGCUUGUACUGGGUUUUGUACGCAUUUAGACAUCUGAACGGAUGGGAUUUUUCUCUUCUGUACUGUGAAAUUGUGAAUUGAUGGAUUGAAUCUUAUGUUGAAGAUGAUCAGAAAUAUAGGGCCAUAUGCAAAAUGUGUACGUGAGCGAUAAAAUGCCUGUUUUGUGGUGUUGCACACAUUCUACCAUUUGAACUGUAUGCUGAAAAUAGUUUGGGCACUGAAUUUUCGGUAGGAUUGUGUUUUUUGUGUGUGUGUGUUAUGGUAUGGUCAGUUCCUAUUAUUUUUAGAGUCCUCAAGACUGCGCAUGUACUAUUUUCUUUAUAGAUUUACUAGUACAACUUAUUUAUUGGUGAUGAAACAGUUACUAUCUUAGGCCUUAGGAUGUAAAUAGUGAAACACUGUAUGUUAGUAUUUCUUUUUGCUGUUUUUAUUUGAUUACUAAAUUAGGCUAUGGGUGGAUGAGUGCUGAAAGUUAUGGAUAUAGUGACCCACUAGUCUUGUUUUAGAGUACUGAGAGUUAGCUGUUGACCAUCUACAGUCUGAAACUCAGAAUAACUGGAUACUAGUAUGUAGUAAGUAUUGACAGAACAAAUGUAGAACUGGUAGGAGCUUGGCGUGUAUGUAAAUUCCUGAUUAGAUUGUGGAUUCACUUUCUAAUAUCAUCCUGUAUUUAAUGGUUGGCUUGGAUCAUUGGAAAAUCAUAGGUAAGAGUAGGGAAGGCUGGCUUUGUUUUGAAUUUUGGCCACUUCCUCUAUAUCCGUGUUUACAUUGAUGUUUAGAAAUUUCUUAGUUUAUUUUUGGGAUAUUAGGUUGUGCUCAUUUGAGUUUAAAAAUAGACAAACAAUUAAGCACAUACUAACUAUAAUUAUUUUCUUUGAUAAACCUUUAUACUCAGUUAUUUAAAGAUAGACAUAAACAGUUAAGCGCGUACUAAAUAUAAUUAUUUUCUUUCAUAACCCUUUUAUCCUCAGUGGCUUGCCUGGUCAUAUUUCCAUAGCGACAUACUGUACACAUUUUGUUAAGUAUGUUGUUGUUGUGUCCCUUGCUUCAUUGGUGAAUCAAUGUGAUUGUAGGUUAUUCCAGAUGCUAUAGGAGGACUUGAUCAUCUUGAAGAGCUUCGUCUUGCUUCCAAUGCCUUGAUUUCUCUUCCUGAUUCCAUUGGACUGCUAUUGAAUUUGAGGAUUCUGAAUGUGGGAAGCAACAGGCUAAGGUCAUUGCCAGAUAGCAUCUCAAAGUGCAGGUAGAUAACUUUCUUUAGCUUAACUCUUGGGUUCAGCAAAUGUUACUGUUCAAGUGACUGAUUGGUGCAACUCCAGGUCAUUAAUUGAGCUUGAUGCGAGCUACAACGGGCUCGCUUAUCUGCCAACCAACAUUGGGUAUGAGCUGGUAAAUCUGCGGAAACUCUGGGUCCAUAUGAACAAGUUGCGGUCACUUCCAUCAUCUAUCUGCGAGAUGAGAUCAUUGUACCUCCUGGAUGCACAUUUCAAUGAACUAUGUGGUCUGCCAUCUGCCAUAGGGAAACUUUCAAGUCUUGAAAUUCUGAACCUGAGCAGCAACUUUAGUGACCUGAAGGAUCUCCCUGCUUCUUUCGGUGACCUGCUGAAUCUGCGCGAGCUUGACCUCAGCAACAACCAGAUCCAUGCUCUUCCCGACAAUUUUGGUCGGCUGGAUAAGCUAGAGAAGCUCAACCUGGAGCAAAAUCCCCUUUCUAUGCCGCCAAUGGAGAUCGUGAACAAAGGCGUGGACGCGGUGAAAGAAUACAUGUUGCAGAGGUGGCUUGACAUCUUGCUCGAGGAAGAACGGAAGAGCAUCGCAGCAGCGGAGAGCCCUCAAGCACCGACCACUCCUUCGGCCUGGCUGGCACGCAGCGUCUCCUGGGUCUCCGACGUUUCCGGAAGCCUUGUGGGGUACCUCAGUGGCGAGAACAAGACGGAGAAAGAUGCCUACCUGGAUCAGCAGUACUGAAAGCGCUCACCUGUGUGGUGUUUGUGCACCGUGUACAUACUAUAAGCGUUCCAUGCUUACCAUCUCAUCUGGGAAAAUCGUUUUGUGUUCCUGGUGAGUCGAGCCAUACACUCGUGCUAGGCUUGCAUCCCCCAAAGCAGGCUUUGGGGUUUAUUUUGCCCGUUUUAACUUCCGGACGUCCUUUUCAUAGCUUCACUUGUUACAGUAUUAUAUUACUUUGUCGAAUAAUAAUGUGGAGACAAAUAUGACCGGAGAGUGCGCUCAAGAAUAUCAAUGCUUUAGAGCUUUAGGCCUCAAUGUUUCGACCUGUGCGUUGUGCUGGAAUGGAAGCGGCGGCCGUGUUAGUACAGGUUGCCGUCGCCGGCAAUUGUGAUUCACGUUUUGCUCAUCCGUUUCUUGGCAAUUGCGAUUCAUAUUUUGCUCAUCGUUUCUCGAUCUCCUUUCUGUGUAUCACGUGUUUUCAAAAUUUUGCAAAUACUGUGUUACACGUCGCUAUCGCGUACGAGAAUUCUCCCAAAACCCAAUCACUUUCAACAUACUCCCCACCAACAAAAGGGGAGAAACCGAACCAGCAGCAACGUCCACGAUAAUAGCGCAAAGAACCAGACGAGCAACACAAGUUUAAUACAUCAUAUAGCAUAAUAAACAACUAGUAGGUACGGUACUUAUUUCGAUUACACACCGAUGAUUAGAAGUCUUUAAACACCACUACUGGCACUACACCAGACCCUCUAAGGUUGCUGGCGAGUAGGGGUAGCACAGCAGCACGAACGCCGCUUUUAACUAGGUAAGCUAUUUAUAAAUAUACUACGGUCUAUAUCUUGGAUACUGCAAGGUGCUCAAUAGCUGAACACGACGAGGUCAUCACUGGCCCUUCUAGGAGGGGCAAAAAAGAUUCACGGCCACAUGCUUCCUCGCCGUCCUUGGUGAGCGCCUUGUUCAUCUCCGUUCUGAUCAGAUGCCCUGAUGGGGAAAUAAGAAGCAAAGGUUCAGAUUAACUCUUACCCGCAAUGACAAAAUAUGGUGCAUAGGAAUGAGACAUCCUGAACUUACCAGUUCGUGCAGUUCAUCAUGGAGUGCAUCCCAUUCGAGGAUGCCACAGAGUUCAUCAAUGGACUGCUCCAGGUUGUACUCGUUCCGCCUAAUUAUUUCCUUGUUCAGGUCGACUUGCCCGAAGCCCAUCUGCCCCAGCUCUCUCAGCAUGUUGUCCUCCACGGCACUGAUGUGAUCAGAUGAAGGCUCGGUAGGCAGGCAAGAAGCAGCGCGAGCAGUUGCAGAGGGCAUUCCAAUGGCAGCAGCAGGUGCAGUGGGCUCACUGAUAGGAGCAGCAGCAGCUCCGACAGGUGCAGCGGUAGUCGCACUAACAGGAGCAGGCGCAGGUCCAGAUGCAGGAAUGCUAACAGGUUUUGGCAGGGGAACGGCUUGAGGUGCAGGUCCAGGCGUGGCAGCAGGCUUCGAAGCCUUUUCAGCUCCAGCAGAUGAAGUGAGGAGAUCAGUAGCUGGCACUAGCACUGAUUCAAAUGCUCUAGGUACAGAAGGUACGGCACUUGAAACAAGCUCAGGUUCCAUCGGUUUGGUGGCUUCAUGGUAUAGUGCAUGUGCAAGAGGAUCAGUUAUGGUGCUUCCAGAGUAUUUACCCACAAUAUCUGCAGACUGAAUAUUUGCAUCAACAGAAUGCUUCCAUUCUGUGUUGCUUCCUUCUGGGGGCAUGUUCAAGUUUAUAGCAGCACUCUGCUUGUUGCUACUGGUUUUGACCGGGUGCUCCACCUGCACAUGAAUUUGGAAUCCAAAUGAUCAGAUAACAAAGGAAGUGCCAAAGCCAAUGAGGACGAAAAAGCAAUCUAUGGUGGAACAAACCUGAAUAAAAACCCAAACUCGCUGACCAAACAUCUGGCCAGUGGGUGAUGCCAAUCUCCAGUACGACACGUACCCACCAGGCUUUGCAGGUGUGACAAAAUCAACACCAACAUCGAUCUCUUGAUCAAUAGGGAAACCAUCCACCGAGAUCUGCACAUGCCGAAUCAGAGUUAACAUUUUAGUGCAAUACUGCCUAACACUCUUGACCAUUCGUUGGUAGUUAUACUAAAUACGAAAAGGGUAGGGUGUACCCCUAAUUUAACUGAGCUGUUGCGUGCAAAUAGAUGUCCACCAACCCAGGUAAGACAUGUCCCAUAUGGCCACAUGGAAGAUCCAUUGUUAUGUAUGCGCCAAAUCUUUGUAAAUGGGGUUGAUGGUGCCAUUACUGUUCCAUCAGGGACAGUAACAUCCUUAAUGAAGCGGCAAUCAUGUAGCUGUCGAAGAUGUGGAAAGAGCAUCUGGUUCUGAAAAAUGGCCAGAUGACAGUCAGUUGACACUGUUCUGGAAAUGUUUUACGAGAACUAUAUGAUCAUGAAUUUGAACAAGUUGCUGCUUUCACCUGAUUGAGGUCUCUACAUCGUCUACUCCCAAAAGAUGGUCUGUCUAUUCUGGUAUAUUCAUUCACAUUGCCCAUUCGAGAAAAACAGGUAUUGCAUAAAUCAUAAUCAUCUUUACUGCACGCAAAAAACAACAAAUCAUGUUAGAAUAAUGGCUUUUUUUCCUUCCAUUCCAAUUCAACUUACGAUGAUGAACUAGAACAACCAUUGAACUCAAAACUCACAUAUUUGACUUGUAGCGAGAACCAGCGAUAGGAGUGACCCCACAGCCAUCGCACUGUAUCCAUCUAUGCAGUGUGUGCUGCGCCAUGCUCUCGUGCUUAUCACUUAGAUCCCUGUAUGGGCACCUAUUACAGCUGCUGCCUUCAGAAUAAGGUCCAUAAAGACCGACUGGUGAGAGAUUAUCUGGCUUGGAUGUGUUACUUUUGCAGGUGCAUGGAGGGAAAUAGUGACCACCCUUUAGGCUUCUGUCAGCUUGGAGGGACUGAACUGGGUAAUGGGAGAGAUUCUCAGGCUUAGAUGUGCUACUUUUGCAGAUGCACGGAGGGUAAGAGCAACCACCCUUGAUACUGCUUUUAUCAGCUCGGAGAGACUGAAGUGGGUAACGGGGAAACAGUGGUGGAGGAGGGCAUGUCGAGUUCAAAUCACCACCAAUCUGGCCAUUAGGCCCAAAGGACUCAGAAGAAAGGCCUAGUUGUGUCCAGAAAAGAUCACUUCUUAACCCUUCACCGCAAUCUGAAGCAGGAGCAGAAUGAACAGUAGGUGCACCAUGACCAAUGCUAGUAACUUGUGGCACAGCAGAGGAUGUAACAGACUUGCCCUUACUUUGGGCAUUGGUACUUCCCUUGUUAUCAACUUUUACCCAGCCUGAAAGGGUAUCCACAUAAUAAGGAUAUCCCGAUACAUGUUCAGCUUGAGCUUUGAUGUCAUCAAGAAGCACACCCUUAAGACCAAGUGAUUUAGUUGAUCCAGAGUUAUGCAUAUCCAGAGGGUUCGAAGCUGAAACAGCCAUGAGCUCAGUGUCAUUUUUAAUAUUCAAACUUCCCAAAGUUUGUCCCCUACCACUAGAGGAGCCAGAUGAACCAUCAGCAGAACCACUGGAAGACUGCAUUUUGCUCUUUGGUGCCAUCAGUUUAGCAAGCCGGUCCAGCAAAUCAGCCAAUGAUGGCGCUGAUGAUGCAGCUUUAGAACGCAAGUCAUGUGAUAUUUUUGCAAGGACAGUGGGAACUUGUUCUGGUACAAAUUUUAAAGCUUCAUCGAUAGCUAAUUUCACCUGAGCCAAUUGAUCUUCCAGAGCAGUGGACAUUACAGAUAUGGAAUCCAAUACCUGCUGUUUUGUCUGAUGUACCCCAUCACUGCUGCUCUUCAACUCAACAUUAAUCCUAAGAGGGUUCAGUCUCUGACUAAUGGCAGCAUCACAUAAAUCACUAUCAUCAUCCAGUAUGACAACAUCCCCAUCCUCAUCAGUAUAGGUGAGUACAAACUCAGUAUCUGGAUUGAACUUAAAAGCACUCGCAAUCUUUGACCGAAGAGCAGCCAGAUUAAGAUCAAAGUGCGGACCAUUCACAAAAGCAGUGAACCGCUUAAGAGUGCCACCGAAUUUUACCUGAAACAUCAAGCAAAUUAAAAGAGAAAUAGAUAAGAAUAAUAAUCUAGUAAAAUUGCACGAGGUAAACUUAAAUAGAACAGUAAGUGGUUUGCUUUGCAGGCAAGAUGCUUAAGCAAAUGAUAACUCAAUUCUGUUCUUAUCUUAGCAGCUGAUCAAUGUUGAUUCAGUUAACAGUAGCGUCAAAACACAAUUCACGGAACCAAAUCUCAGCACCUGAUGCUACAUAAGUACCAAAAUUACAUGGCAUUAAUCAGUUAAGGACGACUGCCAAGUUAAGCCGUUGCAUGUUGAGGGAAGUGGGUUGUCUUCUACACUGAAGAGAUUUAUACAGCCAUAUCAUGCAAACCUAAACAGAUUUAUUCAACCAUAGCAUGCAAAACUGGAACAUUCAACAUACCAACAAAUUACAAAGGAACAUACAUCAAAGUGAUCAAGAUACUCUACAAUCAAAUCCCCAUAGCAAGUACUCUUGUCUAGCUAAUCAGAAAAACAAAAAGCCCUGCAAUAAUCUUGAUUUCGAAGGAGUCCUCACAAUAAUCGCCGGCGUUAAGGACUGAUAUUUCUACACUAUUUUACAAUCCCUGCAAUAAUCUUGAUUUCGAAAGAGUCCUCACAAAAAUCGCCGCGUUAAGGACCCGAUAUUUCUACACAGUUUCACAAUCGCAAACAAUACAGAAACGAUCUAAUCCUGGGCGCCCAAAAAGAUGCAAAAUCCAUCCUUUCAAGAACAACACUACCACCCGGUCGCAUCGCUCCACAACCCAGCACGGGCAACAGAACCCACUCCCCACCUCCCUGCGACAAAACCCCCAUGCGCGAGCAAACCAAGAACGCGGCAUUCCUAGCACAGAAACACCGCACCCGCGAGGAGCCGGGAAAAUAAAUUAAAAAAAGAAAGAAAAGAAAACCUCACCUUCACGACGAGAUCCCUCUCGCCCUCGCGCGCCGUCGGCGCAGCGUCCCGGCGGCGAGACAUCCCGACCAAACGAAGCCCCGCGAUGGCGAUGGUGGCGUGAGACGAAGACGACGAGGCGGAGGGGAGGAGGAGAAGGAGACGGGUUGAGUCAAGACCUCCCUUUUAAUCCGUAAGCAAAUUCCGUUUCCUUCGAUGGGAAUGGAAGGGAUUGGGAGGAGGAAAUUCACGGGCUUUCGCGGGGUUUUCUGCGUAAAUUGUACUGCGUCCUCGACGCUUUUUGGGCCCACCUGUCAGUGAGAGGCGGGUGCCUCGGUGGCGUGACAGGAUGAAAAGGGUUGGGGCGUUUUGUAAUUCUGGAAUUAGUUUAAGUGUGUGCUCGUGGUUUUGUACUAUAGUGCUUAUCUCAUUGUGGGGUCCAUUGGUCAGUGGGAUCGUAUGGAUAGGGGAUGGAAUUAUAAUAUUAUACUUGUGUAAAUAAUCCUUGUAAUAACCUAACGGACGACCUCACGAGUCACGACCAAAAUACUCCUCCUUGUGGGCUGUGGCAGCUUGCUUCACGUUCACCGUCAGCCCGUCACCGAUCUUUCUAUGACCUGUGGGCCACAGCGUGAAUCUUUGUCUUAUCCCCGUUUUGCAGCAGCAAGUCAGCAAGGACGAGUGAAUGACCAUUGAAUGCUGACGAGACCCUCGCAGUUGGGAACUUUGGGGUGCUGGGUUACCUUUACUUGUGGAUGUAAAAGUACUACGCGUCGAUGCCUCGCCUUGACACGGAUGAACUACUGACCACGGGAGGCAGCGAGAGGCCGACAGCUCGGCACCCGCCGCAUCUGCGGCGGCCAUCCGACUUCGCCGAGGCGAGCCGUCGCGCUCGCUGCGCCCGUGCCCCGGAGAUACGAGAAUUUCCUUGGCUCGGUCGCGGUCCAGCAGCACAAGCCGAAAUCCACGAUGCGACGGCGUGGAAAACCCGCAUCAGCAACACGCCUUUUCUCAGGCUCUCGUCGUGCUCGCCCCCGUCUCCGUUCCACGGAUGCCCACGACACCCCAUCCGCGCGCGUGGCGCGGCCCACUCGCGUAGUCGCGUGGAUGGCACUUCCACCGGCUCUCGCCUCUCGCGCGGCCACCACCACUCGCGACGCGGGCCGCACGGUGCCACAGCCCACGUACGUUCCCCCGCACGCACGCCACGCGAGAUCGAGCCGCGCGGCUCACGGGCCGGACGCACCCACCACGCGCGCCAACGGGCGAGCAGAGGAGAGGAGACGUGCGUCGUCGUGUGUGCCUCCGUGCGAGACGAUGUCUGAAUCUGAACACCGAUCCUUUGCAAAGGUUGGGGCAAGUUAACACGCCCGCACGCUUCGGUCGGAGCAGAAAAGGGCGAGCACUUGGACACUUUGCACAGGCAUCAGCUUGGGCGAUUAACGGAGAACAAAAAAAGCUUGGACGAUUAACACACUGCGUGGUAGCAAAGCAUGUCCGUCGCUGCGAGCCUUUGCUGCAUGUAUAUAUACACGGAUUUUUCUUUCCAGUGGGACUGGAAAAAAGGAAACAGUUCACAGGGCGUAAAGUCCUGUGAUUAAAGCGAAUACAUGCCCGUUUCUUUUCGAUAUCUUGAGUGCACAUAAUAAUUGUUUUGGUUGUUCUUCUAGAUUAGUAUACACGUACAACUGAACACGUAGAUGAAGAAAGCUUGUGGGCUUGUGGGCUAUGGCAUGAUGGUAUAUAGUCUUCUCCGGGACCUACAAAAUAACACAAAUACACACUCAACUGAGCAUAAAAUGCAAGAGGUGGAGGUGGUUGCAACUUGCAUGGAAGCAAAUGAGUGGACGGUGGCCUGUGGGGAACCAAAAGAACUUCACCGCCCAAAGUAGUUCGUCUAAGGCCGUGUUUAGUUAUUUAGACAAAAAUUUUAUAUGUAUACAGAUACACAUUUAAAAUAUUAAACGUAGACCAAUAAUAAAAUAAAUUACAGACUUCGCCUGUAAACCGCGAGACGAAUCUAUUAAGUCUAAUUAAUCCGUCAUGAUGGCAAAUGUUUAAUAUAGUACCGUAUUAUCAAAUCAUGGUAUAAUUAGGCUUAAAAUAUUUAUUUCGCAAUUUACAUGUAAACUACAUAUGUGUGUGUCCAAACAUUUAAUGCUCUAUGCAUCUGGACAAGCAGCUGGACAAGCAGCAUCACCGCACAGAGUCAAUCGUCUUAGAAUUGGACAAGCAUUUUUUUACACGAUGGAAACGGUUUACAUCCUCAGUAAGUGACGAACGAAAAAAAAAAACUAGAACCCAAUGUAUACUAAUUACAAAAUUAUUCACUGAUAUAUUUAAUUAAUAUGGUAUAAAUUAGACAGAAUUGAAUAAUCUAUUCAGGUCCUGUGACCACACGAAGGAGUACGUAGGGACACCAAUGUCUCCUACAUAUGCUACAAUGCACAAACACUUCAGUAUUUUGGUGUAGAAGUGAAAGCAUCUUGAAGGUUACUCAUGGCUAUCAAGUCUUUACCUUCCUACACAAUGAAUCUAGAGCAAAACAUGCGAUGAAUUAAGAUAAACUAUCUCGAUUUCAUUAAGCAGUCAGCUGGUGGACCUGUGAUAAGGAGAUUAAGAUGCUCGUAUCUAGAUCCGUCCUCAGUGCAGUACGGCUGAAGUUAUGUCCUCAUAGUAUUUGACAUCAACAUUUCAUCUGCCUAGGGAAUAUGAGCUCUAAUGCUCUCGAGUUUCCUUAAGUGGAAUGCCAGCCCAAGUUGUUGCAACUUGCAAUUGCAACUGCACAGCGCUUGAUCCGAGAAAUACAGAAGGUCCGAGGGCCCCUUUGAAUCGCAGGGUAGAAAAAACGGAUGAAUAGGAAAAACACAGGAUUCUGACAUGAAUUGAAGUGUAAAACUGAGGAUUGCAAACACACAGUAAAAACACAGGAAUGGUCGUUUGAUUGGAGCGCAGGAAUCGGAUGAGAGAGAUAGACUCAAAGGAAAUUUUCCAAGAGGUUGGAGCUCUUGCUAAAUUUCCUCCAAAAUCCACAUGCAAUGUGCCAUUCCAUAGGAAUUUCAUAGGAUUUGGAAAGCUUCAAUCCUUUGAAUCAAAGGGCCAAAUAGAAAAAUUUCCUAUAGGAUUUGAAUCAUAUGAAAUUCCUACAUAAAUCAUUUGAUUUAAAGGGGCCCUGAAUGUAGCUAUGCAGGGCAAUGGUCUUCUGAAUAUUGUAUUGGCUAGAACUUCAGGUCAAUACAUAGGGGAAAGUUUCAGGCAAAUUUUCAUUACCACGGCCCAUUAUUUUGUGACAACAUCAGAAGAGAAAAGGAGUAUUCUGUAGGUCAGUGCAAAAUCGAAGUACUGAUACCAUGCAAAAAGAAAAAAGAAAAAGAAAGGAAACAAAAACAGAGUUCUCGGGACUAAUUAAGUAGAAGAACUUUUAGAUUUUGAUGAUGAAUAUACUCCCCUUUUUUUAUAAGAGAACUGAUGAUGAAUGUACCUGAACUGGAGUAUUCAAACUUUUCCUCCACAUUUUUGGACCACAGUUGAUUUCCUUAUUGUUUUGUUUACAAAGAAGCACUGCAGCAAAGGCUCCCCAAAUUUAUUAAACCGCACUCAGUCCACUCAACCUUGGCCCAGCUCCGCAAUUAGUUGGACUGGAUUGCACAACUGUCAAAUCAAUGGGCUAUAAUGAAUUUGUUAUGCACCCACACACACAAAAAUAUGAAAAGAAUAUCGCCAUUUCUGAACCUGCACCUGAUAAAAACAUCUUUACAUAGUUCCAGCUUGGUUUAUGUAGUCCAUCACAAGUCCAUUUCACAUAAAUAUUCCGGAAAAAUCUGUGUUUUCUAAAAGAUAAUGAGAAUCCCGCCAUUUCAGCCUUUCACUCAACAGGAGCUAGAACCUAUUAUUAUUUAUCACAUUACAUCGUAUGUCGACAAAAUCCACAAAAUAACAAGAUAACCAAACAUUUCAACUCAAGGAAAGAGAUAACAUAAUCCGGAAAAUCUCUCGUUCACAAGUUGAAUCGACUAGGACUGAAACCCCACUCAGUGACAGGUAAUAUCUUCUACCGAAUGCUGCACAAAAGAGCCAAGUAAACGGAGUGGAUUCUAAACUCGAAGGAGAUGAAACAAUAUUGUUUUAAAAAAAAUCUACAAGAUAAAUUUAUAUGUGUUAAAUCACUCCAUAAACAUGAAAGCUCAAAUUUAACUUAUGCUCCCUUAGAUUAAGUUUUUUUAGAACGGAUGAAAUACAAGUUAAAAAAAAAUCUAACUGCGAAAUUCAGCAAAUUUUUACUGAAUUUUGCUCUCCUCUUCUCACCUCUCACUUGUCAUCCCUAAAACUCUCCUGGUCCCCGCCUCCCGCACCACGCCGUCUCCGAUCAAGAUUCUUCCCUGAUCCCCUUGCUGCUGCUGCCAUCAAAUCCUUGGACAUUUCCAGUUGCAAAUUUAGACUCUUCCCCCGCGAUUCCCAGCACUCCCAAGUCCCAUCCUUCCCGCUGCCCCAUCCCAUCCCACUAUCUCCCUAACCACUGUGAUUUAACCACCGAGGAGGCGGCAAGAAUCGUGUCCAGCUCCGCACCGUUGUUAGGCGGGAGUGGAGUGGACUGGUUAUCGUCCACGCAAGACGACGACGACGACGACGACGGCCGGAGCUCGCCGGAGCAUCGGUGUCAGAGAUGAGGGUCAUGAAGCUCGGAAAUAGGCCGGACACCUUCUUCUCGUCAGGCCCCGUCAGGUAGUUUUGUAGUUUUGUUCUUGUUCAUCGACUGUUACUUCGAUCGUUUGGUUGUCGUGUGAAUCGUUUUUUGUUUGAUCGGUGUUGGUGUUGGUUGCAGGUCGGUCUCCACGGAUUUGGCCACUGACAUGCAGAUUCUUGUGGAUGGUUGCCUGUUUCGUCUCCACAAGGUAAGCUGCAAAGAUUUUCUUGUGGUUUGCGUCGAUCAAGAACUGAAUUUUUUUUCUCUGUUUUUUUUUUGGUCUGUUGGAUGGAACAGUUUCCUUUGCUUUCCAAGUGCAUGUGGCUGCAAGCGCUGUGCGUGGAGUCCGGCGACGGCGGCGGCGCCGUCGAGCUGCCGGCUUUCCCGGGCGGCGCGGAGGCGUUCGAGGCGUGCGCCAAGUUCUGCUACGGCGUGGCCGUCACGAUCGGGCCGCACAACGUCGUCGCCGUCCGCUGCGCCGCCGCGCGGCUCGGCAUGUCCGAGGCCGCCGACCGCGGCAACCUCGCCGCGAAGCUCGACGCCUUCCUCUCCUCCUGCCUCCUCCGCCGCUGGAAGGACGCGCUCGCCGUGCUCCACUCCACGCGCCGCUACGCCGCGCUCUGCGAGGAGCUCGGCGUCACGUCACGCUGCGUCGACGCCGUCGCGGCCCUCGCCGUCGGCGAUGCCUCCGGCGCCGUUCCGGCCGGUUCGUCUUCGUCGUCGCCGCCGUGGUGGGCGCGUGACAUCUCCGAGCUCGGGGUUGACCUCUACUGGCGCGUCAUGGUGGCCGUCAAGGCGACCGGCACCGUGCACGCGAAGGCCAUUGGCGACACGCUCAAAGCCUACGCGCGUCGGUGGCUGCCGAUCGCCGCCAAGAACCACCACGCGGCAGAGCGAACCGCCGGCGGCGGCGGCGGCGGCGCGGCCAAUGCCGAGCGGGCCACCAAGAACCACCGCCUCCUCGUCGAGAAGAUAGUGAGCUUGCUCCCGGCGGAGAGGAACGCCGUCUCCUGCGGCUUCUUGCUGAAGCUUCUCAAGGCGGCGAACAUCCUAGGCGCUUCUCCGGCGUCAAAGGCAGAGCUCACGAGGAGGGUGGCGUCGCAGCUGGAAGACGCCAACGUGAGCGACCUCCUGAUACCGGCGCCGCCGCCGUGCGCGGGCGGGGUGCUGUACGACGUGGACGCCGUGGUGACCAUACUCGAGGAAUUCGCGCUGCGGCAAGCGGCGGCGUCGGGGAGCCCGAAGGGCAGCCCGGCGCGCGCGGGCAGGCACCGGCGAUCGAUGUCGGCCGAGAGCGGUGAGCUCGAGGGGGCGCGCCGUUCGACGUCCAUGGCGGCGGUGUCGCACGGCGCGAUGGUCCGGGUGGGGAGGCUGGUGGACGGGUUCUUGGCGAUGGUGGCCACAAAGGACGCCCGCACGCCGCUCGACAAGAUGAUCGCCGUCGCCGAGGCCGUGCCGGACUUCGCGCGGCCGGAGCACGACGAUCUAUACCGAGCCAUCGACACAUAUCUCAGGGUGUGCAUGCGCGCGACACUUGAUCACGCCGACAUUGCCUCGCCAUGACUAAUCUUAGAAUUCUUGAUCUCUCUCUCACCGUGUGCCUUUGCUUCUGUGCCACGUGUAGGCGCACCCGGAGAUGGACAAGAGCUCGAGGAAGAAGCUGUGCAGGGUGCUCAACUGCAGGAAGCUCUCGGAGAAGGCUUCCAUGCACGCGGCGCAGAACGAGCUGCUCCCCCUCCGCGUCGUCGUGCAGGUGCUCUUCUUCGAGAACGCGCGCGCCGCCGGACUCUCGUCCGGGCACGGCAACCGCGUCGCCGCGCGCUUUCCCGGCGACGGCGGCGACGUCAGUGCGCUGCUUGGCACUGGCAGGCCAAGAACGACGGAGGAGAACGGCAAGGACGGGCAGAGCCCCGCCGCCGCCGGGAGCGUGGCGGCGGACGGCGACUGGAGCGUGGAGGGGCUGAGGCGCGCGGCGUCGAGGGUGGCGACGCUGAAGAUGAGGCUGGAGGAGGAGGACGGCGAGGACGCCGGCGACGAGGCGUUCGUGCAUAGGACGCGCGCGGGGUUGGCACGGAGCGCGUCGUCGCGUGUCACGGCGGCGGCGGGGAGGUCCAAGCGGAUGCUGAGCAGGCUAUGGCCGACGAGCAGAACCUUCACCUAAGGGGCAUCAAGACACUUGAGCAAAGCUGAUCCGUACAUACCGUGUACAAAUAUGCUUGAAUUUGUAAGUAAAAUUUGUUCCCUCGAGAUUUGAUUUUGUUCCAACUAGUUCUUGAAGUUUGGGGAAGUUGUGUGCACAGAUAUGACUGCGUGUACACUCCCUCCAUUUUUUUAAAAAAAACAUUUUGUAAGGACGAAUAUGAACAAGGGUUUAUCCAAAUUAAUCCCUAAAAAUUAAUUUGUUUUGGACAGAGCGUGUACAUAGUUGGUACAGAGACACAUGAAGCUAUCCUUCAACUGUUAAAAAAGACUUAUUGCUCUUUUGUUGCAACACACUACACACCCAACUCACAUCCUUAUUAGCUACUGCAGAGACGGAAAGUUAUACUUUCAUCUUAAACGAAACUCUUAAAGUUUAUACUCUCCUAAUGCAAGAUACAGAACGCGGCUAACUUAGGUCCUGAUUGACUGGCUACAGAGGCAGAGUUGCAGAGACAGGAGAGGCCACCAGUGGGAAGCGGAUUCUCUCCCGUAACUUUCCUUGACAUGGUCACUGACAUAUGGGCCUGCGAGCGCUGGCGCUCACAUGCUAGUCACCACAUUCCUCUAACUUUACGUUAGAGCAUCCCAAUCUCGACGAGUGACUUGGCCUGUCUUGUGUACGUCAAUACACUAAAGUUAGUGUAUCUUAAGCAAAUUUUGAAAUAAGAAAAAACUAAUUCUAUUGACCCCCUCAAACAUAUAUAUGUAUUGAGUUUUUAUGACUCCGUCAGUGGCUGGCCGCGGCUGAACAGUCGCAACAUUUUUUCUGUCUUUGGUCUUGAUCGACUCGGAUGAUUGCAGCUGCAGCACAGCCGCCACAAAAUUUUGUCUCAGGUCCAGGUCACCUGGUUCUGGUUGGCGGGUGCUGUAGGCGCUGCGCAGGAAGCACAAGCGUGCAGGGCAUUAGACAACGCCUGUGUUUGAUGGCAAAAUUUCCGCUAUUUUUUUAAUGGCAAAACAUCCUUGCCAUCUAGGGAGAAAAAGAAAAUUUUCGUAUCUUAAAGCAAAACGUAGUGCUAAAACCAUGGUUUGAUACGGAAAACACGUAGCGCUAGCGACUGAUAUCCACCACCAACAACAUCUUCUUGGCCGCUUGCACAAGGUGGUACGCGCGACCGACACGUGUGUCACAAUCUCAGGCUGACAUAUGACCAUAUUUUCAACAUGCGCAACGUUAUCAAUGAUCAUAGGCCAAAGGCCAGUCGUAAUCCGUCGCUCCAAGGAUUGGCCAUGUUUUAGCACAGGAGCAUAGGACAGGAGUGCACGGUCGGCCAGUCGCUGCCUCACUCCAGUGCGAGAGGGAGAUGGACAAGCACACUGCACACAGCCGUGGUCCUCCUCUUGUCACUUUUUAGGGUAAGUUUAGUUCACGCUAAAAUUAAAAGUUUGGUUGAAAUUAAAAUGAUGUGAUGAAAAAGUUAAAAAUUUAUUUGUAUAGAAAAGUUUUGAUGUGAUGGAAAAGUUAAAAGUUUAAAGAAAAUGUUUGGUACUAAACUCAGCCUUAAUAGGUUUAUCCCGCAUUCUCAGAAAAAAUCGUUGUUCCAAACGCCGAAACAAUUUCGAUGUGAGGGUGAGGCUACGAUAAGACUACAGAGCUGUGUGGUAUCCACUCACCAGGGAAUCAAAAAAAUCUCGCGGUGUCAAAUCAAAUGAACCUGAUGAAAUCGAAACUGCUGUUACAAAUUGUUGUAGCUGUAGCCUGAGCAAAGAAAAUACUCCCUCCGUCCUGGAAAAAAUAAAUCUAGAACUGGAUGUGAUAUAUUGUAGUACAAUAAAUCUAGACAGAGGUACGUCCAGAUUCAUAGUACUAGAAUGUGUCACAUAUAAUACUAGGUUAGUUUUUUAUCGGACGAAGGGAGUAGUAUGGCAAACCGGGAGCAGCGGCUGUAGACUUAGGCAAUGACCAACGCAUGGUAUAACCCCGUAAAAAUGUGAUGUUAAGCGGGUUGAAACUACACUUAUGAUAUCCCUCACACAGUGCGAGCCAUGCCCUAUCUUAUUUUCGCGAUACAGUACCUGUUAGACAGUCGCAUUUUACAUUUAAACCUUGGAUUAUUUUUAUUUGCAUAUACGUCCAAUAUUUGCAGUAUACCUCUAAAAAUCACAAUCAUAUAUAAGGGCCCACCCCUCCCUCUUCUACCACCUUUCUCCUUCCCCGGCGGCGCGACCUCCCCUCUCCCGUGGCCUCUCCCCUCUCUCUCGUCGGAGCCGCCGCCUCUCUCCUCAGCGCCUCAAGCAGUGGCGGUAGAUCAAGCACAAUGGCGGCGGAUGGAGGCGCAAGAGGUAGGGAUCAAGGCGGUGCCGGCAAAUCGAAGCAACAACGGCGCAGUUUCCCGAGUAUGCCCUUCUCUCCAGUCCACCCCCUCGCCAUCUUCUUCCCCUGCGCGGGGUGACGCCUCUCCCCAACGCGGCUCCUUGCCCGUUCCUUGCCCAAAGCUGAUGAAACUACACGGCCCUCUAUUGGGCAUCGUGACGCUCUGCGAGGGUGCGGUCCGGGCCGAGCUAGCAGACAUAUUUGGCUUUGGGAGGGGUGAGACCACACUCCAGUGUGGAGCAUUGGCCGUGGCCUUACAGAGAUCCUCCUCAAGAGACGCGGUUACGUGAGCCCACCGCUCUCAGGCCCACAUGCAGAGGCGAAGCUACAAGUACAUGUAAAUGUAAUAUGUAGAGUCAGCUGACUCCAUAGGUUUUUGCAAAACAGCUAAAAAGCUAUUGAUAUUUAUGUUGAAAUAAUAUAAAACUUAAAUAUAUAUAUAUAUAUAUAUAUAGCUUUAACCUCAUAGGUUUUAGUUGCUAGCUCUGUCACUACCCACAUGUCAGUAACACAUUGAGGAUUUGCUUCCGGAGCAGCGGGAUAAAAUACGAUGGUAACAGCUCUGCUAUUGCGGCUUUAUCAAAUUGGUUCCUAUCUAGAACCACUCCAUAAACCGGCUAAAUUUAAGAAAAUCAAACAAAUUUUUUUAUUAUUUUGACAAAAUGUCUGAGAAUUUCAGUGGUUUUGGCCGGUAAUCGAGGAGACGAGGAAGACAACCAUGUACGCGCAAGACGACGUUGGCGAAAAUUUAUUCCUGUGCUCGUCGUCGGUUGACGGGGUCACGAUCACUGGCGGGGCCACAGGGAGCGAACGACCUCGGCGUAGCACGCGACGACGGCGGCCAGUGCCAGCACGAGCAGCGCCAAGCCGACGGCGGCCGGGGCGCUCUCGGCCGCCCAGCACGCCAUGCUCACCGGCAGCGCCAUCGCGAACGGCCACAGCAGCAGCACCCGCGCCCGCGCCCCCGGCGCGCCGGCGAUGCGCCGGGGCUUGCCCUCCUCCUCCGGGAGCGCGCACAGCGCGAGCAGCGACGUGAAGACGCCGAAGCUGACCACCUGCGACGCGAGGACGGCGAGGAGGACGUACUCGUCCCGCGCCGCGAGCUGCGCGGCGAAGGCGGCGCCCGCCGCGAGGACGACCAGCGCCAGCGCCCCCGUCGCCAAGGGCGGCGACGCGGUGGUGCCGCAGUCGCAGCCCGACGACGGCUUCUCGUCUGCCGCCGCCGCGGACAGCAGCGGCUGCUGCUUCUCCACGUCGGCGACCGACCCCAUCUCUGAUUUUGCUUCCAUUUUACGCACAAUGGAUGAUUGGAUGCUAUGCUAGCUUAGCUGCACUGACAAAUCCGUGAAAUAAUGCAAUUACAUAGCUGGCUAUAUAGUCUCAAUAGUAAAAUGAAACAAAUUCAUUUUAAAAAGCAGAUAAGCUCAGCAGCGUAAGAACCAAGAAAAUCACAUAAAUAUUAAGCCGGAGCUUUGAUCAACCAGCGGGCUUUACAAUGCUGCAACUGCAAGAGCGUACAUACUUCUGAGUAUCUUAGGCGGCCGCUGGAAAUUAAUUAAGGAAAUAAUGACGUCAUAAUUAGUAAGCACUAUAAAUUGUGGCUCCAAACGACUAACCAAUAGUAUAAAUUAACAAGAGGAACAUUGUUAUGGUUUUGGAACAGAACGGUCUCUGCUGUACAGUUUCAAUGACCAAACACUCUGCACUCUUACAAAGAAAAGGACAAGCUAGAUAAACCUAUCGCUCUGUGGUUCACUGUGACAGUGAAUCAGUGAUGAUAUGCAUCAUGAUACAUAAAUAAUUACCAACAUAGAGUAUGACAAUGAAACAUCAAAAUCGACAAUGAUGAAAAGCACCUCAGGAAGUAACUAAGCACAUGCCAACAAAGGCCCUCUUUACUCUAUGCAAUAAAAAUGAUCUUCAGUGCUACCUCUUCAGAUGAUACUUGCAGUAGUAAUGGAAACCAGGACCACACAAAGUGCAGACACUGUGAUGCUGUCAAUGACAAGUAAGCUGGCCAGGGUGAUUAACUUUAUCCAGUCUCCACUUUGCUGGGCAGGACAGAUCAUUAAGAUGCGUUAUGCUUAGCCUUAGCCGUUAGUGACAAGUCACAAGCUGUCUAAUCUUAUUGUUAUCAGAUUAAUAAAGAUAGUAUGACAAUGAGAAAACCAAAUAAACAGAGUGAGUUCUGAUAUAGCCAAGCCGAAUCUUGAGAGUUCUAGAUUGGAAUGUUUGUUGUCGGGAAUCUUCAAAACAGCAUGUGUUUCCUUCUUGUCAAAAUUACAGGCAUACGUCCACAGAUGAACUGAGAAAAGAUGGACGUCUACAACUUGGGCAAGAACAACGGGGAGACAAAAUGUGAGUGCCACCUGAUCCUCAUCGCCAGAUACGCCAGGCUUCAAAAUGAUUAUGUUGCACUCCAGUCAGAAAAUGGCCAGGCAAUUUAACAUGAUAUUGCACACAUGGCAGAGGUUGAGCAAGUCGUUCAAGCAUUUGAUUUUCCUCCUUUUUUGAAGGCAUGAAGUAUUUGAACUGAUCUGCUCUAUCUGCCCAAAAUGCCUCUCUGCUUAAUAGAUGGCUCAUACUUUCGCAGCAUCUGCUGCAGCCAGUCGCUCAUCAUCAAUGGCACGCUCGUCUUCAGUGGUAAGACCCUCAAUCAGUGAGAUGUAUGUGCUGUCAUCAGGGGUGAUGCCAUUCUCCACCAUCUCCUUCACCAUGUUCUCAGCGUCAUCUCCCUGGCCAUUCUUACAGAGCCCCUGUAUCAGCGCAUUAUAUGUCAAAAGCGUUGGAUUGAACCCCUUAUUCAUCAUCUCAUUCCGAAUCCUCAGAGCAUCCUUGACAUCACCCUUCAUGCUGUAGCCACUGAUCAGCGUGUUAUAAGUGACAAGGUCUGGCUGGAUUCCCCUCUCUGUCAUCUCAUCAAUGAGCUUGCGCGCUUCAUCAACACGUCCCAGUAGACACAGCCCCCUCAUUAGCGUAUUGUAGGUCACAUCAUCUGGUGCGAUCCUUUUCUUCUCCAUCUCACCCAUUAUCUCGAAAGCUCGAUCGAUGUUGCCAGAAGUGGAGUGACUAUUGAUCAGAGCAUUGUACAAGACAAGGUCAGGCCUAAUGCCUCUCCUUACAGCCUCAUCAAACAGCUUAUCUGUCUCCUGAACUUGCCCCUUCUUAGACAAGGCAUAUAUCAAUGCCGUAUAGGUCACUACUGUCGCACGGACCCCUCUCCUGGACAUAUUCUCAAAAAUCUCUAGUGCUUUCUUCACGUUGCCCUCUUUGCAAUGCCCGUUUAUCAAUAUAUUGUACGUGAACACAUCCGGCGCAAGACCCUUUCCACCCAUCUCCUCGACCAACUCAUAUGCCUCUGUUCCACGCCCAUCCAUGAACAAGGCGUGCACGAGUAAAUUGUAGGUCGCGACUGUCAUUGCGACCCCUCUCUCCACCAUUCUAUCACGGUAAAGGAGCGCAGUAUCCAGCUUACCCUGGUCACAGUAUCCACCAAUCAAGGCGUUGUACAUCACAGCUUCCGGUUUAACCUCUCCCUUGGUCAGCAUUUCGUCGAACACCUUCACUGCCUCAUCGACCCGGCCAACCUUACACCAGCCAGAGAUCACCGUGCCGUAGGUGUACUGGUUGGGCGCGAUUCCUCCGCGUUCUCGCAUCUCCCGCAUAAUAUCCAGCGCCGCCUGGACGCGGCCCCGGGAGCAGAACCCGGCGAUGACGGUGUUGUAGGUGACGGCGUUCGGGCGGGGCAUCUGGCGGAGGAGCUCGAGCGCGCGGGCGGGCUUCCCGGCGGAGCAGAGGUGGCGGAGCAUGAUGUUGAAGGUGGUGGUGCAGAGCGGGAGGCGGAGGCGGAACAUGUCGGCGAAGAGGGCGAAGGCCGGGGCGGAGGGGAGGGCGGAGAGGAGCGGGUGGAGCGAGGCGGUCGAGAUGGGGAGGGAUAGGGACUUCAUCCGCGAGUAGAGGCGGAGGGAGGUGGCGUGGGGGCGCACGGCGGCGGAGGCGGUGAGCAGGAGGUUGGGCAGCGAGGACGGCGCGCCGUCGAGGUGCGGGAGCACGGCGAGCGGCGAGAGCGCCUUGUCCGCGGACAGCACCGACUUGAAGAGCGCGAGCGCCGCCGCCGACGUCGGCGAGGCGCGGGCGGCCGCCGCGACGGCGGCGGCGGCGGAGGUGGGCGGCGCCAUGUGGAAUUGGGGACUUCGGAGGAGGGUUUUUCGUGAGUUUUCUACAGAGUUGGGCAAUGGUAUUGAUUUUUCUCUCAGCAGAUCGUCUACCAAAAGGCGGUCCCACAUGCAGAGGUACAGAAACUGAACAAGACUUCAAAAAGAAAGAAAAAAUUGAACAAGACAGAGAGAAAGAAAGAAGAAAAUAAACUGGAAAAUGUCAUGCAGCGGCUUACAUGUUACAACAACGCAUAAACAUGGUUCAAACGUUACAACACAUAAACAAGGUUCAAAGGUUACAACACAUAAACAUGUUCUCACAGAACAUUUUCAGGUUGAGAUGCUACAUUUUUUUUCUUUUUUUUUUUUUUACGGGGAAGAGAGACUACUAUACUUACUGCUCGGCUACAUAGAGCUGGUGUUAAUACGCAAAUCCAUAUACAAAAUUUUCGGAGAUCAGUUAUAUGAAGGGUUGACCACUCCAAAUUUCGUCACUCUUAUAAAAAGCGCUGCAGCUCUAAAAGAGUGUUGCAGCUCACUAGAGUGGCGAACCCUAGACCCUAAACCCUGAAGGCGUCUUCCUGCAGCACCGCUGCUUCCCACAACUCCUCAGAGCAUCACUUACGUGUGAUCCCCAUCCACCCAGCCGAAGCUUUCCUGCGACCCGAAUUGAAAAUCCUAUUGCAAGAAAUUCAAUUCAGGAAAGGCAAAUCAGAUUUUGUUCUUAACCGUAACAAAAUAUAAGUCAGAAAAAGAAAGGAGUAUUACGAGCAAAGCACACUUACUUCCCAGCUGAAAAGGUCCGUUUCGUCCGUGUAAAGAAAAGGCAGCGUGUCAUCAAGAGUUGGGACGGGGUCCUCCGGAAACUCGCAGCGCUGCAGCAGAUCUUCGUUGAAGUCCCCGGCUGUUGACGCUCCAGCAGAACACCCUGCACGGUUUCCAGCUUCUACCAUGGGCCGGAGAGUGGAUGUGCUGCAUUCCCCCUCCUGUGUAAAAUUCAGCAAUGCAACAGCAUGAAGUAUUGUCAAAAAAAAAGAAAAAAAGAAAGAGCAAUUAAUUUGUUUGCCCUAUCCUCAUUAUCAGUAGCAUGGCUUACCUGAUCAUGUGAAAUGGUGCCAUUCUGCUCCGUGUCACACGGGCUGUUCAUCAGGCAGCGAGGCAGCGGAGGGUUCGUUAUGGGUGUAAUGGGAUCACUUCUUAUGGUCAGUGCAUCAGAUGCUUCUUCAGUAACAGAGUCCAUUUCAGGCGUGCCAGUUUGCUUGGAGGAUAAUUGGUAGAAUACCUUGGAAACAACAAGCUCUCCGUCCUCCCCGCCUUCUUCCACACCAAGAUUAUAUUGAUGCAUAACCCAAUUAGCUUGUACUAUCUUGUUCUUUUUGGAGCCUUUGUAAAGAACCAGUAUUUUCUUCCAUCCUUUUAAGACACCGUUAUGGUAAAUCUGUUGGAUUUUCCAGUUUUGUGCCAUCUUAUGUUCUCGUCAGAAGCAGCAUGGCCGGUGUGGCUGAUCUUUCUACGCUUGCGCUGACCAGAACCAUAUGCGUUUGAUAUUCUGUGGAAGAAAUGGCUGCUGGUGCCGUCCAGCUUGAUACCUGACAGAAUUACAGAGGAAUGUAUGACACAUGAGCUAACUAAUUACUACUAGUUCAAAAGGCCUGAUAACAACUUAAAAUAUAUAAUCCAGUACCGGGGAGAUUUUCAGGAUGUGUAUAGCAGAUUCCUUCCACCUUUUCUAGAGUUGGGAUGAAGUGAUCAAUAAGACCCUGAGGCCCUGGAUUUCCCAGGUUAAUUUUUCUUUCUAAAUGUUCAAGUACUUCAAGAUCAGAUGGAUCAAAUUUAACACCGUCAGGGAAUUCUGGCCACUGUAAAGUAACCUGCAAUGAGAUUUUUUAUUUAGCACCAACAAGAAAUGCAUAGAAAAUGUGAAACUUACCCUACUGAUAUUUCUGCUUAAAGCCAACCUCGUCAUACCCAAGGCAAGGGAGCCACAAGCUUUGUGGAUUUUAUAUUGAAAUUGUGACACGUGGGAGCCAGGACAAUAGGAAUAAAGUGUAGCACACAGCACAGUAAUGAGCAAAACACCUUUUUUAGUGAAUAAUGAAUGAUCAUAAAUCGAUUUAGCCGGAAAAAAAACAUAAAUAAUAGUUACUCCUAAUCAUAGUAUUAGUAAAUUACUAAUUUACCCCCAAUAUACCGGUAGUAUAAUACUACCAGUAGACUGAUAGUAUAAUACUACCAGUAGAGAGCACCAGAGCAUCGCUCUUUGGAAGUAAUGUUGUCUAGUGUUGAUUUUCUACACACGAAACUUUAAUGGCAAAACAUCAUCAGAGUAUCAGACAACUGAACUAAAAAGUUAAAUCAAGCAUUCAUAAGUACAAUAGGUAGCUGAACUUACAUCGCUAUUAUCAAUGUGACAUUUGCAGUUUGGGCAUUCCCUCCAUGCUUCUGGAACCAAUUCUCCAAGUUUACAACUCAGAAGCUGAGUUGCAUUUCUUAUUUUUGUAGCAAUUACCUUUCCACCAGCUAUAAUCCAUGGCCUGCAGUAAAAGGCAGAAGUGAGACAUGUUCAUCAUAACAAAAAGUCCCAACUUAUCUCAAGGACAAUCUAUCGCCUUGUCAUUCACCAAAAAGUUCAGAUUUUAAGGUUAAUCAGCUUAACAUAGUAUAAUUGUGCUAAGUUACAGAUAUGGAAAGACUUCUUCUACAUAUACGGAACUUAGUCUGAACUUCUAGAUAUAGUGACACGCACUAAUUGGUUCAACAGAAUUAAUAGCAACUAAUCAUGAAUAUAACAGGGGUUAACAUAAUUAAUUAACAAACCGUACUUCGUACAGUUACUACCUUGUGCCUUGUGCAUUUACUACAACAAAAAUGGUAGGAGUAAGAUUAAAAUUAACAGCUAUCUAAUUCAGAUGUGUCCUAGGCCUGCAUGAUUCCAAAUGUUGAGCACAUGGAUGGUAGCACACUAACUAGUACUUAGUCUAGUACUACUUUUGGUCUCCACAUCAUUCGUCAUGCAAUGCUGUUGUUGGAAAUUCAAAGAUUGACAUAUCUCCACUCUGUUUGACUUUCCAUGAGUUCCAUUCCCUCAUUCCCUGCUUUCUGCUAUAGAUUGCUCUGUUUCAAGAAACCAAAUGUAAAUGGACAGAGCAAUCUAUAGCAGCGAAUGGCUAUAUGCCUCAAAAUUUUAAUGGUUUAACUGCAAUCCACUUUGGAUCUGCUUACUUCCCUAAACUGUUGCCACAUUACUCUCCAUUAUGAUUGGCUAGGCAAGGGUCCAAAAGAACAGGGUAAUUCACCAUAGGCUCCACAGCUCAUUUACUCACUGAUCCAGUGUUCUAGGAGUACUACAAACGUAUCGAAAUCUGGAAGCUGAGCCCUUCACCUUAGCAGCUGCAACUGUAACAAGCCUGACCAUCAGCAACAAUAAGCCUUCACUUAGCAGCUAGAAUGCUGAAAAAUCCACCCAAACCGGACAUUCAGAGUUUCAGACAGCGUAAGGUUUCAUCCAAAAUCACAUUCUGACAGCGUAAAAUCUUCUGUCCAUCGAUUCUGAACGCCAUUCCUGCACCAUCACCCAGACCGGUGGCAAUCCAAUCGGCAAUCAGAUGACACGAAUCCGAAAUCUUCCCCUCUGUUAGCAACGAGCAGCUGUGAACGAUCGGAAGACGACACAUGACCCAGUCUCCAUAGAACAGAAGCAGAGUCUUCCUCCUCUGCUUGUUUCUUGGUUGCUUCCAGCGUAAGAUUCCCCCUCAAACCUCAGUAACCUGCAAAAACCCCCACCCCCGCAUGCACCAUCCGAGACCGCUAUAUCCACCGAUCUCAUGCAUUCCGGCCACGAUUCCAUCACGCCACCAGUAACCAGCUCGAUCUCCACUCGAGCCACACACAAGAAUCCAAAGCGAUCGAUCCCCCCACCCCUUCCAAAAACCCCAACACCAGAAUCCACCUCUCACCGAUCAGACCAACCACCACUGCAUUACACCUCCUCAGGUCAACCCGGAACCACGAGCCAGCUGGCGGAGGCGAAAUCCCCAAAUCGAUCCGCUCAUCAGACACGGAAAAGAGAAGAGAGAGAGGAUUAAAAAAAAAAACUAGCCCUUGCGAACGAACAGAAGAAAAGCGAAGGAAGAAAACCACCCCCAAGAAAAAGGAACCGAUUAAACCAAACCAGGCCACACCCCGAUCGAUCGGAGAAACCCCCACCCCCGAUGCUCACCUUGCCAUGGGUGCGGCGCUGCGACGGGAGCUUGGGCUGGGAGGUAGAGAGCAUCCGAGGGGGGAGAGAGGAGGAGAAGCGAGAGGAGAGGAGGAACUUCUUGGCAAGUGAGGCAGAGGCCAGAGGGGGGAGUGGCCAAGGAAGCCGGGGGUAUAAAUAGGGGAGCUUGCGCGAGCCAGCCUCGUUGGUGGGUUCGCGUCUGGAAAGGGUUGGGGUUUCUUUGGCUUUACCCAUCGUCCGACGAAAUCCAAACCAAAACCAUCCAUCCUGUUCGCUUGGCGGGAAACCGGGCUCGGGUGCGGCGCGGUGCGGACGUGCGGUGCGGCUAGCCCGCUACUGCCUUACUGUCGCCUCUCAUUCAGCCAUUCUCAUCUCUAAUUCUACUGUACUCUCUCAAGCUGCCUACCACUACCUACCAGUGAAUGUUUCUUCAGGAUGUGUUACGGCCGAAGCAGCUGCAGCUGCUACUAGCACUCUUUUGGUACUGUAGCGCGGUUCGAUGUUUUGCAGCCACAACCAUUGCUACUACUCCUACUACCAAUCACUCCCAUUGAAUUUUCGUGUUAAAAAUCUCUGCCCACACUUUGUACAGAAUCCAUGUAAUCUUUCCACACAGGGACAUGAAUAUUACUGUGCCACUACUAGUCGUUCCCAUCAGACAGACACGAAUAACGCUCAUCAGCACUCUCCUACAGGCGCACGUAUGCGGUAUACUAGUAUAGUACUACUAUGCGUCUAUGCGGCGAGUGUUCCACGCUUCCUUGCACCGGACAAAAGCCCCCGCCCGCCUUGGCCAUUGGCUAGGAUCAGGCACACCCGCGGUCGUGGCCCAAUGGCAAUGGCCGGAUGCAGGAGUGAGUGGGGCCCACGCGCGCCUUGUCCUUUUUGGUUCCUGGGAUGCCGCCACGUCCACGACCCACUGGUGGCGCGCCGCGCGCUCACUCUCAUCGCCCUGUUUUUCUUCCUCUCCAAGCCAAAGCACGCAGCCCCACACUCCCGCGAGGGAGGGACCCAGCAGAAACGGAAACUCGCACUCGCGCUUGGUGGCACGGCGAGAGCUCUCUCACGUCUCAGCAGCCCCAGCCCCGAGGCCCCGAGCGAAGGGAAGGGAAAGGGAGGGGAGUAGUACGCGCUGCGCUGUAGCCGCGUGCUGCAGCUGGUCGGGAAGGGGAGUAGCCGCGAGCUGCAGGGAAGGGGAGUAUGCGCUGCGCUGUAGCUUGGCUGUCUUGGCUCGGCUCGGGCGUUGGCUACUUGACUUGACUCGCGCAGUGCUACUACGGUCUACAGUCUACUGCGGGCUUUGUGUCGAAGGCCCCUGCGCGCGUGGACGUGGUCGAUCCAGGCGUCCGUUGGAUCUCGCGGUGGAUGGGUGGUGCGGAUCGGAGAGAUCGGACCACGCACCGCUCGCUCGUUUUGGGCCCAUGCACGACCACGUACGCCAUGUUCAGAGGAUGAUUGGAAUCAGCUGUGUACCGUACUGUAUGUCACAAGGAGGCGGCGCAGUGACUUUGUGACCCACCGGCAACUAGCGAUACGUAUUGUUGCAUGUGCCAGAAGCCCAGAUUAUUCAGUGCAUAUACGGAGCAGCGUAUACGUCUUAAGUGCAGGCCUGUCGCUUGUGUGGGCCUGCUUGGGCCAAAUGGAGGGCCCAAGUCGACUCUCUUUCACGAUGAGAUAAGCCUAUGUUUUCUGCCCAUACAAAAGCUCUGAAAAAAAUGCAUCUUUAUUGCCGCGACAUAGGUCAUAGUACAUGUGUAUGUUUUAUUGCCGCGACCGCGCGACGAGCUGGUAAAUCCUCUACAGAAGUACGCGUACGACUUCUACUGUUGCGACUUCUGCGCAAGUUCAUACCACUGCCAAGCUGCAAAAUCUACUCUACUUUCUAGUGCUCCUAUUGCACUUUGUCGUCGUAGUAGUACGUUUACUUAUCUAGAUCGAUAUGCCAGCUCAUCGUCCUAAUGAAACAUGUAGGGCUCCUUUGAAUCACAUGAUUAAAAAAAAGAGGAAUAGAAAAAACACAUUAUUCUGAUAGAAAUGCAAGUGUAAAACAAUUAAUUGCAAAACACAGAAAUUACCGUUUGAUUGGGCUGCACGAAAAACUUAGGAAUCAGAUGAGAGAGAUAAACUUAGAGGAAAUUUUCCAAGAGAUUAGAGAGCAUGUUAAAUUUCCUAUGUUUUUCCUCUAAGGCCCCCUUUGAUUCAAAGGAAAUUCAUAGAAAUUUUAGAGGAUUUCAUUCCUAUAGGAAUUUUUCCUAUAAAGCCCUUUAAAUCAAAGGAAUAAACCCUAUGGAAUCCUAUGAAAUUCCUAUGGAAUGCCUCUUCUCAUACAAGUUUUGGAGGAAUGUUAACAAGAGGUAGAACCUCAUGGAAGAAAUCCUUUGAGUCUUUAUCUCUACUCAAAUUUCUGUGUUUUUCCUGUGGUCCAAUCAAACGGUCAUUCCUAUGUUUUUCCUGUGUUUUGCAAUCCUCUAUUUUACACUUAUAUUCCUGUCAGAAUCCUAUGUUUUUCCUAUUCCUCCGUUUUUUUAUUCCUGUGAUUCAAAGGGGCCCUAAAAUCGUAGAAAUACGAAAGUUUCCACCGUUUUUUCUUUUCUCGUUCCUACGAAUCAGAGGCAUAAAUAGUGUAUGAUUUCAAUUUCUUUGUUUUUUCUUCAUUUUUCCUCAAUUCAAAGGGGCAGUAGUAUUUUCUAUAUAGUUUAUAAUGAAGGUAAUAUCUCGCUGCAGUAAAUGAACAGAGGAAGGCUCCUACGGCCAGAGCAAAAUCCAACGGCGAGAAGUCCCACAGGUGAUCCAACGGAGUAGUAGUACGGGGACAUGCCCUGAUGCACUGUUCUGAUGAUUGGACGUCCGGGCUCUCCAACGACGAGCCCGUACAUUCCGCCGCGUACUGAUACAGUGUCGUCUCCACCGCCCAUGGCCGGAAAUCGCGAGACCAAAUGAUGGCGUAGCCUGCGAUGAGAUCUCGUCGACUUGACGGGUUGACGAGACGACGAGAAGAUGGCACGCAACGCUAUCGCCCACCGCCGAUCCCUCGAGCGGUGUCCGGGUUUCCGACAGGCGCAAACGACUCACGACACCACGGCCAGUCGCGAGUCAGGUCAAGGGUCAGGUCAAGGGCCUCGCAUGCUGAUCAAUCGAUCGGUUUUGAUUGGACUGAUUCUGAUAUGCGAGAUUACUCAAAUUUGCUGCUCGGCACAUCGAUUCGUCGCAAGCUCCCAACAUUCGCAAUUCAUCGGAGGAUUUUUCGAAGGAAUUCUAUGAAAAAAUAAAUUAAUUUAUGUGAAAAAUCUCUGUAAAGUUCCCGUGCUCGAAGGAAACCUGAUAUGUGGCCUCAAGCCCUCAACUGUGUUUCCUGGUCAGUGGACUCUCGGCGGGUCUACCAAAAAGGGAAAGGAAGAACAGCGACAAAUAACCAUUUUGUGGCUGGCCAACGGAAAAAACAACUGGCUACACGAGUAGUAGUAGUAUCCAUCUCAAACCUCUUGUUGAUUUGAGGCAACCAGAGCACAAUAGAACACCGAUUUGCUAUACCAAGUACGGAGUACCAAUAAUAGGGUAGUGAUCAGAGAAUGUUUCACUGACCGCUUCGCCCAACUGCCCAAGUCCUCCAAGCCUAUCUAUAGUUCUAUACGCAAUAUACCUUGCCCACCGAUAAUAGAAGCAUCCACCUGUCGAUCCAGCCAGGCCGGGCCUGCAGACAGCGAGCUGUUUGAACCUAGCAAUUCACUACCAACCAGCUGCUAAACCACUUGGAGAACAGGUCAAGAGACGGUAGAUUAGACGCACAAGAAGGAAUAACUUAGCUCAACUUGGGCAUUGGGUUGUGUACUUGUGUGUGAUAUUGCCUCGGAUUGACCACAGGACACAUACCAGACAAGCGCUCAAGUCAAUGAUGGAUGAAGAAACAGAAGAAGUGCUCACGCAAUCAUGCGGCAAUUUCCAACGACGGAGCAACGGAAGCCAGAGUUUUUGGUCAACCAGAAAUUGGAUGCAGCCAUCAAAGAAAGGAACAGAACACCAACGCGAAAAAGAAAGAGAGAAUAAAAGCAUGUGUGGAUUAUCUGCAGGGUAAUGCUAGUUCUACAGCAUAUAAAUCUGAAAUCUCACUUGAUUUUGCAAUCUACAGCAGUUCUCAGUUUAUGUAUCAAUCAGGGAAGUAAUAUGAAUGACAGGUGAACUUGUGGUGGCUACCACAGGGUAAUGAGCUCCUCUGGGAAGGUAACCAUGCCACGACCGAGCAUACACUAUGCUGUAGCCUGUAGGGUCGUCCGGUGUUAGAUUGCACAGUGAAGGAUGAUGAAAUCAUCCAUAGCCACUCAUCCCAAGCAAUCAUCCAGCUAAGUUAGCCAAUCAUAUCAGAUGCAACCGUCACGGCCAGCCAAUCUCGGAGGUGGAGAACAUGGCAGUGACAGGCCUGCACAUCAGAUUGAAGAGUGUAGAUCAUCAAAAUCUACCCACUUUCUCUCCUGCAGUACCCUGGGAGAAGGUAUCUGUACCGAUCAACAUUCUGUAGCAGAUAGCUAGGAAGAUGAACAGCAGAAAAUGUGCUUGGAAUCGGCCCCAACUUGGCAAUGAUCUCUUGGAACGUGUACUCUUCAGGAAGCAUGUCAAAAAGAUCCGCCCCUCUGCAUAUAACAUCUUGAAUCCUUUCAGGGUUCAGGAAGUACUUAAAUCUAAUCCGAUCGACAUGGCUGUAAGCUUGCAUUUUGAAGGCAAAAUCACUAAUGUAGCGAAAGCAAAAACUGCAGUGCCACCCUGAAUCAGCAAGAAGCUCAUCUGUCUGCCGGAAGUGUGCAUAUCUUGUCUUCCCAGACCUGUACCUGUGUAUCGAUGCCCUCCAACUUUUGUCAUCCAGGAAAAAUUCAAAUGAGUAGAGGUAAUUCCUAAGCUGAAGAUGAAGGAUCUCAGGAAUGUCGUCGCACCAUCUCAGGAGAUCAAUUGUGUGGCCACUUGGGAUUUCAUCAACAUCUGACAUGAUCAACAGGUCAUCAUCUUCUAUUUUUGCAAUCUUAAUAAGCUGGUCCAGGGCAACCCUCUGAUAUGACUCCUCAACAAAUGGGUUUUCUCCCUUCACGAACCUUCCCCCAAUCAUACCAUAUGUCAGCCGUGAUUCAGCAAAUCCAAAUCGAUGACGAUUUUCCUUGAAGUGCAGGGGCUUUUUCAAUCCAGUGAAGGUUGAGUUCGACUCAAGCAGCACAAACUCUGAGACAUAGGGGCUUAGUUCAUUCCAACGUAUUUCAAGAAUAUCGAGCUCAUUGCUGAAUAGUACAGCAUCGAAGACACGUCGUGGGGUCUCCCGGACUUUCCACCCAUGCAACUUGCAGAGUUUCGCCAUGGUGACAUUCUCAUGGUAGUAAUGAGGGAUAGUUUUGAAGGGCUUGGGAGGAGACUCCCAUAUUGGCCUGAGGAAGUAUGUGACCUUCUGACCAUGAGCAUAUAUCAUUAAAAUUAGAAUUGGCACUCCUAUCAAUAGGGCCAAUAGUGCUCUGAAAUCAAAUCCCCGAAGUGCACAUCUCAGCCUCGACAUGGUCAGAACUGCCUUUGACGCAGGCUGGAAAUGAAUUCACAAAGAAAAUAAGAAAUCAAACGAGCAGUAGUGGACAUAAAAGAGUUAUGAAAGAAAUAAGAACAGCAACCAUCUGCAUGCCAACUGCUCCUCCACAAAAACUAUUUAAAAUUUCAGUAUGUGCAUAUAUUAGCAAUAUUUAUUCCUAACGCGGGAGCAAAGUGGGCAAUAAGGCCAUAAUCAAAGCCUGCUUGCCAAAAAGAUAUAACCUCAUGAAGCAUUCGCUAAACAUUAGCUUUUCAAAAUACAGGUCUUGUUACAGUCAGCAAAGGCAGCAUCUGAAAUUCACCGGUAACUCAGAAUUCCACUACAACCGCAACAAAGUAGCAAAGGACAAAUGAGAGACCUAAUGCCACAGCUAAAAGCACAGAUGCAAAAAGCCAAAGACAAUUUCGCUCGUGAAGAUCAGCAAAGCCAUGUAAAAAAUAGGCAACAGGAACCUGGAACAAUAGGUAAUCGCAAUGCCCAGCUAUAACCAAAUUAAACUAGCUUCAUUAACCAAUAACACGCACCAGCCAUCACAGAAGCCGGUAAGAUACCUAACCCAAAUUAUGCAGCUUUAAUGGGUAAACCAAAAGGGGUAGGCAUCCCAAAUUCCACAAGCUUGCAAGAGCCCGAAGCUUUCGCCGCACAAAGCCACGAUCCAAGCAAGAAAGAGGGGAAGUCCCAACCUCAUCGAAAGAAAGAUUCUCCACAGUUCGAAAAUGCCAGCACGAAACACGCGGUUCGGCCACGUCGCGAGAUUCUACCACCAAAAAGUCGUUACUCGUUAAGAAUCCGGACUCCAUAUCGCCACCCACACCUACCUAAUCCCCCCCAUCGCCCGCAACGGGGCAGAUCGAGCGCUGCAGAUAAGCAUGGGAAAGCAAACCGCCCCCAAAUCCGAGCAACAUCGCAUCCAAAACUCGGAGCAUAUGGCAAUCAGCUUCCACAAAAUCGGCCCGCGUGCGGAGACGGCGACAGCGAGAGCGCGCGCGCUCGCCGCCGCAGACCGAACGCGCGGCGCGCGUCUAGGGGAAUCGAAGGAACCGACGCCCGCGACAAGCGGAGCAUGUCUGGACCGACGGGGCCAUGGGGAGGGAAGGGGGAAGGGAGAAGGGGGGGUAGUAAUGGCUCACCUCGCCGCACACGCCGUCGCAGAUGCCGUCGGUCUUCUUGUGGCCGUAGGGCCCGGUCUCCGGCAUGGCAGGCGCGGCCUCGCGCCAGCAAAGCCCCACCACCACCACCAGAGCAAACGAAUCCGAGCAGGAGAGAAGGUCCUCUCCAAUGGCGAGGAGGGCGGGGCGCCUCCCGUGGCCCGGGGGUCGCCGGCGAUCGCCGGUGGCGGCGGCGGCGGUGGUUGGGUGGGGGCCUUGUUCCGAUCUCGCCCUCGGAGGGAGGGGGAGGCGGACGCUUCUGGGCGUUGCCCGUUACGGUGGUGGCGAGUUGUGUAAUUAGCGGGGGAGUCGCGGGGGGUCGUGGGCGCAAAAGCGUGGGGGCGCGUUUUGGAACCGCCUAAUUAUAGCCGUUCGCGUGGUGGCCGUGGCCUCUGCCUGCCUGCGCCUCCCUCAUAUCCAUCGCCCCGGUGGUGGGCGGUGCGUGCGUGGCGCGGUGCGGUGCGAGCUGGGCAGUUUUGUCCUCACGCACGCUUGGGUAUUUUUCUAGGGACAUAAAUUAAGGGGAGGCCAAUUAAGCGUAUUGUAUAUCCGUGCCAUAGUCCUGAACUCUGUGUAGACUCUAAUGAAAAUGGGAGGCUUUGCCCCUCUUGAUAAAAAAAAAGUAUAUCCGUGCCAUAAUACUUAACUAUUUUCUCCGUCCCAUAAAAAACAAACCUAAUACUAGAUGUGACACAUCCUAAUACUACGAAUUUAGAUAUAUAUAUAUAUGUCAGGAUUCAUAAUAUUAUAAUAUGUCACAUUUGUUACUAGAUUUGUUUUUUAUAGGACGGAGGGAGUACGUUCUUUAUUGCAUAAUAAGUUCAUUUAUGCUCAUUUUAUUUAUUUUAAAAUAAGUUAAUUUUUGAGUAAUUAUUGCAUUAUAAAGUUUGUGAGAGUGAAAAAUAAAUAUAUAGUAGACAAAAUGAUGAAUAGUUGUAUUAGGAUUUGAUAAUGUAGAGGUAUUGUAUUUUUUUUAUUUUGUAUUGGUAUGUGUGGGGGUGAAAAAUGAACUCAGUUUGAGACAUAUGUAGUACUCCCUCCGUCUUUUAAUAUGUGACACCGUUGACUUUUUCUCACAUAUUUGACCAUUCGUCUUAUUCAAAAAAAUUUAUACAAAUGUAUAAGAUAUAAAUCACACUUAAAAUAAUAUGAGUGAUAAAACAACUCAUAACAAAAUAAAUUAUAAUUACGUAAAUUUUUUGAAUAAGACGAAUGGUCAAACAUGUGAGAAAAAUUCAACGGCGUCAUCUAUUAAAAAACGGAGGUAGUAUAUAUCUAACCCAUAUACCAAGGAGAAAUAUAGUCAGAGAAUACUUAUAAGAUAUGUGUAAUUAUACACUACAUUUUCAACACAAAAUAAAUAUUUAAUAUUAUAUUUAAGAAAAUUAAUUUGAUAUUGUAGAUGUUAGUUUUUUCUAUCAACUUAAUCAAACCUAGAAAAAUUUGGCAAAGAAAAUUAAAGCGACUUAUAAUAUGAAACGGAAAGAUACCUUGCAAAAUAUAAUCAAUGUUAUAUCAUGAUCUUUUUUGAUCAUAAUAAAUACACACAUCAUACUUAUACACAUGCUGAACCCUCACCCUUAUUAAAAAAAACUUUAAUAAAACAGUACCGCAAAUAAGUUCGUACUCCAUUUGUCCUAAAAAUAAUCAAAUCAUAGUUAUGAAUAUGGACAAGUGCUUAUUCAGGUUUAUAGCGAGCAUUUGAGUUUUUUUAGACAGAGGUGUAGGUAAUAAGAUUAAAUUUUAGUGGAUAAAGUUGUAUACCUAUGGUUUCUCCUGAUCAGCAUACCAUAGUACUUUCUUAGGUUAAUAUUAGAUAUUACUUGGCCAUGCAAAUGACCUGUAUUUUGGACAGCUAAUCUUAAAUAUGAGGUGUGUCUUUGUAACUAUAAUAUGCCAGGUUACAUUUGUACUCCGUAUUAGCUAAUCAUGUAAGGUUUAUAUAGUUUUGAGUGUAUUUUGAGACGACGUCUAUAAAUAACAUUCUUAGCAAAGAAAAAUCUUUCCUCACAAAGAAAAAGGCCUUCUACUUUUACUGUUAUGACAUGAAUGGUUGCCAAACGAGCUACCUCAAGCUUCGGAAUCCAACUCACCUCAAAGUAUUUGCAGUACAACUCAUCAUCUUUCCUGCAAAGGAUAAGAUAAAGAACCGCAAACAUCACGAGAAAAGGAUAUGAUAUAUAUAUGCAAUUAUGAGAGGCCACCCAGGUGAGAUGCCAACGUACAAAACGGAUUGAUCUUUCCAUCUAUAUUUUGUUUCUUCUCCUAACCAAUGCAUCAUCUACGCUACAAAAAAAAAAAAAGGCUCUUUUAUCACUUUCAUCAGCUAGAACAAACCAUCGUAUACACGACGACUCCACCUAUCUCGGCAGCAUCACAUUCGGAGGGCAUCUUUCCCCCAAAGCGCCCGCGAAAACAUGCGUGUUCCCAACACAACUCUCCAAAGAUGAAUUGAUCACCUGAUUCCCUUUUGGCACAAAAUUCCUCUACCACAGUAUCGGCAAAUCUGUCUCGUUCAACGCUUGCUUUUGCUUACUAGGCCGCUAUUGCAAUCGCUACGUUCUCAUCCACUAUGCACAGUAGCACCAUGCUCCUACUACUGCUGUCCUAGCCACUACAACUGAUUACUCUCUCUAUCCCAGAAUAUAGCAAUCUAAAAUCGAAUGAGACGUAUUCUAAUACUACGAAUUUAAAUAUGAGGUAUAUCCAGAUUCGUAUUCCAUCUAAUUUUAGUAUGCUACAUUCUGAACGGAAGGAGUAAGUUUUAGAAGUGAUCUUAAACUAAUUUAGGUGCUUUUGUAGAAGCCAUAAUCUGCUUUGCUUAAUCGUUUUUUUCACUUCUAAUAAACCUUAGCCAUAAUCUGCUGUUGCGUCGGCCUCGUCAUAGCCGCCCCCCCUCCCCCCCCACGUUGCAGCAAACAUCCUCCCCUACCCCUCCCCCUAGUGCCCUCUUCCCUCCACGAUCCAAACCUGGUGCUCUCCCAUUGUUCUUGGGUUUGCUGGUGCUAUUCUCAUAUCAAAACCUUCUCAUUUCCGGCAUGCUCAACAAUUGGUCCAGGUGUUUGUUCCAGGAACUGUGCUCCUCCAGCAGCUUGGCUGGUCUAUGUCCCAUGCCCUCCGGCGAGGUCGCGGUUGAUUCUCUUUCAUCUGCAAGUUCCCCCUUGGCCAUUACCCUUUUGUCUACCUCCUGCUCGUUUCCACCCCUUUCCUUGAGAUGUCCUCGACCGCAAGGUUCAGCGGCACUCCCUCCUUUAAGGCUUCCUUCCCUUGAAGGGCGUUGGAGUGCGUUGAUCUAACAAGCAAUUUGAUCAAGUUUGAUUGAAGAAGACUCAUUGCGGGUGGCCUUUGGCUGCAUCUUUCAGUGUCCCUCCCUCCUAUGGGGCUUCCUUCCCCCAAAGGGCGUCGGCGGGCUUGGAUCCAAAAAGCAAAAAGACCAAGUUAGCUUCUUGAUGGCUUCAUGCGGGUGGCCUUGGACUUCCACAGCUUUUCGUUGGCUUUUCUUCUAUUCCGGCAUGCAUGUGGCUGUGUGAGGAAAUGGAUGUUGACAAGCUAGGGUGUUAGCUUUAGGUUUUGGUGUUUGGUUUGGGUAAUUUUGCAGGUGUUGCUCGUCAAUUGUUAUCUUCUGUGAGGUUUUUUUUCUUUAUCUGUUUUCUCCUCUUUGUAUUCCCCGUGUAUUCUAUUCUCCUAUCCUCCAGGGCCCUUGCGUUUGCGUAGGUGAAGCCUGCCCUGUAUAAGAUCAUUUGGCUCAAUAUAUUCAGGUGGGGACUCUCUCCCCCCGGUGAUUUAGUCAAAAAAAAAUAAUACUUUGUUGCAAGCACACAAAAAAUUUAUUUUAAACAUAGCAAGAUGUCGUCGUGAUAGGAUACUGGUUGCAAGACGAUGUCUAGUGUCUUCCUGUUUUAUUAUCAAGCAUGGGUCUGUUUUUUUAACCCUGAAAAGGAUGGCCACACCCUAUCAGUGAUCGCACCCGCGAAAGCGAGGAGCACGAGGAGCGCGCGCGCGCGGCCGUUUUCUUCCCUGAAACAGCGUGCGCGGGUCGGAGCGAGAUGCGAGGGGCGUCCACGCAGUGCAGACGCAUGCAGGCCGCGGUUCUCUCGGCUAAAAAACUACUCGUAGUACUCCAGUACUACGAGUUCUCCGCCGCGGCGAUUUGUUUCGUGCGUCGCGUGCGGCGUGGCAAGCCAAAAAGCCGCUGGACUUCGCGAGGGGCACGGCGGGGCGGGGCACCGGCCAAUCGAGCCAACACGUCGUUGCCGUAUGCACGCCGCGGCUUGGAAAUUCCGGCGGAAACCGAUGGUUUUGUUCGACCCGUUUGGCGUUUAGGCGGGCGUCGCCCCCUUCUUUUAUUUGUUUUUGAGUAGAGUGCACGGACGGUCCUUAAACAUUAUGUCUGUGUGACAUGCCACAUCAGCGUCACGUAGGAUCCUGAAGGGGCUGUGGCUAUUUGGGAUUUAGAUGACACAUUAUGACAAGUUCUGAGACUUGGAUAUGCAUUUUGAGAGUUUAAGAACCUAGAUGACACACCGCUACAAGUUUAAGGACCGCCCAUGCACUUUAUACUUUGUUUUUUUUCCGUUCCAAUGAUGGAGCCGACGAGUUUCUCCGUCUCAAAAUAAGUUCUAUUCCACAUAUAUCAAUAUAAAAAAAAUUAAAAUACCACUAUGUUAUUAAAUCACAAUGUAAUUAGUUUUUUAUCUACUUCUAAUAUAUUUAUUUUCUAAUUUCAUAAACUCCGAUGUAAUAAUUACUUAAAAUAAAUAAAUUUUAAAACAAAUGGAAUGGAAAAAUUGAUGUAUUUUGAGACGGAGGAUUAUCCAAGACUUAUCAUUGCAUAUUUGUGUUAAUUAUUUAAUGUGUGCGUAUCACUGUAUCAGCUGAGCGGAGGGCGCAGUCGAUCGAUCGACUUGACCGGUUGACUUGCAAAGAAGCACAUUAUAUAAGUAUAUACUACUUCUUGUACAGUUCGGUUGGUCCAUGAAGCAUGCAAAGUAACAGUGGAAAAAAGGCCAUGGAAAAUGCGUCGUCCACUGAUGAGAGAUCAGUCCGUGUCAAGUUGCUAGCUGCUGGUCAUUUUCGCGACAUGAAACGAGAAAGAAAGGGCGGCAUCGCUAGUGGCCCAUCGAAAAAAUACAAAUGGACAGGCACCUCUCGGUGUUUUAGUGCGUUUAGUGGCUCAGGGGCAAAGACCGUGUGAACAAGAAUCGCCCUAGACUUACUUUGAUUAGACGGCGAUCUGUACCGAUCCACCACAGCUUCCUCUGCCGCAUGCUGAGCUGAAACUAAUAUGUUGGGGGCGAAUUCGACACACAAGAAUUUCCAUAGAAUUUCAGUAAUUACUUUAAAUUCUACAAAAUAUAUUACAGGAACCGUCAUCAUCGAUAUAGACCUUAGUAGCUAAAUGCGAAAGAAUAUCCAAAUAUGACAAGACAUAUAUAAACAUGAUAUUUAUUGAUGAGUUUUCAGUUGAAACAUAUGUAAUAUCCGGACACCGAUUAUAAACGCACCCUCUUAAUCCAUUAUAAUCCUCGACCGGCUAGGCCACUGACCUAGUCGUUUCUCUCCUAUGUUAUUGUUACUAUGCGGUUAUAUAGCUUAUGUCACUUUAUUUAAGACUGAGAGUAUAGGAUAAGAGAGCAACUAUAUUUCUAUUCUAAAACCUAUUACAACUCCAAGCUAUACUUUGUAACCAACUUUAUACACGUAUUCAAUACAAAAACUAACAAAUUUCACUUGACGAAUAUGCCACAUCAAUCUAAACUUGUUCGUGCGUGAACUUCCAUAUACCUUACUUGAGUUUAUUCAUUUUUGCUACCCACGUUGAGCUCUUCCAUGAGCCUAUACCAAGCCCGUCAUCUUGAAGAAAUCGACCUGGAUCUCCUCUUUCGCCGCCUCACGCCAACGAACCUCCGUGCACAUGCCUUCCCAACCAUCUCCGAUGUAUUCUACUCUGCCGCCUCCUCUAGCCUAGAGCAAGAUCGUGUUGAGCCCUCUGCCACUUGCACAUCACCCACACUAGGGUCAUGCACCUUUUACACUAAUUCUUGUUGCUUUAGAUCAUCACCGCACAAGAAAUCUAAGGUUUGGUAUCUCCUUUUUCUUCGGUGAUUUGCAAUCCCGUGGUUACUCUGGUUGAAUUCCAUCAACUUCUAGGAUCUAGUUGUGGCUUUCGCUACUAUUGUUGCUUCAUCUCAAGCUCGCAACCCAAUUAAUCUAUCCGCAAGACGAAGCCGACAAAUUGCCAUGUCAUUUUCAUUGCCGCCAAAUGACCCAAGCGUCAUGUCUGUCUAUCUCCCUAUUAAAUACAACUCAUUGAAAAGACGUCUAGGCAACCCAUCCGGAGUGUUCAACUAUACCGAUCGAUUUGUCGAUUGCUUUCAGCCUUCAAUCAACCCGCUUGAAGUGUCCAGCACCUUGAAUCACCGAUUGCUCUAGUCACCAAUCAACAUGAGAAUCAUAUCGUCUUCUUGUUGAUUGCAGGUCAUCGAAUGGUCCGAGCUACCUGUUUGAAGUGUUCAACACCACUGGUUAAAACAUUGACCGACACCAUGCUCCACCUUGCACCAAUGUCCCUCCCUAGUCAUUAUGUGCAGAUUGCACGGUGUGGAGCACCUUCAUCGCACAUCUCUCCCAUGGAUCUUUCAUCAUAGCUAGGCUCUGAUAUCACUUGUUAUAAAAAUUAGCAUGACAUUGGCCUCGUUUCCAAACACGAAAUAACACCAUAACAGACCCAAUCAUGAUGACCACACCAAGACAUGAUAGUUAUUGACGAGGUUUAGCCGGAUUCUACGUCCUCGAGGCAUCAGUUACAUGCAUUCCUCUUUGAUCUAACAUAAUUACAACUAGCAUGGUGGCCCGCGCAGCUUGCGCGGCUAUCAUCAUUAUAUUUUCUCACAUAUAAUAGCAUAUAUGUUUUCUCAAUAUAUUGUUCAAAUAUAUUAAAUUGACAAUAUAAUUUUAAAUUUUGCAAUAACUUUACGAAACUACUAAUGGGUAAUAUUCAUAUUGUAUUUUAUAUACGUGUUAGUUAUUAAUUAUUUUAAUAUCAAUUUUUAAUUAUUUGUAAAUUAUAUAUAUUCCUAUAUGCACUCUAGACUCGUCUUUUAAUAUAUAUUUUUUAAUUCCGAAUUUUCUGUAAACUGUAUUUCUAUAUAGACUCUAUGCUCUUCUUCCAAUAUUAUUUAUUUUUAUUUCUGAAUUUUUAUUAUUUUUAAUUGUAUUUCUAUGUGGACUCUAAACUUAUCUUUCAAUAUUCUUUAAUUUUUAAUUUCGAAUUUCAGUUACUUCUAAAUUGCAUUCCUAUAUUGACUUUAAACUCUUCUUCCCAUGUUUUUCUUAAUAUCGAAUUUUAGUUAUUUGUAAAUUGUAUUUUUAUACGGACUCUAAACUCUACUUUAAUUUUAUUAUGUUUAUUCCAAAUUUUAGUUAGUUUUAAAUUCCUAUAUGGACUCUAUACUCUAAUUCUAAUAUUCUAUUUUUUUUAAUUCCGAAUUUCUAUUUUUUUUCUUAAUUGUAUUUCUAUAUAGACUCUAUAUUCUAUUUCUAAUAUUCCUUAUUUUUUAAUUCCGAAUUUCUUUUUUUUCUUAAUUGUAUUUCUAUAUAGACUCUAUACUCUAUUUCUAAUAUUCCUUAUUUUUAAUUCCGAAUUUCUAUUAUUUCCUAAUUGUAUUUCUAUAUGGACUCUAUACUCUACUUCUAAUAUUCUUUAUUUUAAAUUCUGAAUUUCAGUUAUUUCCUAAUUGUAUUUUUAUAUGGACUCUAGUCUCCUCUUCUAAUAUUCCUUAUUUUUUAAUUCCGAAUUUCAACUAUUUCUAAAUUGUAUUUCUAUAUGGACUCUAGUCUCCUCUUCUAAUAUUCAUUUUUUUAAUUCCGAAAUUCAGCUUUUUCUAAAUUGUAUUUCUAUAUGAACUCUGUUUUUUAUUUUUCUCCGAUUAAUGUGAGAAUUUCUAGACCAUAAGAGCGAACGUGAAGGCUCCUUUUUCUAUUCCUUUAAUAAUAUAAUAGAUAUAUUGGGUCUGAAAGUCCCUUAACCAGCUAGACCAUCGGUCAAUCAUUCCCUUCCCUAUGCUACUAUUGUCAUGCGGUUAUACCGGGGUAGGGGUGAAAACAGAGCGGAUUCGGACGGAUAGUAGUUAUACCAUAUCUUAAACCAUUUUUUAAAGCGAAUGUAGAGCGGGUGUGGAUGAUGUGCGGAUGCGGAUACGAAGCGGAUUAUUUCGGACGUUGGAUUUGGUACUGAGUCUGUGCGGACUCGGUUCGGAAACGGACAAAAAGUUGUCGGAUGUUAAAUUUGUAUUCAAUCCAUACAACAAGAGGGCAUCAAUACAAUUAGCCGCAAUACGAUGGCAAAACAACAUCUGAACAUGAUCUCAGCUCUCUAGGAAAACCAAUCAAAACACAACAAUAAUAUAAUUUUGCUUAAUUGGUAAAGUACAGCUUGUAUAAUAUAACACAUCCAGCAAAUUGUCAAUUGCUUAAGGGCUCAAAUAAUCCAAGAUACAUAGCACGACAGACGACGGCAAGAAGCAGCAAUGGGGACACGGAACGACAGACGAUGGGGAUGGCGUUGGCGACGGGCCGACGUUGGCGCCUGGCGACGGGGAUGGUGCUGGUGACGGUGGCGCCUAGGCGCUGGCGCUGGCGACGGGCCGACCGCCGACGGUGGAUGGUGGCGAUGGGGACGACAGGAGGAGGCGACGGGCCGAUGGAGGACGCGCUGACGCAGGGGAGUGGGGACGGCAGGCGACGGUGCCAGCAAUGCCAGAGGCGGCGCGCUAGAAGGAGGAGCGGUGGCGGCGCUAGCAGCCUGCAACGGCGCAUGUGUGGAGUUGGAGAAAUCGAGAGACGCGUGAGAAGAUGAGAGUCAGAAAGAUUUGGGGGAUGGUUGGAUUAGGUUAUGAUAGAUGGGCCACUCGAUGGAAAAUGGGCUAAAUUGAGUAGUUGUGUGGCAUGAAAAUUGUGGAUUAUCCGCCAAAUAGUACAUCGGAUCGGAUAAUCCGAUUAAAAUAUCGAAUAAUCCGCAUCCGUCGGAUAUCGUUGAUACCACAUCCGGCUCCGCAUCCGCAUCCGCCGGAUAUCUAAAAACCCUUACCAUAUCCUCACUUCGGACGGACUCGAAGCGGAUCGGAUCGGAUAAUAUCCGCUCCAUUUUCACCCCUAUACCGGGGUGUCUCUUUAAUUAAUUUAAGAGAGGAUCUAGAAUAAGAGUCUAGCUCUACUUUUACGCUAAAGACCUAUUACGACUCUAAGUCUCACUCUGUACUGAUUUUGCUAGAUAUCUAUUUUGGGAUGGAUGUCAACUAACACUGAUGGGGACUGAGCUUGUAAGAUGUGUGGGUGCAGGAAUUGUUGCACGGGAUAAUGUUAGAGAUAAGGAUAAUAGACAUAUAUUCAACUUCAACAAUUGCUAUGAAAUUUCUCCAUUCUAAAAGAGGCCCAAGACAUUUUUGAAUUAUCGGGAAGGAGUUUUCAAAUGAUACAAUAAUACGUGAUAAAGAAUCAAUUUGCUAACAGUAUUCCUACAUAAGCUAGCUAAACGAGAACGAUGGAAGAGUAUGGGCAGAACUGCAUAAGUACGUAAGACGGAAUACAGCAUAUAUGGUGCCUUGUGGUUGUGGUGAUGUCAAUGUGAUCCUGUGAUGCGAAUAUGAGCAUGACGGCAUUUUCGUCAGCCACCUAUGAAGUAUGAACUCUCCUAGUUCGUCUUGAAAGAGCAUAAGACUUACGCAAUCAUUGCAUUAAGGAGGAGAAAGCUAAGGAUGAACUCAAAGCAAAUGGAACCUAGUUAAGGUGAGACAAACUAAACCAAGUAACUAAUUGGAGUCUAAUUUAUACUAGUACAUCUGUACAUGUCAAGACUCAAGACACAUCAUUCAGGUCAGGUAGAUAUCUGCUGGACAGUUGGCCAAAACAUGACACAUCAAAGUAUCAAACACCAUUGCCAGAUCAAUCAUGCCAUGGUUAGGUUUAUGCUAGUUAUCCAGAACACGCAAUAUUUUUUGUUUGUGAGCUGAUACCUGCCUGAGAUAAGAUGAUGAGAAACAAGUUAAGCCAAUUCUAAGCAGGUUCUAUCUACACACCCACAUGGACAUGUACACCAUGAAGUCCACAUGGAGGCUGUCCAUUACAAGCCCUUGAAAUUAAUAUUUUUGUCAUCUUUUUUCUCUCCUACCAACUCUUGUGUCAUUUGUCUAUUGCCUUGCCUGCUAAUCUUUAAUCAGGUCUCUCCCAAUGACAUCUUAGGAGGCUACUAUCGGUUCGCUUAUGCUUAUGCUUAUCAGCCAAAAUUUAAAUUUUCAUCCUUAAAUUUGGAGUUGAUUUUGAGGUUUUUUCAUCGAAGUUUAUUUUUCAGCCUUUGCUUUUAGAUCGCUAAGAACGUGUAUAUAAAAGUUUUAUCCACAAAUUGUUUUUCGUUUAUAAAUAUGCCGUUUCGCUUAUUCCACCAAUAAGCGAAACGAUGGCAGCUCUUAGUUGGUUAAAGGAGUUGCAAUUAAUGUGUGCAAUUACUUGUAGGUUGCGAUUCCGUGCUCUGGUUAUGCCGAAGCGUACAAGCAUUUUGGCUGUAAUAUGCUGGGAACAUUGCUGUCCUGGCUCUGAGCUAGUAGCUCUUUCAAUCCACCUCAAGAAAAGCAUUACUUUAAUUAAGGCAAUUAAUUAAUGCCUAAGUCAUUUUGAACAUAUAGGACAUACUUUAUGAGUAAAAAAUAAUAAAAACAAAUAGGCUACUCCUUUAUGUGUAGGUAAAAAAAUAUUAUUAAAUCUCAAUUUAGAAUACAGGAAUUUCAUUUGCGAUUUAAAUUUGUUCUCUUGCGAUUUCUUUUAGCCGUUUAGAGAUAAGUGUCACGUAGGCAGAUAACUGCUUUUAACAACCGCAAUCCGUAUCAUUUAUCAACCACCAAUUCAUCAUCAAAGAGUUGAAGAUUGUUCGCAUCUAAAUUGUUGUUUACUCCGCAUUAUUCUCUCUAUCAUGUCAUCAGAUAUAGUAUAUAAUUAUUGGUCAAUUUGCAUCGAACAUUAUAAACAAAUCCAUCUCAUAGUUCUUUCCGAUGUCUAUUUUAUAUCCAUUGGCGAGGCUACACAUAGUUAAAAAUUUAAUCAACUCUUUGAAGAAACGAACUGGCCGGUUAAUUAAAUUUUUAACUAAACCGGCCAAACGAUGAAACUUGGCAUAAAUUUACUGGGUGAUUCAUCGCUUCGUUGGACUUGUGCUGCUGCCUCAAUGUCUGAAUUGUUGUCUUCUCUUCGGACAGCGAUGGCUAGAUUGAAAUUUUCGUUUCGUUAAUUUUUUGUUUGGCUCGUGGUAGAAUCCAAAGGGCGGAUUUUCCCUUCAGAGAAAUUGUGUCUUAACGCGAUUUGGACUUUGUAAGGGCACUUUUAACAAGCAGAGUUCAAAAAAGUUUAAAGUUCUGGUUUGGAUUGUGUGAAAUCAUUGUCAUGAUUAAUAUUUGUGACGAACAAUUGGCUUUGCAAAAUGAUUUAUUCGGUGAAUUGGUUUGGAAAGAUGUGUGGAUGUUAGUGUGAGUGCGUGUGACUAAUGUGGGUUAGGUUGUGAUAUCUGUGCCAAAAAUCGGUUGUUUUGUCUGAUUGUGUGAAGGUGACUUGAGGUCAACCUUGGUCAAUGAUGAGGACCGGGACUAUGUUUAGGGAGGAACAGAGGUCUAGUGCGGUCGGGAUACUAUGUGAGAAGGUGACUAGAGUCAGAAAUCUUGGAGGUCAACUUCGGUCAACGGUGGGGAUCGGCACUAAACUCGGGGAGGAGUUGAGAUCCAGACGGUCAAGGAUACCGGGUGACGAAGUUUGAUAUGAGAUGGCAUACGGUGGAUGGACAUUAUAUGGGAGAGAUCUUCGCAACGGGCUUCACGAGGUGUGCGUGCAAGCGUCGGUGUUCGCGAAGGGAAUUGAAAAGUUGGAGUAUAUGGUGCUACAGUACACGAGGUACUGUAGUGUGCAGGUAUGCAUGCAUGUACGGUGCUGUAUAUGUACGUGUGCAUGACCGGUUGGCCGAGCAACAGCAGAGCGGCUCGGUGGGCUUCGGUGGCUGUUGGCGGCAUGCCAAGUCGGCCCAGGAGAAGCAAGGGCCCAGCUGGCAGCGAGUCGGAGACGGUCACGCGUGGACGUCAGCUUGGGAGCAAAUCAGUUUUGGAUUUCUGGUGUGGCCGGUUGUUUGCUGCACGUUUGGAAAUUGUAAAACGUAUGGAAAUUGAGAGAUUGAGUCCUGUUGUGAAUUGGAGUUCAACACCUAUUUUGAGUAGGAGGUUUUUAUGUAUAAAUAGAGAGGGAGGGGGUGGCCUCCCGGUAUCGGUUUUAGUAAUCCGAGUUUGAGAGAUUAGAUAAGGUUUCGUGAGAAACUUUUGAGGGGUGCUGUGGCUGCACCUUGUAAACAAUAUACUUGAGCAAUAAAGAUCAUAUUCAAUCAUCAAGGCAUCGACGAUCUAUUCCGGUGUCGUAAGUUUUAUGUUUAUGUUUGGUUUUAGCAUUAACUUGUGAUUAUUCGUUUUGCUGCGAUUUUGUCCAAGUUAAUCCAUCCAAAAUCUUUCUAAUACUUCAUAGAUCAGAUUUGAAAAGUUUCGUUGAUUGGUUCUUGUUAGAUUUGAAUUUGCUUAAGUUUUAGGUUUAGUUCAGAUUUGCUGAAAUUCUGAGACAGCUGAAUUUCGAGGGUGUUUUCUCUUAAACCGUUUAUUAGUUUGCAAAUCCCUCCAGUGGAGUUGUUUCUUGGUUUGUAUAGUUUAUUAUGUAAAGUUUGCAACUCGAUCCAACGGUUGGUUUAAGAGAAAUCGUGUUUUUACCGAAGCUCUGUCGUGCUGUUUUUAGUCUGAUGGUCAAACCGCGAGAGGAACAGCGGUCAAACCGAUUAGAGUUCGGUCAGAUCGAUCCUAGUAGGUCGGAUAGACCGCCAAACAUGUGUUCCAUUGGCUUUUGAGGUUGGGGUGUGUUUUGAUCUAUUAAGAUUCGAUUAUUUGACUUCCGCUGACGAAAUCUACCAUUCACCCCCCCUCUGGUAGGCUUGGUUACUUGUGUUCGAUCCUACAGAUUGUUCCUCGAACCAGCGCUCGCGGUUAGAGGGGUUCUUCUUUUUCUCCCUGCUCUAGCCCCUAGUGUGCAGGAUAAAUUUUCACUAAGUAAGAGUUUCUAUAUAGGAUAGAUAUAGGAUGUACGUGCGCACAUCACAGGGACGGAAGUAGCAGGGGGCUUGAACACCCCCUAAGGCCAUGUUCGAUUGGGCCGAGAACGGCCGGGGUCACGGCCCAACCCCCGUGGAUCAACCUGGCGAGGAAGCAAUCCCAGCCCAUGGGAAAAGUUGCGUUCGGUUAAGCCCAGACGAUGAUUUUAACCCGGCCCACCACAGGGUUCCCCUAUUGUCCAGGCCCAAGAAAAAAUCACCUAGUGCGGAGGCUUGGAAAAAACACUUAGAGAGGCGGCACAACGAGAGGAGGCGCUGCGGCAUGACUCGGACGCGACGACGACGACACGCUCUCUCCUCGGGCAGCUGUCUCCUCCGGUGGCCACAUGUUAAUGACCAAAUUUGGUAAAUUAUGCAUCAGCUGAAGCGGAUUUGGAAGGAAAUUGACAAUCACAGAAACAGAGCAAGAAUCAGCAUCGAAUUGCGUCGGCUAUGGUGUGCAUCGGCUAAUUCCGAAUCGGAUAAGGGAAGCCGAUGUAGCCGAUUCCAACAAAGUGAUGUUGGAAUCAUUGUCGGAUUUUGUUGGUGUGCUUCAUGAGGAUUGCCACCUAUGGAUUAAGUCUGAAAAAGGCAAUUAUGUCUAUUAAUUAAAAAAUAGUUUGUUAGUUUCUUUUAUCUUUAGGAAAGUGUGUUUAGUGUCCGAUAAUGACUUUAAGUUUUCCAUUUAUCUUUAGGAUAGUUUCUUUCUUCUCCUAUAAGGACUAGUAUCUACCCAUGGGUAUAAAUAUGUACACCCAGGGUCAUUAUAAUAUCAAUCUUUCGAUCAAUGCAACUCUCGACGCAUCACCACCCUCUUUACCGAGGUUUUUACUUAUCAACCGGCGGAAGUUGGCACAUGAUGCGGGGCUGCAUCGGUUCAGUUCGAUCUCCGGUGAAGCGGUAAGUCCUACGUUCCGCCGGCCCAGGUAAAUAUAUCGGUUACGUCAGCGUCGUCCAAGGCUGCAUCAGUACAUUUGACCUCUUGGAUUGCUCUGGUUUGGUUGAUAUAUUUGCCUACCUGAUAUCUCAAUUCUAUCUCUGAUUGCAUUGUGUUUAGAGACGCAUCGGUUUAGUUGGAACUGUCUCGGUUAGGUCCGAUCUUCUGUCUUAGCCGAUAUAUCUCUACAAUCACAAUGUCGUUCUAAAUAGAUUUAUUAUAUCCAUCACAUUAGACAGAUCUAUCGGCUUAUCGAGUAUUAGAUUAUCAUACAAUCUCGUGCUGCAUCGGUUGUGUCCGACCUACUAGAUUGUUGUUGAUAAUAUAAGUCUUGUUAAGCCAAUAGGUUCAUGCUAGUGUUUUAUCGGGGUGCUAGCCGAUAAGUUAUCUGGACGUUGCAUCGGCUUAUAAGGAUCACAUAUACAUAUGAGCUGGAUUUAGCCGAUCACAACAAAGAGUUUACUGAUUUAUCUAAUCUUGUGGAUUCUAUGACAUCGGACCUCCAGCCGAUGUAUUAUUUAACCUUCGGAUCAGUACGUGUUCUAUCAUAUCAUAUUGUUAGCCGAUUGGUUUCUACUGGAUAAUAUCAUUAUAUAUUUUAUUACAUCUUCAUCAGCCGAUUGCCUCCAUAUUGUUAUUUAUAUAAUGUCGGAAUCUACAUUGGAUAUAUAGCCGAUAGCUCAAAACCCUAUCAAUAUCGGCUGGUAUCGGCAUCGGCUGGAUUACUCCAUCAGCUUGUCAGCCGAUCGACUCAUUGAUCUACUGUUUACAUAUCUUGUCAGUUGCAGGAUCAAACUGACUGGCACGUCCGCAUCUCAUCAAUCUUUGGACCUGCACUGGAGCUAAGCAGAUCUCCCAGGCCAGUGUUUGUUUUUUGCAUCAACACCACCUUCUCCCAAGUCCCCUUCCCCUCUCCCCUCCUCUUCUAGGGUUAGGGCUUCUCACGUGCGCGCUGCUGCUGCGGCAGCGACAACGCACGGUGGUGGCAGGUGUGGCGAGGACGCUGCUGCAUCACACCCCCUCGCCAUGGCUCCGUUGAAGCUCCGCCGCUGCGGCAAGGAGAAGUAGGAGGACACGGACGUGGUGACCGCUUCGAGUGUUCUUUCUUCCACUGGUUUCUUUAUUUGUUCUUCUUUCUCCCCUUUGAUCUGUUACCUAGAUUUCCAGAUUUCCUCCUCCCUUAGUUCUUGGAGGUCCUUAAAUAUGAUUGUUUGAUUCUCAUUAUGGCAUACAUUUACUAUUAUUUGUAUGCAACUUUGGCUUUUCUGAGGCCGUGCAAAAAGACUAGCAAUAUUUGCAUAUUUGUUUCCGACUCUUGCUUCCAUAUGCCGCUUCUUCUUCGCGAUCAAAGUCAUAAGACUAUCUAUGUUGGGGGGAGUAGCUUUGACCUUGCCCGGAGAGGACAAAGGCUCCCAUUUUCUCCCACCAAUCUUGCUCUCGAUGAGCUCACAAGCGGAGGCUCCGAGGAGCCACCGCAGGGCCCUCGGAAGCCGCCCCAAGGGGAAGGGGGCGCUUCAGAGGCUUCGUCAGGCUUCGGGGAACGUGACCCCGAAGGGGGACCCCGGAGGCAACAGCCAGGAUAACAUCGCAGAGAGCCUUAAUCUCGCAUUUUAGGCGGCCAACUACCUUUGAUACUGUUGGCUCAACACCCUAGGUGAAGGCCAAGGUACAUCGUUAUCACGCCUCAGCCUCGAGCAGUGCACCCCGGGAAACAUGGGGUCCCCCGGGAAUGCUGGCUUAAUGGGCGCAGUCCCAUACGAUGUCCCUUGGAGAGUUACCAGACCGCCCUUGAGCGGGGGCCACUUGUCAACCUCCAUCCUUGAGUUAAGCCCAGAAGGUCUAUCUCUGUAAUUUCCCUUACCAAUGUAAGACUACAUAAAGAUGUAAUACGCCCCCCCCGGGGGGGAGGGGGAGAGGGGGGCAAAUGAAAUAAUAGAUAAAAACCACAUCCCUUCUUCCCUUGUGCUUGAACCCCUUUGGAUUUUAUUCCAACAUUGGCGCCGUCCAUGGGGAUCGAGCAAAGAGAGAACAAAGCAGUGCAAGUGAAGGAUGCCUUCAAAGCAUGCAACGAAGCAGAAGGACACCACGGCAGCCACGCGACUGUGUAGGGCAACGCGCCCCCUGGUUUGGCUGGGUGAACUAGUGAUCGCCCCUCCGGCUGACGCCGACGGUAGCGCCACCGGGAGUGGCACCAAACUUGAGCCCGAGACCCUCUGCGAUGCGGCCGUAGAACCUAUCCCACAGGUGGCGCCGGCGGGUGAUCUAGCUACGGACAUUCGCGCUCCGGGGGCGCCGACGCGCGGAUAUCCGUGAAUUAGGUUUUUCGGACCUGUCGUGGACGGUUUUGGCAAUAUGAUGGGUGAAUAUUUCUGAUAUUGCGGUUUAGAGAUAUAAAUUAAACCCGACGUAAAGAUGAAGGGAUAGAAGGUGAACUUAUUCCUUCUUUUUCCUUGAACGUAGGCUAAACUUUUUGAUUUUUUAUUGCCUAGGCGCCUAGCCCCUGUUCUCUCCGGAUUGGGCCGAAAGCCAGCCCACUAUCCCUACUCCCGCAGGCCUGUAAUCCUCAAUUUGGGCCGCAUUCUUGUUAGCAAAGACCCGACCCAAGUAUAGAAUCUAGGGUUUAUAACAAGACCGAAGGAAGGACGAACAUACAGAUUCCUAUCCUCUCUCGCCAUGACAACAAUGUCGUCGAGGCUCGCAUCUCGCGCCGCCCGCUUAGCUGCGGUGGCGGCAUCUCGCGCCGCCCGCUUAGCUGCGGCGUCCGCAUCUCGUACCGGGGCCGGGGACCCCUCAGCGCGGGCCACCGCCACUGCCGCAUCUCGCGCCGCUCGCUUAGCUGCGGCGGCCGCAUCUCAUGCCGGAGGCCCCACAGCGCGCGCGAUUGCGGCUGCCGUAUCUCGCGCCGCCCGCUCAAUCUCCUCGAAGCUCCUUGACGACGACAUCGCUGCCCGCCUCUCCUUCCGCUACAGCACCGAGCCCCCAGGUAAACCUUAACACCCAAUCCCGCUCUCUUCAUGGUCUCCCAGCAAAUGAGAAUUUUCAGAAUAUGCCACUCAAUUUGCACCACCUUCAGGAUUUGCCAUUAAUCCAUGUUUGGCGAACAAAAUUGCAUAACACCGUAAUCUCGAGAGAAUUUGUAUUUAAAAGAUAAUGCAGAUGAAUUCCUAAUCCCCGUGCCUGAGAAUUUCAGAAUAUGCCACUCAAUUCACACCACCUUCAGAAUUUGCCACUCAAUUUGCAACUUUUUCAAAACAUGCCACUAAGGACUCUAAUUGUUUCAUCCCCACCAAGCACGGGAAUUGUUUCAUUCCGUGUCACUCCGUCUCUCUGAAGUUACGCGUCGUCGCCCGUCCGUAUCGUGCCGUCCGUUGCGUCAUCUUGCCGCCGCCAGCGUGGGGAGGAAGGCCGCCGGCGUGGGUGAGGAGCUUGGCCGGUGUUGGGGAGGAAGAGCUCGCCAUUCCGGUGCAGGGAGGAAGAGCUCGCUAGCAUGAACGGUGUAGAAGCUUGCCGACAUGGGGAGGAGAGCUCUGCCGGUGCGGGAGGAAGAGCUCGUGGGCAUGGGAAGGAGGAGCUGCCGGCGUUGGAAAGGAAGAGCCACCGGUGUUGGGAAGGAAUAACUCGCGCGGGAAGGAAGAGUUCACCGGCAUGUACGGGGAAGAAACUUGUCGGCGUGGAGAGGAGGAGCUCUGCCGGCAUGGGGAGGAAGAGCUCACCGGCGUUGGGGAGGAGGACCCGCCGGCGUGGGGAGGGAGAACUUGCCGGCGUGGAGGAGGAGCUCAUUGGCGGCGCCCAGAUGACUCAAACGGACGUCGUGACACGGGCGGGCGACGGCGCUCGGCUUCGGAGGGCGGAGUGGCACGGGAUGAAACAAUUCGCGUCCUUAGUGGCAUGUUCUGAAAAUGUUGGAAAUUGAGUGGCAAAUUCUGAAGGUGGUGCGAAUUGAGUGGCAUAUUCUGAAAAUAAACAGCCAACCAUGGAUUUAGUAACAGACUAAUAUUCGUGUCAUCAAAACAAUGUUGGCAUUUAUUGUGUUUAGUUUUUACACCAUUAUCACGUGUGAUAUCUCUCAGCUUGAAAGCUCAACUUUUCUACCAAUAAAAAUUUUGGCUGGAACCUCUUGAGCCAAAGGCUGGGAUCUAAUUCCAUUAUCUGAAACAUCAUAUAAAUUCUUCUUUGUGCUUGCGAAAAAUCAAAUUUGUUCACACUACUAACUUUUGCGAAUUGAAUUGUGAUAGAUGAUGGUAAGUGCGUUACAGCCAAGGACCUCGAGUCAGAUCAAGCCGUAUGGGCCUUAUAUGAGCGCUGGUGCAAGUCAUACAACAAGAAGCGUGACCAUGCUGAGAUGAUUCGCCGGUUCGACAUAUUCAAGCUGAAAGCAUCGCUUGUGCACAGCUGGAACAAUUAUGUUCAUGAAGACAAAGAGGAAUUAGCUCGUGCAAAAAAGAGAAGGGAUUUAGGCAAACCUGUCGAUCCUUGGUACCUACAAGAGGAAUUAGGCCCAUCCGCCGAUGGGGGAGACACUGUUAACCAAUACUGGCGGGGCAUGUUGAAGGAAAAUGACCAAGGGAUGGAUCUGCCUGACAUCCAAGGAGGAAAAAAAAUGAGCACUGAAGAUUGAACAUGUUACAUAAGAGCGAUUUAAUUUGCUUAUGGAAAUCCCUUACCCUCAAGGAGUUGAACUUAGCUCCCCAUAUAAAUCAACUGUAAUAAUAAGUUAUGAUUUGCCGUUCCAUGUGUAGUCUAUGCUUAUGUCGUACCAUCUUAUCUAAGUGGUCAUGAAUUCCAUAUGCUUCCGCCUGUGGGAAGUUUGUGUAUUUUAGCCUUUUGGGUUUACGGGCACAAGUGUUCAAACAGAUCAAGAUCAAGUGUGAAGAUGGUAUAUAUGUCAGUUGUUUGUACAUUAAUUCGUUGAGCAAUAGGACGAAAGUAAAGGUGAGUAUUGUCUUGUCUAAAAAAUUCAACAUUUUCACCAUUAUCAUUCAUGCAUUGUUUGUUUAUAUAUAUAUAAAAACGGAAAAGAAGGAAGGGGAACAGGAAGAGGUGCGCUAGGAAAUUGGCAAUAAACUAAUAAAGAGGAAAUUUAUUCCAUAUUCUCAAUUUGUCUGUCUAAAAAAUUCAACAUUUUCACCAUUAUCAUUCAUGCAUUGUUUGUUUAUAUGUAUAUAGAAAAGAAGGAAGGGGGAACAGGAAGAGGUGCGCUAGGAAAUUGGUAUAUAUAUAAAGAGUACUGCUUCCAAUUUCCUCUUUAUUAGUUUAUACAGGAAGAGGUGCGCUAGGACCUUUAUAAACUAAUACAUCAAUCUUACUUGAAUACAUAUAAAGAGGAUGGAACUAAAGUUGUUAUUUAGAUUAGUUGGCUUAUUGAACAAACAGCUGUUUAUUACCUGUGUAAACAAUUACUUAGAUAUUUUCGCCGGGUCAAUUACUUAGAUAUUGAUCAUAUGGCUUUUAAUUUAGUUUAUCUAGAAAAAUAUUUUUGCAACUUACUUGUUAGGUUGUUUGGCAAUUCGUUGAGUUCGACAUGCGCAGUCUUGAUUUUUUUUUAAAACACAACACACUUUGUUAAACCACAGCGUUUAGGGGAAUUGAAUUCCCCAAUACAUCGCCCAGGAUAAACAUAAGAGUUGGACCAUAUUUAACAAGAGAGAGGUCAACUGAAAAAAAGAAGCAAACUUUAUAAUGAAACUAAGCAGCAAUGAAGGAGCAAAUCGAUAGGGUACUGUGGCAGGGCCGCGACAAUUGCAUCCAAGGGCCUCUAUUGAUAUGUACUCCGCUUGACGAACUGGUAAACCCCUUCGGCUGCCUCCACGGAAACGACACAUAUGAGAGGUUUGGUGCGAAGCCGUAGAUUUUGGUGUGAACAUCACCGGACUCCACAAAAGAUUUCCACGGGGUUCAUCAUUGAAUCUGACAAGCUUGGACUGCAAACCUGCAAACCAAAGUUGCAAAUCCAAUCUGGGCUCAACCCGAACGAUAAAUCCUGCAUGGUUAUUGCUGCCAAGAGAUAAAGAGGAAGAAUUUCCCCAAAUCCAGCCAACCAAAGACUUAAUCCAAAGAUGGUGGCGAAGAACAUGCUGUCUUGGUAACUCGAUGGAGAAGGUUGAAGAAAAGGAGAUCAUCCGAGUCGCAUCCACGCCGCCAUUGCAGGACACAUCCGCACCACCGACGCCGUCGCGGACUGCAACGGCGCAGCCGUCGCCGCCGCGGGGUGCAUCGGCGCAGCUUUCGCCGCCGGGGGCCACAUCCGCGCUGCCGUCGCCGCCGAGGGCAGCAACGGCAUGGCCGCCGCCGCCGCGGGCCGCAUCCGCGUGGCCGCCGCCGCCGCGAGCCGCAUCCGUGAGGCCGCCGCCGCAGCUGACCGAAACCGAGUCGCCGCCGCCGCCACAGACUGCAUCCGAGCCCCUGUCGCCGCCGCAGGUCGCAUCCGAGCCGCCGCCACCACCGCAGGCCAGAUCCGCGUCGCUGCCGUCGUCUCGGAUCGAUUCUGCGUCGCCAUCGCCGUCACGAGCUGCAUCCGCGUCGAAUCCGCCUCCAUCUCCAACUUCCAUACCACACCAACGAGGAGGAAACGGGAAGAACCCGACCUAACGAGACUAGCCCGGCUACUUAGCUAUACUAGGGGAGGGGGGACGACCCCUCUCCCUCCCGCCGCCGGCGACGAGGCCGCCGGAAUCGAGGAGGAAGAGGGGUCGAGAGAGGGGAUUUACUGUAGCAAGUGAGGUUUCGAGAGAGAGCGCUCGUGAGUCGUGAGAGGUUUCCGCAGCCUUGAUUUCUAGUUACACGCGCAGCCUCAAGGCACCAUCUGAUUCUUUUCAGAUUUCAGACAACUCGAAUAACUUCAAAUUUCAGAUUCUUGCCUAUAAUUCUUUUGCAAUGUAAAGAAUUUCAAUAAGUGCUGUAGGGCCAAUUGUACAAAUACCAUGGCUUGCUGAACUAGGAGAACCUAUCUCAAUCUCUAUGCCAUGGUCGGAAUUGUGUAUCAACGCAGGAAAAAGAAGGGGAAGGAGAUGGCGCACAGCUGUGAUUGUGCCGAACCGUGAACAGUACCGCGCAGAUCAGCGUUUCCGUUAGCGUGACAGGGGAGUUAGUUUCCUUUAAAUCAGUAAAUUGUUAGUUACAAGAGUAAGCCUAUAAGAGGGCAUCCAUUCGGAUAUUUUGGAUCCAUUUUUACUAUAUCUCACUCGAAAGAUUUUUUCUUAUCUCUCACUCGAUUUUCUCACUUAAAUUUACAGUCCAUUUUCUUGUAAGUUACAUUGUAAUUUAUGAAACUUACACUGUAACUUGUAACUUUUGUAAGUUACACUGUAAUUUUUGAAUCUUCGCAUGUAAAUUUUAAAUUUUGUAUUGGAUUUGGUCUUUUUAUUGAGGAUAUGGUAAUUUAGUGUCCAUUAUGGUGUUUCUUAAUUGCUUUUUGCUUUUUAUUAUAUCUAUCGGAUUUUAAUCUAAAGAUUAAAAAUCUGUGUGAUACGAUCAUAAAAAUCUUUCGAAAGACGUAUAGGUACUCCCUUUUUGGAUAUGCAAUAGAUUAAUCUUCAUCUCAUCUCCUGUUUCUCUCUUCUCAUCCCGUGUUCUCUCCGGCGAUCCACGACGGAUCGCCGUUCGCGCAAACUACCCAAACCUCGUCCACCCACAACUCACACAUAUCCCAUCCGUUCACUAUUGGCGCAUAACAACUUGUUAUCAGAGACUGUGGUUCAGGACGACACAUCCAGCGAUAAGCAGCCGCUGCUCGAGCCGACGGAUGCCGUUGCCAAGCUGCAGGACACCAUGUCCGACGUGCUCACCGGCUUGGGGUUGUUGGCGUCCAAAAGCGAUCUUGCUGACCUUCGUCGUUCGGUGGCCGUCGUGACAUCGCGUCUCACGUCCCUGGAACAGCAACCAGGGGUGGCCUCGUCUUCAACAACUCCGCUUCAACCUCGCCUCGGCGGCUCGGCGGCGCGGGCAUGUUGCCCAACCCGUCCCAACCCAAUCUGAACGUUGGCGCGGCAGAGCUGGCGGCGGGCACGGGGACAGGCGCGGGAACGGGCACCGGAGGCGGCAGCGUUCCCCGUUUCUACAAGCUCGAGUUUCCCAUUCGACGGCAAAGAAGAUCCUCUCAACUGGCUGCAACAUUGCGAGCAGUUCUUCCGCCACAAUCCGCUCGGAGAACUCAAACGUCUUUCCCAGACGGGGACCGUGGCGGCAUAUCAGGAGAAAUUCCUGGCGCUCGCAAGCUGCGUCCAAGAUCCCCUGUCGGAAGGGCAACAGGUGCAGGCUUGCAAUGGAUAACACCAACGCGGGCUGCUGCUCAACAAUCACCAGCAUGUGAGUCCGUCGCUGCCAGGUGCCAGUCAAACCCAUCUUCUCUCAUCGCCCACGCCCCUAUACCUCCUGUCCAACUGCAGCAUUGUUCGCUGUCCAUCUAAAGUCUUACAGCUAUUCACCAUACGGUUUUGCUGCAUUACGGUUCUUUGUGUUGCGUUGUGCAGUUCGGUUGGAGCUGGAGGACGACCAAGGCACAACAGAGAAUGCAUAUCCGAGCCAAAAUUAUAUAUCAGAAACACCAAAAAUGGUGGUACAGUAGUUUUUUUUUUUCUGUUCUCCACUCAACCAGUUUGGUUGGACCUAACUGACUGCAACUCAAAGAAGACCGACAGUUCGACGGACGGACACAAGAUGAGUCUCCCACUGCUAACUUUUACAUGGCAGACCUAACAAGAUAUUGUUCGUAUUCUGUAUGGAUUAUAUGCAAAAAGAAUGCUUUUAUGGAUAUGUACUCCGGUUUUGCCAUUCAAUCAAGGAUGCCGUUUCGCUUUCCUUUUUAUCCUGGGCAAAUCUUCUCUGCUACCCUGCUGGUACCUGCCAUCCAUACAACACGACCAUACAUAAAUCACAAUGCAACAAGUCUCAUCUCACAUAAAUCACAAUGCAGCAAGUCUCUCACAGAAGAUUAUCAGGUUAAUAUGUUAUUUGUCUGAAUUGGAAUUGACGAGAUACAACUUACAGAUUAGUUGAAGCUUCAGGGGACUUGCGCACCUGACGCUGUGAGGUUGUUGGGCGUGCUCGCAUCAGCAGCACAAGUGAUCUCAUUGAGAGGAUUGCUGAAAACAUAGAAAUGGGCAGAUCAAGCAAUUAAUUGUUAGUGGAUCAACACAUCAACAAAUAUCAGUUCUGGUUGACAAAUUCUGAUAAACUAAUCGCUGACAAAUGCAGAAAGUGCAUAUAGAAAGCACUACAAGAUGUUACUAUAUUGCAGGCAGCAUAAGUGACAACAAGAAUUCUGGUAACUCAAGGAUGGUAAAAUUACCCAAAUAAUAAAGCAUUGUCCUUAAGGAGGGAUAGAAUUGGACCUGCUUUAUGCAAAAUGCCGAUCGCUACAUAUGAAAAACAAGGCCCAGAUUCUGCUGUGGUAAAUAACAACAAAAAUGAAGCACAAAACCAUACAAUCUACCUAACCCAAAUUCUGGUAACUCAAAAGCACAAGUACCAAUAGCUAAGCAGAUGACAUAUUAAGAACAAGCUAUACCAUAUAAUCUACCUAACCCAAAUUCUGGUAACUCAAAAGCACAAGUACCAAUAGCUAAGCAGAUGACAUAUUAAGAACAAGCUAUCUAUCUCUCUAUACUCAUUCGGUAAAGGCAAGAUAUACUGAAAAAAUAAAGUCUUAUCCUUAAUGACUUAUGAUUGGCUGAUUAGUCUCAACAGUAACAUGCAAAAUUUGCCACUAAGGCACUGACCUCAUAAAUCUUGACAUGGCAUCAGCUACCUGAAGACAGUGAAUUCCUUCCUCGGUCAUAAACUCUGGAAGUUCACAUAUGUUUUUUUCUAUAUUCAAGUCAAUUUUGAUAUCAUUAGAGUUAAAAAAAAAAACUGGCAUCCAUUUGACAAAAUAUAUGAACAAGGGCAUUACUGAAGUUUGCAUCAGACAGGUUGUCGAUGGUUGGGCAAGUGCAGCUCAGAUCAUCCCUCUCCACUGAGGCGUAUACAGCUAUCUCGAUGGUGUCUAAGUGGGGAUCUAGAUGAAAAAAACACAGAUUAGUCACAUUUAAGGCUAAUGCAUUGCUCAUUGAAGUUUUUUUUUUUUUUUGAGCAAGGACCAAGGCCCCCAUUUCUAUUACCAGAAAUGGAUACAAGCUACAAGGUUCUUACAGAAAAGAAAGGGAAGAAAAGCAGCUAAAACAUUUGCUCAUUGAAGUAUAUCAUAUAAUUACUUACGAGUCCAGUUCAUUGUCCUGGAUAGACCUUUCAUCUGGUCUUUCCUAAGAAUACGGUUUGAUUUUGAUCUGUUCGCGCCAGUCUGUAUGAUUUGACAGUUACUCUGAUCAUUUGGGCCUCCUAAAUAAAUUAGGUAGAUCUUCAGAAUUAUGGCAAUAUAUAUGUUAUACUAAAAAACGUAAGGUUUAACGUAUAAGAAGAAAAUUACUCUUGGAGUGUGGCUGUAUAUGAUCAAAUUCGUAGCCACAACAACCAUGUUUGCCAUUUAGCGCCUUCAGGACAGGAUUUCCGUUGGCAUCCAGCCGCCAACGAUCACCAGAUCGUCCAAUCACCUUGGGAGCAUUAUUCCAGCAAGCUUCUCUUACAUCUGCGCUGAAUGAACGAGGUUUUGCAGGUGCUGAUGCACGUAGAGCACGGGAAAACUUGGACACAAGACGGGAAAACAGACCCAUGUCCUGCAGUUAACAUAGCAAUAGCAUAAAUAAUCCCUUGUGGAUCACUCCAUAGAUUUAUCAAUUUAGACAGGUUUGUAAAACUGACUCAUAAUAUUUGAUAACACAUCUAUCGGUAUCUGUAUUGAAUAGCCAUAGAAUUCAUAUCACAACAUCUAAAAUACACAUCAAUACACAAACGUGCAUCACCACUGACCCAUUAGAGAUAUGAGUCGCUAAGUAGAAGAUGUAAUGUCAAAUUAGCUACAUCUGCAGAAAAAUAAGUGCAGGUCUAACAAGCCAAUUUAGCAGUUAAAUUAUGUGAACUGUCCAUUACAAACAUAUCAAACAACAGGACAUAUUGGUAUGCCAGUAUCGCGCACCAGCAAGUUAAACGUGCCCUCAGCAUUAACAUAUCAUCUUCCACAAACAAAAAACACAAUCCAGGUUGCAGUGCUGCACUACACUCACUAUCUGGAGGAACCCAACUCCGUGAAAUACAGCAGAAUGCUACACUAACAUAACAUACUGUAACACUUACGGCAGACAACCGUAAUUUAGAAAGGAAAAAAAAUCGGACAGAGUUCAGGAUCCAAUCCGAAUGGGACAAUAUGCAAUUUCCGUAACAACUGAUGCGAGAACCCCAAUAAUGAUAAUUUCCCGGUACUAGGUUGCAACAUUGGUAAAGUCAGAAGCGAUCACUAGGGAAAUGCACAAACCCUGUAAAUCCAACUCCCAAACCCUAUAAAAUCUCGCACGAUCAAGGGAGACAAAACGCGCGGAAACGUUGCAGCACACGGGAAUCGGGAGGCCGGUAGCCCAGCAACUUACCAAAGUCGAACCCAAAUCGGUGACAAAGCCUUGGACUUCCUGGAGCUCCGUUCGCGUUCGCUCGCAGCAGCAGGCCUCCGGCGAACCGCGGAGAGGAACCCGCGCGCGGGGACGAAUACUCUCUCCUUCUCCGACGCCGCCGUGCGCCGUCGGAGCCAAGCUGAUCAGAGAACACCACGGAUCAAUUAGCAGGUAGCAAUGAGGAGGGGGAGGAGAGAAGGGGAGGGGACUUGCCUGAUGGGGAGAAAAGUUCGCCCCUCCUGCGCGGCGGACGGCGGUGAGAUCGUCUCCCCAAUUUCUUUUCCCCGCCCUAGCUCGAGAGUCGAGAGCAAAUGGGGUCGCCUAAAUUUUGAAAUUCAAAGUGGUGGGGGUGGGGGCCACAUACAGGCAUACUACGAGGAGAGGCGCGUGAAGCUGAAAGCAGCCCGGCCCACCGAACCCAGGUUCAUUUUUUCGAGUGGAGUAAGUUCACUUUGAGUCCCUCAAAUCUCUAAUACCGAAUUCUGGGAGGAUUCGCGUGUAAAAAAUACCGAAUUCUGGGAGGAUUCGCGGUAAAAAAGCCCCGCCACAUGGCCACCCGCGUGGUUCCAACUUCCCCCCCCCCCCCCUCCGACAGUCGUACGAUCAGGUUUUAUUAGCAAAAUGUUAAACUCCACCAAUGAUACCGACCCAGACACCCAGUCCGGCUUGCGCGCUGGAUAAUCUAUCCCGUGGAUUUNUCCCAUAGGGACAUGUAUUCUUUUUAAAGAAAUUACUUUAAUACUAAUAAAAUCUAUGGAAAUAUCAUAUAUGGAAAAAAAUCAUUCAAAGGGGUACCUGGGUUUAUGGUUUGUAUAAUACCUUCGGAGAAUUAUAGCAUGACAGUAUACGCAAACAAACGGUCACUGGUGGAGAAACCAUCUUUCGUCGGUCGGCCGAAUUCCAUAAUAGUCCCGGAUGCAAUAAAAACCGGAGCUAAAGAUGAUCUUUAGUCCCGGUUAAAAAGGGUAACUGGCAUAUUUGAUUUUUAAUCCUGGUUGGUAACACCAAUCGGGACUAAAGAUGAUAUUUAGUCCCGGUUCAAAUGCUGUUAGGGCCUGUCAGGCCCCCCCGGAUCUUUAGUCCCGGUUGGUACCAACCGGGACUAAAGAUCGUAACUUACCAACCGGGACUAAAGAUCUCGGGGAUCUUUAGCCCCGGUUGGAAAUACCAACUGGGACUAAAGUCCCACCCCUAUAUAUAUGUCUUUUUCCUCCUCCAGCUGCCCGAGCAAGCUUCAAAAUUUCUUCAAAAAAGAAGGGAGGUCAUGCCAAAAUUUCUAGUGAAUUUAUUUUGGUGAUUACAUACAAAUAGGAGGUGCCUAAAAGGUUUGCAACUUCAUCCUCCAAUGUUUUUCUUUGUCAUAUUACAUUUGGAGCUAUGUUUUGCACACUUUUUUGUCUCCAAAAUUUAGUUGUAAGUUGAUGAGAGAGAAAAUUUGUGUGGGGGAAGAAAGAACAUAUAGAAAUUUAGUUGAUUUGGUAAAGAAGGUUUUAUAAAAUAGUUGAGAAGGAAAAUAUAGUGAAAGUUAGUCUUAAAUAAUAGAAAACAAACUAAAAUGAAAAUUAAAAGAAGCAAAACACAUUAAAAUUUGUUUAAAACUUUAGAAAUAGUAAAUAAGAAUUAUUUAGUGUAAUAUUUUAUGAUUUUUGUAUGAAUAAAGAUAUGUCAUUAUUGUAUGACUGUUGAAAGAGUUUGUAAUUAUCUUAUAAUUAUUGUAUGACUGUCAUUAUUGUAAGAAUAAUUAUUUAUGUACGAUUUUUUUUCGACUCAUGUAGAUGGAUCGUCAAUGGAUGUACGAUGGCCGGCGGUCCAAAGAGUUUAUUGACGGCGUGCAUUAUUUUUUUGAGAGUGGCCGAAGCUAACAGGCAAAAGGGUUUUAUUUGUUGUCCAUGCAAUAAGUGUAAAAAUCAGAAGGAGUAUUCUGCAUCCAGGACUAUUAAUUUCCACUUGUUUGAGUUGGGGUUCAUGCCAAGCUAUAACUGUUGGACAUCCCACGGAGAGCAAGGGGUUGAAAUGGAAGAAGAUGAAGUGGAAGACGACAAUAUUCCAGACUUUGAUCAGUACAGUGGAUUUGAAGGAAAUCAAACGGGCGAGAAGAAAAUGGAUGCUGAUGGUAACGACGUUGCAGAUGAUCUUGGUCAGAUGUUGCAGGACGCCAAGGAGGACUGCGAAAGUGAAAAGGGGGCCCAUAAAUUGGACAAGAUGUUAGAGGACCACAGAACGUCGUUGUACCCAGGUUGCGAGCAGGGGCACAAAAAGUUGGAUACCACUCUGGAGUUCUUGCAAUGGAAGGCAAAAAAUAGUGUUAGUGACAAGGCAUUUGGCGAUUUAUUGACUCGUCAAGAACAUUCUUCCGGAGGGAAACAAAUUGCCCGAGACAACGUACGAGGCUAAGAAGAUAGUCUGCCCUUUAGGACUGGAAGUUCAGAAGAUUCACGCAUGUCCGAAUGAUUGUAUCCUAUAUCGUGGUGAGGAGUACAAGAACCUAGAAGCAUGCCCUGUUUGCAAAGCACUAUGGUACAAGAUUAGACGAGAUGAUCCAGGAGAAGUUGACGGGCAAUUAACAAAGAAGAGAAUUCCUGCUAAGGUGAUGUGGUAUUUCCCUAUAAUACCACGGCUAAGGCGUUUGUUUAGGAACAAGGGGAAUGUGUAACACUCUGAAAAUUCGAAUGACAAAAUCAAAACUCUAAAAAUACAGAUUUUCAAAAACUUUUUAAAUUAAUUGCAUCAUGUCGAUCUUAUUCGUCUAUUUCAUCUGGAUUUGAUCUCGAAGAUUAUUAAUCAUGAGUAAAGAAUAGUUAAUUAGGAAUAAACCUUAAAAACAAAUUGGUAAAAUAAAUACAAAAUAAAUAUUAGGUGGGAUAGAAAUAAAUAAAAUAUUAUCGCGACUAUAUUUGGAUCAAUUAAAUUUGAAUACGAUGGAAUAAGAAUUAACCCUAAUUAAAACUCAAAUAAAUUACAUGAAAAUAAAAUAUGAGUAAUAUUAAUCUAGGGUGAAUUCAUUAGUUGAGAUAAUACACAUAUUGAGUAAACUUCAUUUAUGCAAGAUUUAGAAAUUAUAGAAUCAAAUUCAUAUAGAAAAUAAUAUAAAAUUGGGAAAAAUAGGAAAAAGACACUAUUCAUUAGCUUCUAGGUGUUCGACGAGGCUCCCUAGCCCCUUCCCCUCCCCUGCCAUGCGCGCCUCGCGCCCCGAGCCGUCGCCGUCGCCGCCUGCCGCCGUGCCGCUGUCGCCUGCCGCGCCGCGCGCCGCUCGGCCGUCACCGUCGCAUCCCUCCUCGUGCCGCGCGCCACCGCUGCCGCCCCGUCACCUCCCGUCCCGUCGCCGCGCGCGUCCCAUCGUCGCUCCGAGCCGCGCGCCGCCGCUGCCGAGCCGUCCCCAUCGCCAUCCCGCUGCCGCGCCGCUCGCCCGUCGNNNNNNNNNNNNNNNNNNNNNNNNNNNNNNNNNNNNNNNNNNNNNNNNNNNNNNNNNNNNNNNNNNNNNNNNNNNNNNNNNNNNNNNNNNNNNNNNNNNNNNNNNNNNNNNNNNNNNNNNNNNNNNNNNNNNNNNNNNNNNNNNNNNNNNNNNNNNNNNNNNNNNNNNNNNNNNNNNNNNNNNNNNNNNNNNNNNNNNNNGUCUCCCCCCCCCCCCCCCCCGCGUCCACCGCCGCCGCCGCUCGGGUAGGAGGGAGAGCCGAGAGAGAGAGAUAGAGCCGAGAGAGAGAGCCGAGAGGGAGAGGAAGAGAGAAAAAGAAAGAGAGGAAAGAAAAGAGAAGGAAAAGAGAGAAAAAGAGAAAAGAAAAGAAAAAGGAAAGGGAGAAAAAGGAAAAGGAAAAAUAAAUAGAAAGAUUUGGAAGAAAAUUAGGGAGGUUAAUAGUUUAGAAAAUUUAAAAUAAUUAGAAUUUAAUUAUAGAAUAAUCAUGGUCCUAGAAUUGCAAAAUUUAAUUAUUCUUGGUAAUUUCCAAAAGAAAUCAAUUCGCAGUAGUAGUUUAGAUAUAAUUAACAAUUAGAUGAAUCUUUAUAGACUACUAUAGAUCAUUUUUGGAUAAUCUUUUAAGUAAUCGAUUCACGGUAGAAAUUCGGACUUAAUCGCUAGGAAUUUUAGACGUAUAUUAUAUUUAAUCAUUUAGUCAUAGACUAAAUUAAAACGUAUAAUAUUAUAAGAUAAUUUUAGGAUUCCGUCCGACAUUUAGCUCGCGAUAGAAAUUUCUAACCUAUUAUAUGGAUAUAAUGCUCGGGUAGAUUAAAUUAAAAACUUAUGACAACAAAAUAUUUAUACCCGCAAAAUAGUUUAAAUCAAAAUUGGGUUUGCCGUAGCGGAUAGUAAAGUUAAUAAAAAGGAAACGACUUUCGCAUUCGACUGUCAUUUGGAUUUAUUCGGAUUCUCAUUUGAAUUCUAACCGAAUUCAAAUCAAUUCUUGCACGUAACUAUAGAGCCCGAGGGAGUUGCGGAUCCAAGCGAAGGCCAAGACCCGCAAGACCUUGAGCAAGGCAAGUCAUCACUAUUCCUUGAACAUGUUGAUCCCAAUUGCGAAAUUGUUUGGUUUACAAAUAAAAUUGCAUGCAAUGAUGAACAUCCUACUUGUGAUUAUGCCAUGCCUUGAUUAUUGUUUACCCUUAAAUCUUUGUAACCAUGUUUACGUAUGAGUCCCUAGUCAACUAUGACAAUUGCUUAGAAACGCUAUACUAGAAUCAUGCAUACUCAUAUUUAUCAAAUGCUAUAUGCUUGGGCAAUUACCUUUGGGAAGGUAAUUGAGAUGCGGCAUGUGGAGACAUGUGCGCCACAUUGCCAUGAUGUUGAUGACAUGAUUUGUGAAAGAAGAAAUAAAAUUAAACAAUUGUUUUCGACUGGGGCGGACGGAGGAUUUGGGUGGUAUCUGGGAAAGGCUAGUACCGUCCCCGGUCAAUUAAGGACCGAGCCAUGAAGUUAAGCAUGAAACGACCCCCGUACAACCGUACUUCUCGAAUGGGUAUAGACCUAGCGGAUUAGAUAGCCGAGCGGAGGCAGUAUCCCUGCAUAGAUGGUUCACCCCUGAGUGAGGCAGGUGCGCUACGGUGGGACAGCCGUUGAGGUAGGGCCGAGAGGCGUGCCCUACAUCGGUGUCGCCAUUGGUAGGACUGCCAUGAGUGUGUGAGAGAGAGAGAACUUAACUUGAACCAUAAUUUAAUAUGUGUGUGAGACUUCUCUUUCCCGGGAGCGCCAGAACUCCUCUCACUGCUAGAAACAUGGACGCCUAGAGUGCAUGAGGAUUUAAGUUCAUGGAGCGGGUACUGCCAAUGCGAGGUUAUCGAAAAGCUUUGCCGUGACGCGUCUCAUGUGUUGGGACGAGGCUCAUGUGUUGGGCAGUCGCGGAGUGCGGGUAAAGUGUACAUCCACUGCAGUGUGAGUAAACCAAAUCUAUUCGAAUAGCCGUGCUCGCGGUUAUUGAGCACCGGGACAUGUAUUACACUUGGCUAGACUCUAAAUUCUUUAACUUGUGUGGGAUGGGAUAUUGCAUGAUGAUUUUUAUGCUGGUGGAGCCACUUCCUGAGAGGCGGGAAUGUGGACGUCCUCAGAAAACCAUAACGACUCAAUGGCGGGAAGCUAUCCUUGGGAUCACAAUGGAUGGUGGACAGAACCGUCAUUGUUUAAUAUGAACACUGGUAUUAAAACUGGAUCAGUUUAUGCUAGGUCUUAGGCUUGUAAAAAAAAUUACAAAAUUUGCUUUGCGCAAAAGAACCAUAGCCAUCCUCUGAAUUCCUAUGUCAUGUGCAUCAUUGCUGUGGUGGCUUGCUGAGUACGGUUGGUACUCAUCCUUGCAAAUAUAAAAUUUAUCAGAAGCGGGAGAUGAAGCCUCAGAGGAUCCCUAUGCCUACUAUCAGGAGGGAGAUGAAGACGAUGGCGUCUAGUAGGUCUUAGUACGGUCGUUGCCUGUGGCAAUGGCAUGCCGCUGCCUGAAUUCCGCUGCCUUAUCUAUUUCUGCUUUUGGAUGUAUUCCGGACCGCUCGGUCCGAUGAUUUAAGACUAUGUCUGCGGGCCUAUGAUGUAAUAAUUCGUAUUAGAUACUCGUGUAUGUGCACUUGGUAUUCCAGCUAUGAAUUCGUGUGUACCAAACUACUUGAUCCAGGGAAAUGGUACUGUUUACACGAUUGAUUCCUGUUAUAAAAACGGGGGUCGACAGAAUGCUAGAAUGAUGCGAUGGCACGCUGAAGAGCGUCAACAGGAUGGGAUGCUGAGACACCCCGCCGAUGGUUCGCGGUGGCGAAACAUCGACAGAAAAUUUAAAGACUUUGGAAAGGACGCACGAAACAUACAGUUUGGUUUUAGUACGGAUGGCAUGAAUCCUUUUGGAGAGAUGAGCAGCGGCCAUAGCACUUGGCCCGUUACGAUGUGUAUCUACAACCUCACCCCGUGGCUAUGCAUGAAGAGGAAGUACAUAAUAAUGCCGAUUAUAAUUCAAGGCCCCAAGCAACCUGGUAACGACAUCGAUAUGUACCUAAGACCACUGGUCAAAGAUCUUAAACUGUUGUGGAAGAAGGAAGGUGUCCCCGUGUGGGAUGAGGACAAACAGGAGGAGUUUAACCUACGAGCGCUGUUGUUCGUAACCAUCAACGAUUGGCCUGCACUUAGCAACCUAUCCGGGCAGUCCAACAAGGGGUACAAGGCUUGCACUCACUGUAUGGAUGAAACAGAAAGUACGUAUCUUAAGCACUGUAGGAAGGUUGUAUACAUGGGUCAUCGUCGAUUCCUUGCAGCAAACCACCCGGUACGGAAGAAAGGCAAGCACUUCGAACAUAAGGCUGAACACCGUACGAAGCCUAAACAUCGCAACGGGAAAACAGUGUUUGCUAUGGUUAAAGAUCUUAAAGUAGUGUUUGGAAAGGGUCCUGGAAGCCAGCCGAUAGAGAGCGGAGAUGGUCACGCGGCGAUGUGGAAAAAGAACUCUAUAUUUUGGGAGUUACCCUAUUGGAAAUUCUUGGACGUCCGCCACGCAAUCGACGUGAUGCACCUCACUAAGAACCUUUGCGUAAACCUUCUUGGCUUCCUAGGUGUAUACGGAAAGUCGAAAGAUACACUGGAAGCACGUAAUGAUCUGAAGCAUAUGGAACAACGCAGCGACCUUCACCCGGAACCUAAAGGAGAAAGGAAGCCAUUACUUGAGUCCAGCCAGCUACACUCUUAGCAAGGCAGAGAAGGAAAGUAUGUUUGAUUGCUUGGAGAGCAUAAAGGUACCGUCUGGAUACUCCACGAAUAUCAAGCGAAUAAUAAGCAUGAAGGAGAAGAAGUUCACAAACCUAAAGUCUCAUGACUGUCACGUGUUGAUGACACAACUGCUACUAGUUGUAAUAAGGGGUAUCCUUCCAGACAAUGUCCGGGCAACAAUAACGAAGCUAUGUGCAUUCAUGAACGCAAUUUCGCAGAAGGUCAUCGAUCCGGAUAGAUUAGAAGCCCUUCAGAAUGAUGUGGUGCAAUGUCUUGUCAGUUUUGAGUUGAUAUUUCCACCUUCAUUUUUCAAUAUAAUGACGCAUCUGCUUUGUCACCUUGUCAAAGAGAUCAGUAUUAUCAGGCCUGUGUACCUACACAACAUGUUUCCUUUCGAGAGGUACAUGGGCGUUUUGAAGAAGUAUGUUCGUAACCGUGCUCGUCCAGAGGCAAGCAUCGCCAAGGGUUAUGGAACAGAGGAGGUCAUCGAAUUUUGCGUAGAAUUUAUUGAAGACCUUCACCCAAUCGGGGUACCUGAAUCACGCCAUGAAGGGAGACUACGGGGAAAGGGAACUCUCGGAAGGAAAGCAAUAAUGACGAUAGACAACAAUUUAUUCCGUAAAGCCCAUUUCACGGUUCUGCAACAAUCUUCAUUGGUAGCUCCUUACAUCGAGGAGCACUUGGCUCUAGUUCGCGCCAGGAACAUCGAUAAGUCCGAUGCAUGGAUUACACGGCAUCACAUUGAUACUUUCCCCGCGUGGCUACGACAACAUCUCAUGGGUAACGAGUCGAUCAACCAACAACUUGCCUUCCUGGCGAGGGGACCGUCUGGGUCGAUCGCAACAUUCCAGGGAUAUGAGAUCAAUGGGUACACAUUCUACACGAGAGCCCAAGACAUGAAGAGCACGAACCAAAACAGCGCUGUUCGUGUCGAUGCCAUGGGACACGAUGGAACAACUAGCACGUAUUACGGUGCCAUCGAGGCCAUAUGGGAACUUGACUAUGGUCCUCCGAAGGUCCCUCUGUUCCGGUGCCAAUGGAUUAGGUUGACUGGUGGAGGCGUAAUGAUUGAUGACAGUGGGAUGACAACGGUUGACCUUAAGAAGGUUGGAUACUCGGACGAACCUUUUGUCCUUGCCAAUGAUGUAACGCAAAUCUUUUACGUGAAGGACACGUCUAGCAAAGGAAAGAAGGGCAGAGGGCCUGACGAGCCUAAGCGUCACGUGGUUCUCCCAGGCAAAAGAAAAAUCGUCGGAGUUGAGGACAAGACUAACGAGGAUUACGAUCAGUUGGAUGGGCAACCCCCUUUCACGGUGACGAUUGACCCUAGCAUCCUUCUAUCAACUGAAGACACCCCUUACUCACGUAGCGAUCACAAGGAGGGAACAAUAGUGAGGAGAAAGUACGUGCGGUCAACCGUCAGCGCCGAUGUAUUGCCGUAAUUAUUGUGUACACAAUGUAAACUAUUUUGGAUGUAUUGAUUAAAUCAAUUGAUGUAUGGCAUAUGUUAAUUACGCACGAUUAUUUGAGGUUUUAACAAGUUUAAAUCAUGUAUAUGCUAGUUAUAUGCGAUAAUUACAAUUUUUAAAUUUUUUAAAUCAUGCAUGUGGCAUUUAUAUAUGUUAAUUAGAGUUUUUAACAAUUAAUUCAAUAUCAUUCAUAUGCUAAUUAUAUAUGACUAUUCGAAUUUUUAAAAUUUUCAAAUCAUGCAUGUGGCAUUCACAUAUGUUAAUUAGAGUUCUUAACAAUUAAUUUAAUAUCCUAAUUAUAUAUGAUUAUUACAAUUUUUAUUAAUUUUAAAUCAUGCCGUAUGUAUAUACAUAUGUUAAUUAGAGUUUUUAACAAUUUAAUAUCAUUCAUAUGCUAAGUAUAUAUGAUUAUUAGAAUUUUUAUUAAUUUUAAAACGUAAUAUUUGCUUAUUACGUUUUAUCCACUUAAUUUAUUACAGACAGUACUAAUUUUCCGUAGUGAUUGUCAUUAAUUUUUGUACUUUAAAUAAAUUUAAUGCAUUAUUUUCUAUUUUAGAAACACAUAUGUAAUGGAAAAUAAUACUCAGUGCGCUUAUCAGUAGUCCCGGUUCUUAACCCUAACCGGGUUUAAAAAAUUUUUGGAAAUAGCGGGAAAAGAUCUUUACUCCCGGUUGUUCUCAUCAACCAGGAAUAAAGAUCUAGGGGUAUAUAUAUUCCCGACGCGCGCCCUCGUCUUCUCCACCAACACUUAGAAGUUUUUGCCCGAUCGAUCUCUCUCGGCUUCUCCUUCGCCGCCACUGCCAAGGGCAUCCCCGCGCCGACGCCGCCGCCGUAUCUCGCCGUCGUCUCGCACUCGUCGUCGUCGCCGCCGCAUCUCUGGGGUGAGAGCCGACGCCGCCUCCCUCUCAUCAGCUCUCUCUCUCUC